This 113634-nucleotide long non-coding RNA is filed under the name Lactuca sativa (garden lettuce). RNAcentral describes it as "long non-coding RNA (LSAT_LNC000786)". The record is from RNAcentral. Lineage: Eukaryota; Viridiplantae; Streptophyta; Magnoliopsida; Asterales; Asteraceae.
UAUGUAAGGACAAGUUACUAAACUACUUGGAAGACAUGGUGGGCACUCGUGUUACCAUAAGGCAAGAAAUCAAGAUUAAGAAAGUUCAGUCCAUAUGAGUUUGGAUUUGUCGCAAACCUUGGUUUUGGCAAAUUCACAUGGAUAGGAACUCAUACACCAUAAAAUCUAAGUGUCAUAAGAUUCCCUCCUUCAUGAAAAUGACUGUGAGGAAAUGCUUUCACUAAGAGAGAUUUUAAGAAGAUAGCAAUUGUGAAAAUUGUAUUCUCAAAUUCGAUUAUGGUUACGACAUCCCUUUCCAUAGUUCGAAUUGUGAGAUUUGGCAAUUAGUCUAACAUUUGGGACUUAUUGAUAUAAGUUCUGAAUUGUUUAGACACACAUAUGAGCUAUCUAAGGCAAAGGUGUAUAAGGUUAAGAAGCUUAGAUAAAGGCUUAUCGAAGCAUCUGGUAUUAGAAAUAUGAAUUUCAGAAAUUCAAUAGGCAUUGUUUUCUGAAAGUUCAUUUGUUUUCUGAAUACAUGUCAAAGCUAGUGGGAGCAUAAGUGUUAUGCUUAUAUGAUAAUAAUCAUCAUGAUAGUGGGAGCAUAAAUGUUGUGCUUGUAUGAUUAUUAAGGCAAGUAUUGCAAGUUAGCAAUAUUAAUUAUAGAAAACAAGAGUUAUACUUUGCAAAGUCGUAAGGGUUGAAAAGUUGUUUUGCUAUAAUUAAGGGAGAGAAUAUUGUACUUCGUUUCAAAAUCUAAAGCUUAGAUUGAGAAAUUUUAAUAAAUUUAGUCAAAGGAUACAUAGUGUGUUCUUAAAUUUCGAUUAUGAUUACGGUAUCCCUCUUCAUAGUUCGAAUUGUAAGAACGUGACACAUAAAAUAUUAUGGCAGAAGAUUGAUAAAGUAUCAUAUCUUUAUGUAAGACAUUAUGCAUCGUGUCCCAUACGCUUCGGGUAUAGGAUCGAUUGCAAGUGCUAUAAUAUUUGACCAUUCUAAAAUUUUCCAAAUGUCUAGCGCAUUUAGAGGGAAAAAGGACAAGAAUCGGUUUUGACUAAGAUAAUUAAACAACUAUCAAAGGACGAUCCAAAGCUCGCUGAGGAUUGGUCGCUUGUGAGUAGUUGGAAGUAUGGUAUUGGAUGGACCAUAUCGACAUUAUUAUGAAUAGAUAAGAUUCUAUUAAGAAUGAGUUGUCAUAUGGCAAAUAUGGAAAUGUUUCCAUAUUGGGAGUUGGAUAUUGAGAAUCUAUAUCUAGAUUAGAAACUAUUAUGCAAGAAGGAUGUUCAAAGGAAUGUACUUUGAGUGAGAGACAUCAUAUCUAUAGAAUUGUUUCUGAUAGAGAUUGGCCAAGUCUUGAUGAUUUUGAGCUAUGACUUUACGAAAGAAUCAUUGCAUAAAAUGUUAGAAUCUAGCAUAAGUAACAAGAAUUUGAUAUUCUUAUACUUAUGAUAAGGAUUGGGAGUUGUGAAAUGAGUAUGAUUGGAAAUGUGUUCAUUUGAUCUAUUUCACAAAGUAAGGACCGUAGGUAAACAUUGUGUGCAUGUUAAGAGCAUGGGACAAUUUUUGUAAUAAUUCAAGUAAGAAGUUGAUUACCCGAAACAACAAAUAAUGAGUAAUCAAUAUGGUGAUUAAAUAAAAUGUUUUAUUUAUACCCAGAGUUUGAGGCCAUAUGGGAUUAGUAUUAUUCUUGUGUUUCACUUUGCAUGUUUUGACUUCCUGAAUAAUUAAAUUGGUUCAGAACAAUCAAAUUAUUCGAACGGACCACAGUCGUUCAUAUGUUGGAAGUAGGUAUGAAUGAAGACUGUCGUGAAUUGGUGUGUGGAUUGUCUAAAGUGUAUUAGACAUAAGCAAAUGUUUGCUACGACGUUCAUGAGUUCUUUUGAAUAUGAUUUGAGCAUUGGAUUAAACCCACGCUCACUUGUAUCACUUCAUGGAUUUUAUCACGGGUGAUUGGUGAGACGAUAACAUCUUAUAUUCUUGAAACCGAGAUGUGUGAAUUGUAUCUUGCGAGUCGGUUACACAUUGAUAAUAUGUAAACGCACCAGUAACUUGGUGUCAUAAAACAUAUUGUUGUGUGUGAUUCAGUGAGUGAGUACAAGCAAGCAUUGAAUCAAAGUUUAUCCGUUCCUUUUAUCCUAAGUAGAAUGAAAGCGAUAUCUGUAGGCACCUCGAUGAUUUAGUGAUUUCACCUAAGCGCUUGGCCAAGUCGGGACUAAUUUGAUGUGUUCAAUUGUAGUCUGUUGUCAGUCGUCAUAAAUCGGAAAUCGAGAAACAACACAAAGACAGAGAGAAUGAUUUAAAUCCAUGUAUCACAUCUAUGCGAUAUCAAGAAUGGAGGAAUAUGAUCCCUUAUCUAAAGGACGCGUAUCUAAUGAGAUCAGAGUUGAUAGCGGCUUUUGAAAGCUACGAUUGCAGAUCGGGAUCUAAAGUCAUACGCAGAAUAGUUAUUAGUCUUAUCCAAGUGGGAGACUGUUGGAUUAUUGUCUAAGUCCAUAACUAUUUUGGUAUGUACUUGACCCGAUGGUGCAUGGUCCUUUUGGGUUGCCUUCACCAAAGCAACUUGAUAGGAUGAAUUAUGGAGAGAAAGGAUUAAUUAUGAUUUAUUAAUAUAUUAUGAGAAUAAUAUAUUAAAGGAGAAAUCAUAUUGUUUAAUUAAUAUUAGUCAAGAAUUAAUUGAUAAUUAAUUUUGUGGCUAAAAGAGAUUAAUUAAACUUAAGGGACUGGAACUGUAAUUAUAAGAUAAUUGCAUUUGGGCUAUGGAUUACCUUGGAAUAAUAGGUUGGACGAAUUCUAUGGGGAAACCCAUUAGAAAUCGUCCAAGGGAUAUUCUAAAAGAGUCCAUGGGCUGCUUAGGGCUUAAGCAGUCAAAUUAGGGUUUCCUAGUUGAAAACCCUAAUAGCCUACAUGUAUUUAUAGUACCCUUAAGCCCCAAAAACGUGGUUUAGAGUUCCACUAGGGUUUCUGGACGUUUUGGGCAGCCUCCUCUCUCCUUAUUCUUCAUCCUCUUGCUCUUGGUGUUUGUGAGCCAUUAGAGGAGCGAAAAUUGUGACUCUAAGCUUUCUAAAGUCAUUACAAGGAGGAUUUGAGAUUGUUAUUGCUACAUAACAAUGAAAGGUAAUUGUCUAAACCCUAAUUUUAGUUUAUAAUUUGUUAAAUCUAAGAUUGUAAGUCUUGGAUACAUUGCAUGUACAAUAGAGAAACUUAGAUCCAAGCAUUAGGGUUUGCAUGAGCACAUAAGAUGUUCUUUUGGCUAAAACCCUUCACUUCUAUGACCCAAUUUCAUAUUUAAGGGACCCUCAAUGGCUUUUAAGUGCUACUGGGCCUGAGUGGCCCAUUAGCAUUGCCAGUAAGGUCUAAGUAAAUCAAAUGCGAAAUGGUCCAGCAUGUCCUUCGUAUAACCAAUAGCCAUAAAUAAUAUGCGGGAAUAGUAGGAUCUUGUAAUCCUCUUCUCCUCGUUUAUUAGGCCUAUUGUCAAUCCAAGUAAAUAAAUACGGGUCGAUAAUCAAUAUUAAUCAAAGUCAAUUGGGAUUUAGUGAGUAAUAACGGGUGGCACCAACGUGUGUCGGUCGUAGUCUGUAUUUAUAAUCAAAGUCUCCUGGAGGGAGAGCGAGACUUUGUGUAUAGUUCUAUAUGAGGGUGACUCCCCCACACCUCAAAUGUUCGCUACAGUUAGACUCGGCCAGUCUAGGGUGACAAAAUCUUAAGAUCAAUUCUGGCGUUCACCAGAGUGCCAAGACAGACGAACUAGUCAUUAUCAUGCAUGGUUAUAACGACUCACAUAAAUAAAUCCAAUAUAAAUCAAGUAAUUAAGGUAAAUCAAAAUCAUUCACGUGAUGGGAUAACAAUUCGAACCGUUGUAUGAUAUUUUUUUUGGUCGGAAAACAUCGGGUUUUCCGGGGAAGUUCAACAUUUUUCACUGGUACUUUUAAUACAAAGUUUUUCAAUUAUACACGUUUUGAAAUCAUUAUGCAUAUAUAUACGGAUCUUCACACUUUUAUAUAAACAAUGGUCUUUCAGAAAAUAUCGGAUUUUCUGGGUUGUUUUCUUACAAACUACACAAAACAUUUUCAUAUCAAACCUGCUUAUGAACUCACCAACAUUCCAUAUGUUAACCGUUUUCAAAAUAACUUGUAUUCUCAGGUAACAGGUAGGCCGAGGAGUAGUACCGAGUAUGUUAUACGGAUCUUCACACUUUUAUAUAAACAAUGGUCUUUCAGAAAAUAUCGGAUUUUCUGGGUUGUUUUCUUACAAACUACACAAAACAUUUUCAUAUCAAACCUGCUUAUGAACUCACCAACAUUCCAUAUGUUAACCGUUUUCAAAAUAACUUGUAUUCUCAGGUAACAGGUAGGCCGAGGAGUAGUACCGAGUAUGUUUGUGUGUUGUGCUUUUGAAAAUCUAUCAAACAUUUUAUGUUAUGGAUUUGUAAUGUUAAAACAAUGUACUUGAUGUGAACAAUGUCAGUUGUAAAAUAUUGAUGCAUUGUGAUGUUUAUGUUAUGAUUCAUGUAUAUUCAUUGUGAUGAUAUUCAAAUUUAGUCACGUGAGCCGUCGAACGUUUCUACAGUCUGGUUCGGGGGUGUGACACAUACCAAUUAAUCUAUCUUUUAAAUGAUUUUAAAUGCUUUUAUGGGGGGGGGGGAUACAAGUAGAAAACAUGUAGUUAUAUAAUCAAUCACAUGUGAUUUAUAAAUGUGUUUCUGAUAUGGGCAUAUUUAGUUAUAAAAUUCAUGCAUUAUCUUAAUGCUUUAUAUUGAUUUUAUCUCAUUUAAUGAACAAAAGGUGCUUAAUUAGUUUAGAAUUUCAUUUUUCAGCAACAAUGACGUGCUCGGAUAGAAAAGGAAGCGGAACUAGCGAUUGGAGGCUUGGAUCUUGGAUUUUGAAGAAAGAAGGAUGUUGCUGGACAACUUGACCCAUCGUCAGUGUUUUGGCCAUAUAUCAUGAACCGUAACUCCGAUUAAUGAGAUUCAAAAAGUUCUCCAAACUAGACACAAUUUCGGACGACUUUCGUGUUUUGAGAAAAUGUUGAUUCCAAGAGAACUCGACGAGUUGGGCCUAAACUCGACGAGUUGGUUAGAAUGUUCCCGAUUUGAAGAUGCCUUGUCGUACACGCUGUAUACGCGGAUUAUCAAAAAAAAAACUCGACGAGUUUGUGGUGAAAACUCGUCGAGUUGGCCCUGUUUUCAGAAUUUAUAUAUAGAAACACUUCUCAUUUGAACCCUAACUUUUUCUGGAGGCUAACUGCAACUAUUGAAGACUAGAAGUGUUCUUGAAGUUUCAAUUUUCGAGAUUGCAACCUAAUAGACAAUUUAGAAGAGAAUCAAAGGCAAAUAAUCAUUCUUCUUUUCUUAAUCUUUGUUUUCAACCAUGUUUGAAUCAUUAGAUUUUGAUUUUAGAUUAUUACUUGCUGUAGAUAUGAGCUAAAAGCUUUUUACUUCUGUUUGGAUGAGAUAAUCUUAUGAUCAUGGUUUGAUUGAGUGGUUGGAUUAAUAUUAAUUUGUUUAUUCAUCUUGUUAAGCUUGUUAAAGAUCCUCAUGUAUUGAUGAUAAAUGUUUUAUUUCAUUAAGUAAGUUAUUGAGUUGCAUGAACAUCUUCUUGAUUACUUGAUUCAUAUAGUUUUGUGAAUACAAGAUUGUAUGUCUAGGAAUAGUGAACAUGAAACUAAGGUUAAAUAGAAAAUAUGUAAAUCAAUGUGUGAGCAUGUGUGAUGAACAACCACAUAUGAGUUGAUUGAAUUGAACAAAUUUGAUUAGCUAUUAUUACAAGUCUUACUUGAUAUGAACUGAAUACUAGGAAACUUGUUAGUUUAAUCUACUGGCCAUUGUUUGAAUUAACUUGUCUACUAAAGGAUUGGUAAUAGUGAACAUGAACCCAAUCACAUUAGGAAUCAGUAACCAUUGACAUAUUGAUCCAUUGCACUUGCCACGAAAUCAACCAUAGGAAUAACUGAAUCAAAUUUGAACAUAAGUCUCUUUUAUCAUUGAAUCUAGUUGUCCUUUCUUAUUCUUCUUAGUUGUUAAUUGUCUUUGUUGGAGUGUUAAUUGAUUAUUUAAGUUUCUAGUCUUGCAAAACUAGAUAAACCUCAUCUUUUAUUACUUGUUUUAUUUAAAUAAUAUUAGCAUUCAUUUUAAUUGUUUACCGUUCCCUGUGUUCGAUACCCUACUUACCUGAACUAAACUGCUAAACGAUAGGUACACUGCAUUUCGUGUGUUUGUCUUUGUGUUUAAGUUAGUAGGAUUAAAACUAGUUUGCUUAACACACAUCAGUUUCAAACAAAGGAUUUCUUAUACUUUAAACUGUCUUGUCAACCAAACUACUUGUAAAUCAUUUUAUAAAUUGACAUCAAGUCAUCAAUAAUUAUUAUUAAACUCUUCAAAUGUUUUACAAAACUUCUUUUUUAAACUUAUAUAUUGUCAAAUGCAUGUCUAUGUAUGUAUAUUUAUAUAAGUAAUGUUUAAAGGACUUAGGACUGAUAACUCACUUUAUUUCCUUUUCCUUGUUUGGAUGUGGCCUUAGAGUAUCGAUUAUUUGUCUGAAUGUCGUCUAAAUAUUAGUUAUAUAUUAUGUAUACAUAUGUAGAUAUAAAAGUACUAUCAAUUGGUUCAAUAUCUUUGGGUAGCAAAGGUAUACCUUCAUUCAUUCAAACUACAGAAAUUACUAGUAAAUUAUAAUAGGUAUAGUUUAGGAGAAUACUAUCAUAUACAAACACUAUAGCGAGAAACAAUACUUACUAUAAAGAGAAACAUAUAGAGAAUACUAUAAUGAGAAACAAUACAUACUAUAAAGAGAAACAGACGAAGAAUGCUAUAACGAGAAACAAUACAUACUAUAAAGAGAAACAAAUAGAGAAUACUAUAUGUUGGGCUUAUAAUGUUGCGUCUUGGGCUCGUCUCUAUUAGCCCAGUUUUGGUAUCCGGUUUGGGCCUGUCCAACCGUGAUUGUUUUUAUUCUAGGGUUUUAGUAUUUAAGGUGCAUGCAUGCAUCCUUAGUUGGUAACGCUUUCAUUAUUUUCUUAUCAAAGUAUUGUAAGCCCUAGCUCGCCUCUACAGUGGAAGUUCUUUAUCGAGCUCUGCUGAGGCAUGACUACAUUUAAAUCAUAAGCUUCAUAUUGAUUCUAUAUUGUGUUCUUAAUCGUAUUGUGAUUGAAUUGUUUGUUCUUUAUCAAUAUACCUGUGAAAGAUCUAAACGAUCUAGAGAUUAAUUCUCAUUAAUUGGUAUCAGAGCAGGAGACUGUGAGAUUCAUACACAUCUCUUUUGUUGAAGAAAUUAUUAGGGUUUUCCAUAUUAAUUGAGCCAUCAUUCCAAAUUGGUGUAUCUCAUUAAUUGUCGAUCUCACUCUAACGAUAAAUUACAAGUAUGAUCUUAAACAGGUUAUCGAUCAAACAUCAUCACAAUGUCUAUGGAUGAUUCGCAAACCAAUCUAAUCAACAUCUCCAACAGCAUUGGAUCAACAAAAGGAUUCCAAUCUUAUACACUCAGGACUAUGAAGUUUGGACGCAUCACUUCGAAGAUUAUGUAAUCGACUCAGAGGAUAAUGGGUACUUGAUCUGGGAAGCAAUCACAAUUGGUCUGUUUGCUCACUCAAGCACUUCAAAGAUUGUCAAAACUCAAAAGGAGUACAAUGAACUCGUGAAUGAUGUGAAAGACAUUCCUCAAGACGAGAAACAAAAGUUUCAGUGCAACAUUAAAGCCUUAAGAAUGAUUAGGUUUGCUUUACAAUCAGAUACGUUUCAAUUGGUGAGUUCAUGUGGUACAGCAAAAGAAAUAUGGGAUAGGUUAAAGGAAUUGUACUCUACUAAUGAAGAUCUGGAACGUUCGAUUCAAACCUUGUUGCUUUCUGAAUUUGGUGAUUUCAAACAGAAACCCGAAGAGAAACUUAUUCAGGCCUUUGAUCAGUUUAAUCAUCUUCUCAGUAAGAUGAUAAAGCACGGGAUCGAAAGGAAGGUUAUUGAGCAGAAGGUUACCUUCAUGAACGAUCUUAGACCCGAAUGGAUGGCAGUUGUGUCCACAGUGAAGGCACAAAAACAGUUCAAAUCAUACUCUCUGGCGAAACUGGUUGGAAUUUUGAAGUCCCAUGAAAGUGCGGUGUCAAAGGAAACAAACGUGGUUUCUGGUUUGGGGUCGUUAGCUCUUAUUUCAAAAGGAAAAGGUGUUGUUGAAGAAGAAGAAGAAUUAGAUCUUGCUGACUAUGAUCUAACUGGUGAAGAGUAUGCUCUGAUGGUUUCCAAUCCAAGAAAGUUUAUCAAAAGAAAGUUCCCAACCAACAAGAACCGAAACUGGCAGGGAAGUUAUUGUUUUGAAAAGGUGAAGGAGGAACCGAAGUUGGGUUCAAAGUCAGAAGUAUCCAAGAAGGAGACGAAGAUUGGUGGUGACUCAGGUUUUGAUUGCCAUUAUUGUGGAGGCAAGAAUCAUUUUGCCAAAGACUGCAUGCUGAAGAAAAAGGCUGAAAAGGUUGAUGAAGAUGAUGAGGAAGCGAACCUCAUGAGACGAUUGGAGGAGAUCAAGAAAAGGAAAUCAGCAGCUAACAAUAACACCAUGAAUGCUUUGAUUGUACAAGAUACAGGUGACAAUGAUGAAUUUGGUAGAGUGCAGGUGUGGUCCACAGAUUCAGAGGACGAAGAAGUGAGAAAGCCGAAUAAUGGAAAGGCUAUGCUGGUGAAAGAAGAAAAUGUUGCGGGAAGAUGUUUGAUGGUGACAAAAGGUGUAUCAUAGAUGCGAGGAUACACAAUAGAUGGUGGGCUGAAAGAUGAGAAGGAGCGAGAGGAUAGGUGUUUCGCUGCGAAACCUAUCAGUACACAGAUCAACGAAUGUGAUGAGUUGAUCAAGAAGGUACAAAAUAUUCUAACUUCUCUGAAAAUUCCUAUUACUAACUACAAAAAGAAACUGAAUAGCUUAAAACCUAAAUUUUCUAGUUUAAGUAGUAGUCUUACCCAAACUCGUGUCACAAACUCUAACCUGACUGAUCAAAUAAGCAGGAUAUCGUCAAAGAGUGAGGAGAGGAGGAUCUAGAUUGAGCAGAAGGAGAAAGAAUUAAUUAGGUCUAGGGAUGAAUCAAUCUAUUUGCAACGAGACAAUCUUAAGCUUUUAAAACAACGAAACGUUUUUUGUUUGAUUGCGAAAAGACUAUAUUUUAAUAUCACUCAGUUACAUCUCGAUUGUGAAAUAGGAAAGAAGAUGCAUCGCAUGAUUUUACCCUUCCCUGAGUUAAAGGGGGAUGAAGUCGAUGUCGAAGCUUACAACUGCGAAAAUGCUAUAUCUUCUGACAAAAUCUCUCCUGCCUACAAAAUUGGUCUUCACAAAAUAGAGUCCUACAUAAAGUCAAAAGACCAUAAGGACAUGCUCAAAAAUCUGUUAGAUGAAAAUGAUAAAUUGAAACUAAGAACCGAAACUGUACAUAAAUUUGACUCGUCGAAUGCCAAAUUAAGUUCAGAAAAUAAAAUUGAUGUUGAAACUGCAUCUGAACUUAAUGAGGAUCAUGACAUGAGUGAAAUCUCUGUAGAGGACGUGGUGGACUGUUCUGAAUUUGUCAAAAGCGAACCCGAACCUAAUAAAAAUCUGAUCUCUGAAAACUCCGUUGAGUUCGCUCGCUCAUCAACAGAAAAAACCAAAAUCCUCAAGGAAAAAGUUGUUGUAUAUCAAAAGGUUCAAACCACUCCAAAUCAAGUCUACACAGUUCAGGGAGUUAUACCUCAACAAACAGCAGAACUGACAACAAUGGUAGAAGAAGAUAAUGCAAAUGGAUGUGAGGAGUUCUUCUGGUCAGCACCAAUAGAUAAUGCUGAUGAAACAAAAGGCCUAUCUCAGAAAACCUCAUGGAGAGUGAAGGGUAGGUAUAUGCCGGAACCACUUAAUGAGCCUACAAGAUAUAAUGUACCAAGCACAAGUAGUACCAAAACAUCUUUGGGCGAACCAGUGAUAACGUCCAGUGAGACAUGUUUGUCAAAGAGCGAAAGCCAUGCUCAAGUACCAAAGAAAAAGGCCAAUAUUCAUAAAAAUCCAAAACAUGUAGCAGAACGAAAACACCAACGUAAUCUGAGAUACAACAAGAAUCUCUCAGAAAGAAAACAGUUUUGGCGAUAUCAGAAUCCUCAUUACGUAAGGUAUGAAAAGACACAUAAGUCACGAGGAGAACCAAGAAGCAACCGAAAGGAAGGUUUCGGUCCUCGACAUGAAAGCAACCGAAAGGAGGUUUUCGGUCCUCAGCAGGUAAGGAACCGAAAGAAAGUUUUUGGUCCUCAACAUAAUAGCAGUCGAAAGGAUGGGUUAAGUCCCAGGUUCAAUCAGACGAACCGAAGGGAAGAAUGUUCCCGUUUUCAACCAAGGAAGAGCAAUAAUCGACGAUCUAAUAUUGCUUCUAAACCUUAUUCUCCUCAUUCUCAUUCUAAUUCUUAUUCUUCAAAAGAUAUAAAGGGGAAAGGAAAGCUCUUUUCAGAAGACAACAAAUGCCCGAAAGAGAUCCAAAAGCAUGCAGACGUCAAAAUUUCAAAUCGUACGUCUAAAUCAAAUCAAUCUAAGUCAAACGAAAUUAAAGUUUUUACAAUAAAAAGAAAAGAUGAAACAACUCUAAGAAAAAGAACUUAUAUGGUUGAUGUUUCUCUUACUAUUCCCUGUCCUGUAAAAGGCUCACAAGGACCCAAGAAACUUUGGGUUCCAAAAUCUGCUUGACAUUUUGUAGGUUAUACAUGACGAGCAGUUUGACGAAGAAUGGUACAUUGAUAGUGGUUGCUCGCGUCACAUGACAGGACGAAGGGAAGAACUGAGGGAGUUUUGGUCUCUCAAGGAUGGUGGAACAGUGAAGUACGACAACAAUUUGUUUGGAACUAUCAAAGGCAUGGAAUGAUUAUGAAUGGUGAUUUCUCAAUCAGAAAGGUCGCAUGCGUUGAAGGAUUGCAACACAACUUCAUCAAUGUCUCACAACUUGUAGUUGGGACUGGAUUGAAGGUCUCCUUUGAUGAUGAAGGAUCAGAGAUAGUCGAAAAGAAGUCAAAUAACAUACUGCUGAAGUCGAAGCAAAAAGGGGAAAUGUAUCCUUUAAAUCUCAAUCUAAUUCGAGGGAAACCAACAGUCUGCUUGCUAACGAAGGCACACUCAGAAGAAAGCUGGUUAUGGCAUCGAAGGCUCUUUCAUCUCAAUUUCAAAGAUAUCAACAAGUUGGUAUUGGGAGAUCAUGUUAGAGGUCUUCCAGUUCUCAUGUUCGACAAAAAACAUUUAUGUGCAGCUUGUGAAAUAGGAAAGCAAAGUCGACAAAGUCAUCAUUCUAUUAUCAACACAAAUGUGAUAGAACCAUUAGAGCUAUUACAUAUCGAUCUAUGUGGUCCCUCCUCUAUUGAAAGCAUUGGUGGGAACAAGUACAUUAUUGUCAUAGUUGACGACUUCUCUCGCUUCUCAUGGGUAUUUUUAUUGAAGAAAAAAUUAGAGGCAACUCCUAAGCUCAAGCUCUUCAUAAAGCAAGUAGAGGUUCAACUGCGAAAAGUGGUUCGUAACGUAAGAAGCGACAAUGGCUUGGAAUUUAAGAACAAGGAUUUCAAAGAUUUUCUGGCUGAGAAGGGAACAACUCACAAUUUCUCUGCUCCAUAUACUCCACAACAGAAUGGAAUCGUCGAAAGGCAAAACCGAUCUCUGUGCGAAGCGGCUCGAACUAUGCUAAACUUCACUUCCUUGCCUCUAUAUAUCUGGGCUGAUGCUAUUGCUGGUGCAUGUUACACUCAUAAUAGAUCGUAUCUAAACAUGUGAUUCUCUAAUCACUCCUUAAUAGAUCUUGAACAACCGUAAGCCUAAUGUGAAGUUCUUUCACGUGUUUGGUUCAAGAUGCUUCGUCUUCAACUCAAAGGAGAAUCGAAACAAGUUCGAUGCUAAGGCUGAUGAAGGGAUCUUUUUGGGCUACUCCUUGCACUCUAAGGCAUAUAGAGUUCUGAAUAAACGCUCAAAGAAGAUUGAAGAGACAUACUAUGUCACUUUUGAUGACAGAUAUGUCAAGAAGUUAAAGACACCUGAAGAUGCAAUGUAGGAUAUCUUUCCAAAGUCUAGUCAAGUUACUGUGCCUAUCUCAAAUAUUUUUGAGAAAUAUAUGCUUCUCUUUGAUGAACCUGAAAAAGCUAUCGACUCUAAAUCUAAGGUUGAAGAUAACAAAGUCGACAGUUUGAAGCAAAUUAUUGAUGAUGCUGCACAGAAGAUGGCAGCCGAGCAACCAAAUGCAACCGAAAGGCCUGACUCAAGCGAACCUUCUAGUGACUAUUCUUCUAUCCAGGGGGAGGGUUCGUCUCUACCAAGUGAUUAAGGUUCUUCAUUUCAGGGGGAGAAUUCAUCGUCAGAAUCAUCUAGCUCAAGCGAAAGCCCAAACGAAGGGGAACGUUAUGAUCUAGAAAUUGAAAUAGUGUCAUCAUUCAAGGGGGAGAAUACAAAUGUUAAUAAUGAUGAUACACAAUCAGAAUUAGAAGAAGAUGUCAAUGCAGAACUGGAUCCCUCUUGUGAUCCAAAUUACCCACCUCUCAUUAAAUGGACCAAAUACCAUCCUAAAAGUCAAAUCAUUGGGGAAUCUUUGGAAAAGGUAUUAACUCGAUCACAGAUCAAAGCAAAAUAAGCAUCACUAUUCUCUCAAUUAGAAUUUUGCAUGUUCAAAUCUUUUGUCUCCAAAGUUGAACUGAAGACCGUGAAUUCAGCUCUUGACCAUUCUGAUUGGGUUCAAGCCAUGCAAGAUGAGCUGAACAAGUUUGAAAGGAACAAAGUAUGGCGUCUAAUUCCAACUCCAAAGGAUGCUUCGGUUGUCGGUCUCAAAUGGGUAUUCAGAAAUAUGAUGGAUAAGGAGGGGAAUUUGAUUCGUAACAAGGUCCGGUUGGUCGUAAAAGGAUACUGCCAAGAGGAAGGUAUAGAUUAUGAAGAGACCUUCGCUCCAGUUGCAAGAUUAGAGUCGGUUCGAAUCUUUCUUGCUUAUGCUGCACACAAAAACUUUGAAGUCUAUCAAAUGGACGUAAAGUGUGCCUUUCUCAACGGAGAAGUUGAAGAAACUGUGUACGUUGAGCAACCGCCAGGCUUCGUGAACGAUAAGCAUCCAGAUCACUGCUACAUUUUAGACAAAGCAGUAUAUGGCUUGAAGCAGGCUCCUAGAGCAUGGUAUGAAACUCUCACUUGAUUCUUAAAAAUGUCCAAAUUUAAACAAGGUUCGGUUGACCCAACCUUCUUUCGUAAGAGAGAAGGUAACCACCUUACGAUAGUCCAAAUUUAUGUUGAUGACAUCAUCUUCGGCUCCAAGAAUCCUAGCUUAACAGCUGAAUUCAGGAAGUUGAUGGAAACUAAAUUUAGAUGAGCUCAAUGAGUCCAAUUAACUUUUUCCUUGGCUUAAAUAUUAGACAGGGACCCGAAGACAUUUUUAUCAAUCAGGAGGCAUAUGCAAAUUGCUUGCCAAGUUUGGCAUGAUGGGAGACUGCAAAGUGAAAGUCCCUAUGGAUUUUGGAACUAAGUGUAACACCGUAAAUUUCAAAACAAUUUUUCAUUUAAAAAUAAUCGUUUAAUUCUUAAAAACACUUUUCUUAAAAUCUCAUUCAUAAUCGAAUUACAAAAACAUAACUCCAUUUUCACUUGCAUAAUAAACCAGGAUCCUCAAAACAUGACUCUUUCUCUGGUGUGUACAAUCGAGCCGGUGCCGUCCCGUGAUCCUGAGAGAGACUUGAAACACAUAACACAAAACACUGUAAGCACGAAGCUUAGCGAGUUCCCCAAAAUACCACACAUAACACAUAUUAGCCACUCGAGGCUAUAACUUUGUGGAUCCGUGGACCCUACUCUGUGAACCUUCCGGUUCCAACUUUGGGAACCUUCCAGUUCUAACUCUGUAAACAUGAACAACAUAAAUCACAUAAAAAUAAUGUACUACAACACAUAACAUACAUAGCAUACAAAUACUCUGUCACAUAACUCUGGUUACCUAAUCAAGGUUAAGUAUAGUGAGAAGACUCACCUGGCAAGCAGGAAGCAGAUAUCCUCACGCUUGCAUCUCGAACUCGCCACCAUCUAUCACAUAAGGCAAAUGCUCNAUUAACACUAUCCCAAAAAUGGUUGACUAAUUCUACAAAGUCGACACCGGUCAACUCUGGUCAAUGGUCAACGGUCAACCCAACUCGCCGAGUCUAGCGUGGACUCGCCGAGUCCCUACGGGGAACCGAUUCCUCUGAAUCCCUUCCGAAUUACCGAGUCACUCACCCAACUCGGUUACUCAACCCCUGAUUCGAAAACACGGAACAGCUCGCUCCAACUCGUCGAGUCUGCCAAUGGACUCAACGAGUGCAUUCCAUGCACAACCCCAAACGACCUUCUGAGGUCAGAUCUGUUCCACUAACUCAUAGAUCCAGUCUUUCCAAGCUUAUUUAUCACGUAAAGUUUAUGUCUUGGCGCUCAUAUCACACCUAUUGACUCAUAAAUGGUGUUUUAACCUCAAAUACAAUGAUCCCAAACCAAAACCUCCAUAGACUCAUAUAAAGCUUGGACAAAGAGGCACUCUGGACCUCCAUGGGUCCAGAUCCAGAACCUAACUCGCUUAAGGGACCAUGGGAGCACUAGAUCUAGUCACAAAAGGGCUCAAUAAGCCCUAAAUCAACAUGAACAUCACCUCAACAGAAAAUGGUUCGAAAAUAGUACCUCAAACGUGAUGUUCUGGACCUCAGAUCUUUAGGAAGUUAACCCUCUUGCUUCCUCUUGGCUAUAGCUUCCUUUCCUUUGCUAGAAAACACUUCCAAGGUCGACAAUGGCUCCUUCUGUCACUCCAAACGCUCAAGCUCACUAGGGUUUCGCUCUGGGGGCUGGUGAGCACAAAUGACGGCCAUAAGGCCCCUUUAAAUAGGUCCCAAACCCGAGAAAUUAGGGUUUCAUUAAACAGCGCGGACUCGCCGAGUCCACCAAUGCGACUCGUCGAGUCCGGUCAUUAAUCUGGGUGAGAAAUCGCGUCUCUACUCGGCGAGUCUACGCACCAACUCGCCGAGUUCUUCCACAAAACUCAAAAUAAAAUGAAUAAAUAUAAUACCUGAAAUUCCGGAUGUUACAAUUCUCCCCCACUUGAAUCCGACUUCGCCCUCGAAGUCUCAUUCCUGAAAUAGCUCUGGAUGCUGCUCCUGCAUCUCCCGCUCUGGCUCCUAGGUCAACUCGAAUCCCUUCCGAUGUUGCCACUGAACCUGUACCAGAGGCACCUCCUUGUUCCUCAGAACCUUGAUCUUUCGAUCCACAAUCGCAAUUGGUCUCUCCACGUAGUUCAGGCUCGCAUCCACCUGAAUGUCCUCUAACGGCACUACCGCCGACUCGUUGGCUAUACACUUCCUCAACUGAGACACGUGGAAGGUAUUAUGAAUUCGCUCCAACUCCGCAGGUAGCUCCAGGCGAUACGCUACCCUGCCUACCCUCGCGAUUACUCUGAACGGUCCAAUAUACCGGGGCCCUAGCUUGCCCCUCUUCCUGAAUCGAAUCACUCCUUUCCAAGGAGAUACCUUCAGGAGAACAUAAUCACCGACCUGGAACUCAAGAUCCGAUCGCCACCUAUCCGCAUAACUCUUUUGGCGGCUCUGAGCGGUCCACAACCUCUGCAUGACCUGUUGUAUCUGCUCUGACGUAUGAAGCACGAUCUCUGUACAUCCCAUCACACGUUGCACUACCUCUCCCCAUCAAAUGGGGUCCGAUACCUCCUUCCCUAUAACAACUCAAAGGGGCAUACUGAUGCACUAAUGAUGGUUGUUGUUGUAGGAAAACUCUGCCAAGGGCAAAUAUGGGCCACAAUUUCCCCCCGAAAUCUAAUACACAAGCCCGAAGCAUAUCCACUGGAACCAUAGAUACAUCAUACAUCACUAGUCAUCUUAAACCCAAGACUCUAAAUAACUCCGAAAUCGAGACGCUAUACGCGGAAACCACGGAACACCAUCACAGAGCAUCACAAUGUCCUGCCUCUACCACUGAUUUCCUUACUCCCAGCACCAUACACAUACAACAAUACAUUUCCUCUGAAACCCUUUCCACUACUGCUCAAAAUCCAAGCAAAAAUACACAUCCCAGCCCGUACUCGACAAUCUUCUACCCAUAUUUCAACCCAAAAGUUCUCAACCGCCCAUACCAUCAUUACGAGUCUUCCACUUGAAACGACUCUGACCACCACCAGAUUCCUGACCAUUGACCACCAGUCGUGGAGACACCCAUCCUUCUCUCAGACAUAUACCACAUGCAUUAUCUCGCCCUACACCUUUCCUUGAUCACCAAUGACCCUGAUCUCAUGAAUUCAAGUCGUAGGAUUCUGUAUCCAACCCCUAACCGCUCUUGCACAAAUCUCUGGUUCUCUUAAUAAACCACCCGGUUCUCCCCCACUUAGGUUUUGAACCAUCACUAUCUGACACAUCAACAAUCUCGCAAACUAUUUUCACCAGCAAUAAUGCACCUACCCCUGGAAAGUGCUACGCAACACCCGAUCAUCUCCUUUAAGGAAAUCAAUCGAUCUUAUAUACUCUAAACCUCAGAUGAAAUCCUCAAGAACUUAUCGUCAUGACUGCCUCUAGUCGUUCCAAGUCUCGUACCAAUCCAAUACCAAACAACUCAACUGUCCAAUAACAUCACUGACUCAUAGACUGGACCACGAAAUCAUCAUACUCCCCCACCUUGACUCAUCAACAUACGUUCCAACACAUGGAUCAUCCCAAGAACAGGGACCCACUCCCAUAUUCAAUACCCAACAUAGAUAGAAAAACCACUGCACUGAUAAAAUCGAUUGGACUCCCCACUGAUACCUCUACAAUACACCCUACUAUACUCAAAUAGGUGUAACGUGGUCCUCGACUAUCUCAAUCCCAACUGACUAUCUGCUCAUGGUAAAUCACUGCUUCGCGGCACACAUGCUACCUUAUACUCUGAUGGAAAAUCAUCAUCAAUGACAACCUGCAGGGUUUACCCCCAAACCCAAAACUUAAACAUCAUGCCUCUCAUGUUUCGCGCACGAACAUAAAUAGCACCACCCAGGUCAUAGAAGGUGACAUCUCCUCUGUCGACUGAUUACUCAAAUCAGACCAAAAUUCUCCCCUCCCUGUGACUCCUUACCAAGAUAUUCUGAAAGGCUAUCAACCUCUCUCUCAAGGGAUGCCUCUUCGAACUCAAUCAUGACCCACUGGCCUAAAACCCAUAGCGUCCAAUCUCUACCUCAUCAAUCAUGACCAGAUAACCGGAGAACUACAAGCAUCAUUCACUACGAACCAUGGUACUCAUCCCAUGACAUCUCUUCUCAAUAUGCUCCGGUGUAUGGUACCCGAACCAUAACAUCACUCCUCCAUCUGCUCCGAUGUAUGGUACUCGAACCAUAACAUCACUCCUCAAUCCGCUCCGAUGUAUGGUACUCGAACCAUAACAUCACUCCUCAAUCCGCUCCGAUGUAUGGUACCCGAACCAUAACAUCACUCCUCAAUCCGCUCCGAUGUAUGGUACUCGAACCAUAACAUCACUCCUCAAUCCGCUCCGAUGUAUGGUACUCGAACCAAAACAUCACUCCUCAAUCCGCUCCGAUGUAUGGUACUCGAACCAUAACAUCACUCCUCAAUCCGCUCCGAUGUAUGGUACUCGAACCAUAACAUCACUCCUCAAUCCGCUCCGAUGUAUGGUACUCGAACCAUAACAUCACUCCUCAAUCCGCUCCGAUGUAUGGUACUCGAACCAUAACAUCACUCCUCAAUCCGCUCCGAUGUAUGGUUCUCGAACCAUAACAUCACUCCUCAAUCCGCUCCGAUGUAUGGUACUCGAACCAUAAUGUCACUCCUCAAUCCACUUUGAUGUAUGGUACUCGAACCAUAACAUCACUCCUCCAUCUGCUCCGAUGUAUGGCACUCGAACCAUAACAUCACUCCUCCAUUUGCUCCGAUGUAUGGUACUCGAACCAUAACAUCACUCCUCAACCCGCUCAUUAGAACCUUCAGAAUACUCCUUGUAUCAAGUAUGGGUCCUCUGCUUUCAGUAGUACGGGCCCAUACUACCUGCCACAUCUACCCAUACUUUCCACACGGACUAUCCCAGAGUUCCUAAGUAGCUGCUUGACCUUCUCGUUCACCAAUUCCAUCGCGCGUGCUCGCUCCCCAGCGAAAUUCCCUACUCUACCAGCGCACUCAUCUGGCUAAGGUUACUUCCUAGGCUCUUCCUAGAUUCCCAUACUUCACUGCCAUCAGCUGCUGAAGAGCUCCUAAUGAUACCAGCCAUCUACCUCCUGAACAUCGUCAUAUUCGCUUGGUAGCUAACUCCCAUCAUCAAGAGUUCCACAAAGCACGAAGCAAGCAGCAUUCGAGCAUCGAAGAAUACAUAGGACUCACUCUGGGUGAUAACUCCGCUUGCUCUGCUCGUCCUCGAAAGUACCACCGAACUCUGCAACUCUUCCCCUCGCGGGUUCUAACUAUUCUUUCACUAAGUACCACGGUACUCAUCUAGGUAUCUCCCCUAGAUUACUCCUCUACUCAAAUCCCCUAAAGGAUUCCAACUAAAUAUUCUCACUCAUCACAUACUCAAAAGCACAUCGCAUAUAGCAGCAAUUCCUAGGCUAAGGCAUCACAAAUCAGGCCACUCUAGUCCUAAGAUAUGAAAUACCUAGCCUGUCUCUAGCAUGCAAUAAUAUCUCAUAAAGUUCAUCAUAAAUAUCUCAUAACACAAAAGUAAGGGUAUUUUGGGAAAUCACCGUUCGGGCUCUGGCUAAUUGUACACACUCCUCUUUCUCGCUUUCUAUUUGAACUCUUAUUUGCUUUAGAAAAUUAUUUCCUUGAAAACUUUUCUUACUUCCUCAGUUUGAGUCUAGUUUUACCCGAAGGUGCAUCCGAAUCCCUCAAACCAAGGCUUUGAUACCAACUUGUAACACCGUAAAAUUCAAAACAAUUUUUCAUUCAACAAUAAUCAUUUAAUUCUUAAAAACACUUUUCUUAAAAUCUCAUUCAUAAUCGAAUUACAAAAACAUAACUCCAUUUUCACUUGCAUAAUAAACCAGGAUCCUCAAAACAUGACACUUUCUCUAGUGUGUACAAUCGAGCUGGUGUCGUCCCGUGAUCCUGAGAGAAACCUGAAACACAUAACACAAAACACUGUAAGCACGAAGCUUAGUGAGUUCCCCAAAAUACCACACAUAACACAUAUUAGCCACUCGAGGCUAUAACUCUGUGGGUCCGUGGACCCUACUCUGUGAACCUUCCGGUUCUAACUCUGUGAACCUUCCGGUUCUAACUCUGUAAACAUGCACAGCAUAAAUCACAUAGAAAUAAUGCAGUACAACACAUAACAUACAUAGCAUACAAAUACUCUGUCACAUAACUCUGGUUACCUACUCAAGGUAAAGUAUAGUGAGAAGACUCACCUCGCGUAUCUCGGUAACUCGUAAAUCCCGGAAAUCACUAGUGCUCGAUCUCCCGAGCUAUAGUCCUCCUAUAACACAAGCAUAUAUCUAAUUAACACUAUCCCAACUAUGGUAGACUAAUUCUACCAAGUCGACACCGGUCAACUCUGGUCAAUGGUCAACGGUCAACCCAACUCGCUGAGUGCCUACGGGGACCCGAUUCCUCUGAAUCCCUUCCAACUCACCGAGUCACUCACCCAACUCGGUUACUCAACCCCUGAUUCGAAAACAAGGAAUAGCUUGCUGCAACUCGUCGAGUCUGCCAAUGGAUUCGACGAGUGCAUUCUAUGCCCAACCCCAAACGACCUUCCGAGGUCAGAUCUGUUCCACUAACUCAUAGAUCCAGUCUUUCCAAGCUUAUUUAUCACGUAAAGUUUAUGUCUUGGCGCUCAUAUCACACCUAUUGACUCAUAAAUGGUGUUUAAACCUCAAACACAAUGAUCCCAAACCAGAACCUCCAUAGAAUCAUAUAAAGCUUGGACAAAGAGGCACUCUGGACCUCCAUGGGUCCAGAUCCAGAACCUGAAUCGCUUAAGGGACCAUGGGAGCACUAGAUCUAGUCACAAAAGGGCUCAAUAAGCCCUAAAUCAACAUGAACAUCACCUCAACAAAAAAUGGUUCGAAAAUAGUACCUCAAACGUGAUGUUCUGGACCUCAGAUCUUCAGGAAGUUAACCCUCUUGCUUCCUCUUGGCUAUAGCUUCCUUUCCCUUGCUAGACAACACCACCAAGGUCGACAAUGGCUCCUUCUCUCACUCCAAACGCUCAAGCUCACUAGGGUUUCGCUCUGGGGGCUGGUGAACACAACUGACGGCCAUAAGGCCCCUUUAAAUAGGUCCGAAACCCGAGAAAUUAGGGUUUCAUUAAACAGCACGGACUCGCCGAGUCCACCAAUGCGACUCGUCGAGUCCGGUCAUUAAUCCGGGUGAGAAAUCGCGUCUCUACUCGGUGAGUCUACGCACCAACUCGCCGAGUUCUUCCAGAAAAAUUGAAAUAAAAUGAAUAGAUAUAAUACCUGAAAUUCCGGAUGUUACAAUUCUCCCCCACUUGAAUCAGACUUCGCCCUCGAAGUCUCAUCCCUGAAAUAGCUCCGGAUGCUGCUCACGCAGCACUCGCUCUGGCUCCCAAGUCAACUCGGAUCCUUUCCGAUGUUGCCACUGUACCUACACCAGGGGCACCUCCUUGUUUCUCAGAACCUUGAUCUCCCGAUCCACAAUCGCAAUUGGCCUCUCCGCGUAGUUCAAGCUCGCGUCCACCUGAAUGUCCUCUAACAGCACUACCGCCGACUCGUCGGCUAUACACUUCCUCAACUGAGACACGUGGAAGGUAUUAUGAAUUCGCUCCAACUCCGCAGGUAGCUCCAGGUGAUACACUACCCUACCCACUCUCGCGAUUACUCUAAACGGCCCAAUAUACCGGGGCCCUAGCUUGCCCCUCUUCCUGAAUGGAAUCACUCCUUUCCAAGGAGAUACCUUCAGGAGAACAUAAUCACCAAUCUGGAACUCAAGCUUGGAUCGCCGCCUAUCCGCAUAACUCUUCUGGCGGCUCUGAGCGGUCCACAACCUCUGCCUGACCUGUUGUAUCUGCUCUGACGUAUGAAGCACGAUCUCUGUACAUCCCAUCACACGUUGCACUACCUCUCCCCAUCAAAUGGGGUCCGAUACCUCCUUCCCUAUAACAACUCAAAGGGGCAUACUGAUGCACUAAUGAUGGUUGUUGUUGUAGGAAAACUCUGCCAAGGGCAAAUAUGGGCCACAAUUUCCCCCCGAAAUCNAGCCCGAAGCAUAACCUCGAGCGUCUGAAUCGUUCGCUUGCUCUGAAGUGUCCACAUACAUCACCAUGGUAAACUCUAGCUCAUUUCUCAUAUUCAUCUUCGAUACCGAGCACCAGGUCGGCUUUUGGCCCCACAGCUGAACCCCCAAAGGUCACACAUAACAUGAUCCAAAAUAUCUCACUAAAUUCCUCCCCAUGACCACUAUCACGGCCCAGUGACACGUAAGUCACGAAAUUCCCGUUUCCUCAAAAAAUACAAUCCAAUCGAAGAUCGACUCAGCUCUAACCUCUGGCGUCUGCUGCGUAUAUUCUCCCGCGCGCCUCGCAGACCCUCCCGACAGAGACGGAGACCCCAUUCUCGCCCCAGUUAACCACUAGGCUCCAUAAACUCAACAUUAGGGCUACUCAAGCCUAAAACUCUUCUGCAUCAUGCACUUAUCAGAGAACACUCCCUCAUCACACUCUCUUGCCGUCUAGUGGGUACUAUGGCUUCCCGCAACAUCACGACAGCCUCUGACUAGUGAGUACUACGGCUCCCCGUAGUACCACGACUCCCUCCCUCUGACCUGUGAGUACUACGGCUCCCCGUAGCAUCAUAGCACCCUCUGACUAGUGAAUACUACGGCUCCCUGUAGUAUCACAACUCUCUCUCUGGCUUGUGAGUACUACGGCUCCCCAUAGCCUCACAACACCCUCUGACUGGUGAAUACUAUGGCUCCCCGUAGCUUCACCCUAUACUCUCAUUCUCAUUAUAACGCCACACUAUGUUCAUUAACUCAUGCAACGAAGACUAUCAUAGAUAGUUACACACACAAUUGCCCCGAUAUGCAUUACAGACUCUGGCGGCAACCGCCAAAACACAUAACCUACCUCUGCGGAGAUUCACUUCCUUAAAUAAUCCCUCUUGAUGACAAUACAUGAAGGGCUCCCACUGGAACCAUAGAUACAUGAUACAUCACUAGUCAUCUUAAACCCAAGACUCUAAAUAACUCCGAAAUCGGGACGCUAUACGCGGAAACCACAGAACACCAUAACAGAGCAUCACAAUGUCCUGCCUCUACCACUGAUUUCCUUACUCCCAGCACCAUACACAUACAACAAUACAUUUCCUCUGAAACCCUUUCCACUACUGCUCAAAAUCCAAGUAAAAAUACACAUCCCAGCCCAUACUCGACAAUCUUCUACCCAUAUUUCAACCCAAAAGUUCUCAACUGCCCAUACCAUCAUUACGAGUCUUCCACUUGAAACGACUCUGACCACCACCAGAUUCCUGACCAUUGACCACCAGUCGUGGAGACACCCAUCCUUCUCUCAGACAUAUACCACAUGCAUUAUCUCGCCCUACACCUUUCCUUGAUCACCAAUGACCCUGAUCUCAUGAAUUCAAGUCGCAGGUUUCUGUAUCCAACCCCUAACCGCUAUUGCACAAAUCUCCGGGUCUCUCAAUAAACCACCCGGUUCUCCCCCACUUAGGGUUCGAACCAUCACUAUCUGACACAUCAACAAUCUCACAAACUAUUUUCACCAGCAAUAACGCACCUGCCCAUGGAAAGUGCUACGCAACGCCGGAUCAUCCCCUUUAAGGAAAUCAAUCGAUCUUAUAUACUCUGAACCUCGGAUGAAAUCCUCAAGAACUUCUCGUCACGACUGCCUCUAGUCGUUCCAAGUCUCGUACCAAUCCAAUACCAAACAACUCAACUGUCCAAUAACAUCACUGACUCAUAGACUAGACCACGAAAUCAUCAUACUCCCCCACCUCGACUCAUCAACAUACAUUCCAACACAUGGAUCAUCCCAAGAACAGGGACCCACUCCCAUAUUCAAUACCCAACAUAGAUAGAAAAUCCACUGCACUGAUAAAGUCGACUAGACUCCCCACUGAUACCUCUACAAUACGCCCUACUAUACUCAAAUAGGUGUAACGUGGUCCUCGACUAUCUCAAUCCCAACUUACUAUAUGUUCAUGGUAAAUCACUACCUCGCGGCACACAUGCUACCUGAUACUCUGAUGGAAAAUCAUCAUCAAUGACAACCUGCAGGGUUUACCCCCAAACCCAAAACUUAAACAUCAUGCCUCUCAUGUUUCGCACACGAACAUAAAUAGCACCACCCAGGUCAUAGAAGGUGACAUCUCCUUUAUCGACUGAUUGCUUAACUCAGACCGAAAUUCUCCCCUCCCUCUAAUUCCUUACCAAAAUAUUUUGAAAGGCUCUCGACCUCUUUCUCAAGGGACGCCUCUUCGAACUCAAUCAUGGCCCACUGGCCUAAAACCCAUAGCGUCUAAUCUCUACCUCAUCAAUUAUGACCAGAUAACCGGAGAACUACAAGCAUCAUUCACUACGAACCAUGGUACUCAUCCCAUGACAUCGCUUCUCAAUAUGCUCUGGUGUAUGGUACCCGAACCAUAACAUCACUCAUCCAUCCGCUCUGAUGUAUGGUACCCGAACCAUAACAUCACUCCUCCAUCCGCUCCGAUGUAUGGUACUCGAACCAUAAAAUCACUCCUCAAUCCGCUCCGAUGUAUGGUACUCGAACCAUAACAUCACUCCUCAAUCUGCUCCGAUGUAUGGUACUCGAACCAUAACGUCACUCCUCAAUCCGCUCCGAUGUAUGGUACUCGAACCAUAACAUCACUCCUCAAUCUGCUCCGAUGUAUGGUACUCGAACCAUAACAUCACUCCUCAAUCCGCUCAUUAGAACCUUCAGAAUACUCCCUGUAUCAAGUAUGGGUCCUCUGCNAUCCUUCAGAAUAAUCCCUGUAUCAAGUAUGGGUCCUCUGGUUUCAGUAGGAUGGGCCCAUACUACCUGCCACAUCUACCCAUACUUUCCACACGGACUAUCCCGUAGUUCUUAAGUAGCUGCUUGACCUUCUCGUUCACCAAUUCCGUCGCGCGUGCUCGCUCCCCAGCGAAAUUCUCUACUCUACCAGCGCACUCAUCUGGCUAAGCUUACUCCCUAGGCUCUUCCUAGAUUCCCCUACCUCUCUGCCAUCAGCUGCUGAAGAGCUCCUAAUGAUGCCAGCCAUCUACCUCCUGAAUAUCGUCAUAUUCACUUGGUAGCUGACUCCCAUCAUCGAGAGCUCCACAAAGCACAAAGCAAGCAACAUUCAAGCAUCGAAGAACACAUAGGACUCACUCUGGGUGAUAACUCCGCUUGCUCUGCUUGUCCUCGAAAGUACCACCGAACUCUGCAACUCUUCCCCUCGCGGGUUCUAACUAUUCUUUCGCUAAGUACCACGGUACUCAUCUAGGUAUCUCCCCUAGAUUACUCCUCUACUCAAAUCCCCUAAAGGAUUCCAACUAAAUAUUCUCACUCAUCACAUACUCAAAAGCACAUCGCAUAUAGCAGCAAUUCCUAGGCUAAGGCAUCACAAAUCAGGCCACUCUAGUCCUAAGAUAUGAAAUACCUAGCCUGUCUCUAGCAUGCAAUAAUAUCUCAUAAAGUGCAUCAUAAAUAUCUCAUAACACAAAAGUAAGGGUAUUUUGGGAAAUCACCGUUCGGGCUCUGGCUGAUUGUACACACUGCUCGUUCUCGCUUUCUCUUUGAACUCUUAUUCGCUUUAGAAAAUUAUUUCUUUGAAAACUUUUCUUACUUCCUCAGUUUGAGUCCAGAUUUACCCGAAGGCGCAUCCGAAUCCCUCAAACCAAGGCUCUGAUACCAACUUGUAACACCGAAAAUUUCAAACAAUUUUUCAUUUAAAAAUAAUCGUUUAAUUCUUAGAAACACUUGUUUAAAAUCUCAUUCAUAAUCGAAUUACAAAAACAUAACUCCAUUUUCACUUGCAUAAUAAACCAGGAUCCUCAAAACAUGACUCUUUCUCUGGUGUGUACAAUCAAGCCGAUGCCGUCCCGUGAUCCUGAGAGAAACCUGAAACACAUAAAACAAAACACUGUAAGCACGAAGCUUAGUGAGUUCCCCAAAAUACCACACAUAACACAUAUUAGCCACUCGAGGCUAUAACUCUGUGGGUCCGUGGACCCUGCUCUGUGAACCCUCUGGUUCUAACUCUGUGAACCUUCCGGUUCUAACUCUAGGAACCCUCCGGUUCUAACUCUGUAAACAUGCACAACAUAAAUCACAUAGAAAUAAUGCAGUACAACACAUAACAUACAUAGCAUACAAAUACUCUGUCACAUAACUCUGGUUACCUACUCAAGGUAAAGUAUAGUGAGAAGACUCACCUUGCGUAUCUCGGUAACUCGUAAAUCCCGGAAAUCACUAGUGCUCGAUCUCCCGAGCUAUAGUCCUCUUAAAACACAAGCAUAUCUCUAAUUAACACUAUCCCAAUUAUGAUUGACUAAUUCUACCAAGUCAACACCGGUCAACUCUGGUCAAUGGUCAACGGUCAACCCAACUCGCCGAGUCUGGCGUGGACUCGCCGAGUCCCUACGGGGAUCUGAUUCCUCUGAAUCCCUUCCGACUCACCAAGCCACUCACCCAACUCGGUUACUCAACCCCUGAUUCGAAAACACGGAACAGCUCGCUCCAACUCGUCGAGUCUGCCAAUGGACUCAACGAGUGCAUUCCAUGCACAACCCCAAACGACCUUCUGAGGUCAGAUCUGUUCCACUAACUCAUAGAUCCAGUCUUUCCAAGCUUAUUUAUCACGUAAAGUUUAUGUCUUGGCGCUCAUAUCACACCUAUUGACUCAUAAAUGGUGUUUUAACCUCAAACACAAUGAUCCCAAACGAAAACCUCCAUAGACUCAUAUAAAUCUUGGACAAAGAGGCACUCUGGACCUCCAUGGGUCCAGAUCCAGAACCUAACUCGCUUAAGGGACAAUGGGAGCACUAGAUCUAGUCACAAAAGGGCUCAAUAAGCCCUAAAUCAACAUGAAUAUCACCUCAGCAGAAAAUGGUUCGAAAAUAGUACCUCAAACGUGAUGUUCUGGACCUCAGAUCUUCAGGAAGUUAACCCUCUUGCUUCCUCUUGUCUAUAGCUUCCUUUCCCUUGCUAGACAACACCUCCAAGGUCGACAAUGGCUCCUUCUCUCACUCCAAACGCUCAAGCUCACUAGGGUUUCGCUCUAGGGACUGGUGAGCACAAAUGCGACUUGUCGAGUCCCAUACCCGAGUAAUUAGGGUUUCAUUAAACAGCGCGGACUCGCCGAGUCCACCAAUGCAACUUGUCGAGUCCGGUCAUUAAUCCGGGUGACAAAUCGCGUCUCUACUCGGCGAGUCUACGCACCAACUCGUCGUGUUCUUCCACAAAACUUGAAAGAAAAUGAAUAGAUAUAAUAACUGAAAUUCCGGAUGUUACACUAAGCUUACACCAUCUUUGGAAAAGCCAGCUGCUGACAUGACGCUUUAUCAUCAGAUGAUUGGGUCACUGAUGUAUCUCACAGCCAGCAGGCUAGACAUCAUGUUCUCAUUCUGCUAUUGUGCCCGAUUCCAAGCUAACCCACGCAAACCUCACAUGCUAGCCNAUCUUUCGAUAUCUGAAGCGAACUUCCUCUCUCGGUUUAUGGUAUCCAGCCAACUCAGGUUUCUUUGUCCAAGCAUUCUCAGAUGCUGACUUAGGUGGUUGUGGAUUGGAUCGUAAAAGCACUACUGGAUGAUGCCAAUUUCUUGAUGGUAAAUUGGUUAGCUGGCAAUCAAAGAAACAAACUUGUGUUUCUCACUCAAUGGCUGAAGCUGAAUACAUAGCCGCCGCCUCAUGCACAUCUCAGGUUGUUUGUAUACAGAGUCAGCUUAGGUACUAUGGGCUGAACAUGAAGAAAAUCCCACUAUAUUGCGACUCUGAAAGUGCAAUUAGGAUUUGUCAUUACCCAGUGCAACACUCGAAGACAAAGCACAUAGCACUGCGGUAUCACUUCAUCAAAGAUCAUGUGGAAGAUGGUAACGUAGAAAUUCAUUUCAUUAGAACCACUUAUCAACAAGCAGAUAUAUUCACUAAGGCUUUACCUGAAGCAAGUUUCAACAAGAUCUUACAAGGCCUAGGAAUGAUGGAAGUAGAAUCAGUACCAAAAUCGCCUUCGCUUCACUAAAGGUAAGAAGCGAAAUAGAGCGAACGCUCGGUCUAUUUCGGGUUCGGUUCACCCGAGAACCGAAAUAAACCGAACGCUCGAUCUAUUUCAGGUUCGGUCCUUCUGAACUCGUUCGCUUCUUUUUUAAAAGGGAUUUUCAUAGUAUUUUUUUUGUUUUACUAUAACUUUUUCACAAAAUACAAAAAUAUUUUUUAUUUUAUUUCAUUGUUCUCAUAUUUUUCUUUGUACAAAUGCUACUCUCGAUGGUGAAGCUCAAGCAGGUAUAAAUUUUUUUUUAUGAAUUAGUCAAGUGUCCCUAGAUGCAUGCUGCUGCAUGUUGACCAAAGCCUCUCCAGAUUUUGAGUGAAGCCUUAAUAAUGUGAUAUAUACAAAUCAUGUUUUCCCAAACUAGGCUGUUACAUUCACUCUAAUCGUCAGCUACCUGACUCUUCUCAUAUUGAGUUUAGAGUUUUCUGCUUGAUCCUUCUUUUAUAGUAGAGGUACAUUCGCUUCUUACACCACCUAUAUCAUUUUCUUCAUUACACUUCAUCUCACUAAUGUAACCCUUGAGACUCUCAGCACCACCACUGAGGUUUAUGGUUACACAAAAAUCUGUGUUAAUGAUCUUAGUUUUGUCCACCACGAAUUAAGUGAAACCCGUAAUCCAACUCCCAUAAUGACUUAACGGUGAACUCUUCAAAGUUCUAGCUAUUAUUUGUCACCUUAUGAAAUCUCCACUUUUCUUUUUGCGAGAUCUUUAUGAAAUUGUUUUUCACCAAGACUCUUUCUUCCAAAAGGAUCCAGGUUUUAAUUUUUUUUUUGAGAUUUCCUGUUAAAUUUUUUCAACAAGUCACUGAAUAUAUUACCCACCUACUUGUUUAACAGGCCUCAUCGGCCUCACAAGUACUUUGUUCGUUUCGGUCUUAUAUAAAGUACCGAAAUCAUGAAUUGAAGCGAAAACCACCCUUUAUAUCUUUAAUUAAAAAUAUGCUUUUCAAAGCUUCUUAACAAGUACUUGAUCGUUAUUUAACGGGAAGCCACACAAGCAAUUUGAAGUCUCUAUUGAGUUUAAAGGAAGAGAUUUGUGCCCGGGAUCAAUCGCUUUAUGUCUUAACAGACAUCACAAGUUCCCACAAAUACUUUGCUUUAUUUCUUUCUCAUUUACACCCUUACGCACACACAUUCUAUAUUCUCAAGGAGGUAUUGUUCAGUUCUUAACAAGUUACUGCAGUCGGUUUCGAAAUUAAAAGCGAUGGUUUGGUGUAACAUUUUUGAGCUAUUAUGGAAAUCGCAAUUUUAUUGAAGAUUCAUCUGAUGACUCAGCAGGAAGUUUAAACGCUUGACGAUUUAAAUGAUGGAUAAGUUUGGAAGGCGCCACAAUUUGAAUUGGUCAUCAUGCGUCAUCUUUACUUUAUCAGGGUUGCAAGAUGUCAAAUCACGCUUUUUGAGGAGUUGUUUCCAAGAUUUCAGCAAUCAUCACUUAUGAUUUUUCUCUCUCCAGGAUCGUAUAUAAGGGCUGAUUUCAGUAUGACUAUUCCUUACCACACUUCUACUCACUAGAGCAAAAGCAGGCGAUCAACUUCUCACUAUUCAUCUUCUUCCUCGACAAGCUUCAUCAAUGGCAGAAUCAUCCUCAGUUCAAGAAACUACUGCUCGCUCCACUCUUCUUGCAAUCAAGCCUAAUCAGAACCUGCUGAUCGAUCUCACACCUUUCCUCUACGAUACGUACAUGUAUCAAGUGGCGGAAUGUCUGAAAUAUUCCCCACUCGCCAAAGCCCUAACGACAAUCGAAGUUGUUCCAAUGUCCUGUCUCUCUCAAAUCUACUCCACUGUAACGUAUGACAAAGGAGCAGAUAAAAUUUUCUUCGAUAUUCUUAACCAAAAAGCUUGAAUCCCCAAGAGUCAUUUUUGCUCUCUUCUAGGGCUUGCAUAUGAAGACUCCAUGGUUAAUCCCGAUUCUAUUGCCACAUGUCAACUCUUCUCAAUGUUCUACAACAUGGGUUGUACUGAAACACUAACCACUGUGACAAAGUUCAAGAAGUCCUGCCUUCCUCCUCCAUGGAAUGGCCUCUUCACUCUAGUCUUCAAAUGGCUUUCUGAACGCAGUGUUGGUUCCGACGGUGCAAGUAAGUCCUUCAUGACUCUACUUUAUGGUGUGUACCAUGGCCUUAAUCUGGAUUAUGGAAUGGUUUUAUGGAUCCAACUUAUUCAGAGUUUAUCAUCUUCUUCUCGCCACACCGAAAUCUCUUGUGCUCGCUUCUGGACUGUUAUCACUCAGUGGAUAAUGGAUCGUUUUCAUGUUCCUACCAUGGCCGACUCCAUGCUUUCUUCCAUUGCUACGUUUCACACUACCAACAUCAUUGUGACUCAUCCUUCAAAAUUUGUUUUUGUUGGGUCCAUUCCUGAGUCAAUGUCUGCCUUUGUGCCUCCUUCGAGCAAGAUUAUUCAGGAAUACAAGAAGCAUCCCUCCUCUGGUCCAAGGGAACUCACUGCUGACAUGGUGAAAUCAAUUGAAGAUGCAGACAAACCUGCCAAAAGAGGCAAAAAGCUAGAAGUGAAAAAGGGGGAUAAGGGGGGUCAAGUCUCAAAAUUUCAAACACCCAGGAAGCAAAAGUCUGAGAAGGCAGCCCCAGCUCAACCUAAGCCAAAGAAAGUCAAGAAACCUGCUCGCCGGCUAAUUCUUCAACCUUCAAGUGAUUCUGAUUCUGAGUAUGUGCCUCCUAAUCAACCAACAAUUCCUCCCAGUGAAUCUGACAGCGAAAGCUCAGAGGAUGAAGGUUCGGUGCGUGGUGAUACACCGCCUCGCUCGCCUACACCAGAGGUACCUGUUCGGUCCCAAGUACCUUCUCCUCCACCUGUUUCUGUUCCUGUCUCCAUCCCUCUUAUUUUUCCUAUCAUUACAUCUCAACCAUCUACUACUAUUCCCAUUUCUGCACCCAUCUUUACUGAGGCUACUACUACCACAACUACUGGAGUUCGAACUAAUGUAUCUGAUACGGGGCUCGUUCUUCAGCACACAAACCUCCGGCCACUUCUAAACCCCCUGUCAUUACUGGACCUCCACUGUUUCUUACUUCGAAGCUGCUCUUAAGGCCUUAUUCUCUUUGGUUGUUCAAGAGCAUGAUGCCUCUCUCUCUGCCGCAGCAAAGGCUAUCGAUGCCUCUACAUCACAAUGUCAGAAGGCGUCACUUGCUGUUGAGGCCUCGAUGAAAGAAUGCAAAGAUGCGACCGCAAAAUUCGAAAAAAUAAUUUCUGAGGCUCAACUAUUCCUAGAUUCUUUGCAAGUUGCCGCUCAAAAGAACUCUCAGACUGUGAACACUUCAGUUGAUAAUCUCCAACGUUCGCUCAAAGCUGAAAGGACUAAUCUUGAAGUCGCUCACCAGGCCAUUGAAGCUGCCAAUGAAAACCUUCAUAAUAAUGUAAAUAAUCGUUUGACUCAGCUGGAAGCCGAACUUGCCGUUGAAAAUCAGAUUAUGGAUGAGUUAGACAAUCGUACAUCUCAGCUGAAAAUGCAAAACCUCAAGAUUCGCACUGCCAACAAAGAGCUUGUUGAUUUAAAGUCUGAAAGAGAGGUUAUUCGAAGCUCCGUGGGUGACAUUCACUCCAUUUUGCUACACCUUCUCGACCAUCAUGACUCUAUUAUGAAUAUAUCCAUUAGACGCCAUUUAGCUGAAAAACUCAGACAUGCGUUAGAUAUCUUGAGUCGGAUAGAGGGUGUUUCGCUGACUUCUGUCCAGCCGAAACAAGGGGGAGAAAAGGAAAAGGGAAAGGUUAAUACUCAACCUCCUCCCGUAUCCAAAUCAACAACUACACCAAAGGAUAAUGUAGCUUUGGGCAGCAAAAGGGAUAAGAAGAAGAAGAAGAUUGGAGAAGAUGAUGUAGAUGAUGUUGAUGAUUUUGAAGAUACCUUGGGUGAAAAUCCCUCUAAGCCUUUUCAGAAAACAAAACUCUCUGACAAGGAGCUUGCAGAAAAUAUUGAGAAGGAAAAAGUUGAGCUCGAGAAAAAGCUAAAAGAAAAAGAGCUCUUGGAGAAAAAGAAGUCCAUUUUACCAGAAUGGACCAUUAAUUCGCUCCAGAGAGAAGCUGUAGAUGAACCGAGUACUCAUUGGCCCGAACCUGUAAUGUCGUUUGGUCUUGAAAACUCAAAGGACGCUCAAUUUGAUAUGCCAAUCACUCGAAAGGCAUUUAUUUUUCAUUGCUUCAACUCAACAGUUGUCAUUCCGUCUCUGGACCCGAAGGUAGAUCGGGAUCUGUUGGAGUUUUAUCUGGAAUUCGCUCAGCCACAGUACUUGUCCUGGAGCUCACAGAAGAUUACUACCGUCAAAGUACUAAAGCCUUAUUCAGCCGGGAAAUUUAUCAACAUCAAAUUUAAAGUGACUCGAGGCUCUGAAGGCUCGGUUCAUAAUUUUUCCCUGGCUGAUCUACCGAACCUUAACCCUCACGACUGGAUACUCCUCAACAACAUUCUGUUGUCCAAUCCUUAGGAGUAUCAGCCGAUUAUAGACCAUAUAUAGCGAACGCUUGUUUGCUACAUUCAUGAAGUAGCGAUGAUGGAUCAAGAAAUCACAUCUGCCAUUCACAAGUGACCAACGAUCAAACCAAUUGGGAAAAUUGCCAAUGUGAACGUGAUGGUCAAGGGAAAAAUCGACCCCAAAACUCAUACAGUGAUGUCCGUUAGGGGUGAAAAUCACAAAUGUCUUUUUGCUCUUUGUGAUAAGCACUUGUUCUCAACUUCUUGCUUCGAGCAUAUUUUGGAGAUCAUUCACAGGUGCAAUCAGAAUUCUGCAGCUGACAAGAAGUUGUUUACUAACAUGCUACGAUGGUAUAUUCAAUUUCGGCAGAUUCUUCUUGCUAUCAUUCCUCGGCUGUUCAAAGUUGUGAAGACAGUGAAGGCUACUCAACAGAAAUAAUCUCUCGCCCCAAUUGACGCAAAGGGGGAGAUUGUUGGGCUUAUAAUGUUGCGUCUUGGGCUCGUCUUUAUUAGCCUGGUUUUGGUAUUUGGUUUGGACUUGUCCAACCGUGAUUGUUUUUAUUCUAGGGUUUUAGUAUUUAAGGUGCAUGCAUGCAUCCUUAGUUGGUAACGCUUUCAUUAUUUCCUUAUCAAAGUAUUGUAAACCCUUGCUCGCCUCUACAGUGGAAGUUCUUUAUUGAGCUUUGCUGAGGCGUGACUACAUUUGAAUCAUAAGCUUCAUAUUAAUUCUAUAUUGUGUUCUUAAUCGUAUUGUGAUUGAAUUGUUUGUUCUUUAUCAAUAUACCUGUGAAAGAUCUAAACGAUCUAGAGAUUAAUUCUCAUCACUAUAAGGAGAAACAAUACAUACUAUACACUAUACAAAGAGAACUUACUAUGAUGAGAAACAAAGAAAACAUACUACAUACUAGACAAAGAGAACAAACACUACACUAGUACAUACAAUACAUAUACAAGAAUACUAUAACAUAACGAGAUAUACUACUUCGGGGCAUAUCAUCACUGCUAUGGCUCGUUUUGUAACCAGAGUCUCCUGGAGGGAGAGCUUAAAUUUGUGUCUAGAUCUAUACUGGAUUGACUAUCCUACACCUUGUUGUUCGCUACAGUGGGAAUUCCAAGUCUACGGGUGCCAAAUGUCAUUUCUUUCGACGUCUUUCAUCGUCGUGUUUUAGUCAGUUAGUAUGGUAACAACCACAUCACAUUAUACCUAAAUUAAACCAUUGGUUUUAAGGUAGUUAUUACUUCAUUAGUUAAUACAAAUAAUACUAUAGUACACAUACAUCUUCCCAUUAUAUUCAAAUUGUGAUCUUCUCACAUAAAGGGUAAUAUAAAACUAUAUUUUGGUAAUAAUAGUCAUAUUUCGGAAAGCAUUCACUUUACAGAGAAACAAACAUACAAAAUAGUCGGGUCUUGGUAUGUGACAACCGUCAAUUUCUGGUCAAGUCAAAGCCAACUAAAGUCAACAAAUCAAACCAGUCGACUCAAUUAACCCAUGUGUACUAGGGCUUAUGUUAGGUAAUUACUAUACAACUCGCUAUUCUAAUGAGAAAUCACCAAAUGAAAAGUUCAUAUAUCUAGAUUUCCUUAACCUAAAACUGUGGUAAGUAAUGAACCAAACCGAUAAAACAAUGUUGCAUACUGAUCAGGAGUGUGUAAGAUCCUUAAACAUGGCUUAACGGGGUUUACGAACCUUGCGUUGCGAAGCCCAAACUCUCAAAAAGGUCACAAAAGAAGUCUCUCCCAAUCUCUUUCACUUUAUCUCUCUCUAUUUAAAAUCUCUCCCAAAUCUCUCCAAGUACGUGAAAUCUCUCCCAAAUCUCUCUAAGUAUGAGAAAUCUCUCCAAGUAUGUCAAAUCUAUCCCAAAUCUCUCCAAGUAUGUCAAAUCUCUCCCAAAUCUCUCUCAAAACCUCUUUUGAGUUUUAUAAUCAUUUGGGGCAUCCCGACACUUGACUUGGUGAAAAACCACUCGAAAAGGGGUGAUAUCUUGGAAAAUAGCCUUUUAGAGCCGAAGUCUCUCUAUAGGGGCCAAACCCUCCUUGAACUGAGGUCCCAAGAACCAGGACCAAAGUCCCAUUGAGUAGCUGCAGCCAUCUAACCGCAGCCCCUUAAGGAACCGCAGCCUUCGGACCACAAUGGCUAAGGACUGGAGCUACGAGGACCGAGGCUGCUGAAGACCGCAGCGGAACCGAACCCGGAACUGAGCACCGCAGCCAACCUUCGCUUCGGACCCUCCUGACGAGCCGCCUGCGGUAUCUGCUCGGACCGCAGUCCCCUUCCCCUCAGACUUCGGAUUUUCCACCAUUUUACCUGGUUUUCGACCACGACUUCGUUAUAAGCCCAUUUUUAAUUAUUUUAAUGGGGGAUUUUCACCCAAACUUGUAUUUUGACAUAUAAGGUCCCAUAUAUUCAUAAAAUCAGCAUAUUUUUAAGGAAAUCCUUAUUUAAGAAUAAAAUCCAUUAAGUAAGAUCUUGUGGUGGAGUGUUGACUUUGCCAUAGUGUUAGACACAAGCAACCACCCCCAUACCCACUCCAUGACUAACCCACACCCCUACCCACCAUACCUAGUCAUUCAAGAGUACUUUUCCCACUCAUUUCUCAGCCAUACUCACGACUUAAGCGCUGGACAACCCCCUCUCACUCCUCACACUUCCCUCAUUCUCUCAUUUUUCCUCCAAGGAUCACACUCCAAAUUCUCUCACAAUUCUCUCCCAAUUUCGAAACUUCCAAGGCUGAUUAUCAAGAUUUCUUUCACUCUUGGUAAGUAUAAUUAGUUCUUCUUAUGAUUAUUACACAUCCUUCUACUCAAAAUCAUAAGAAUCUUACACAAACAUCGUCACCUUCAUGUUAGGUUCUCGGUUCUUCAAGGCAUCUUCUAAGUAUUCUUGAGUUGAACACUUCUCUUCUUCAACAUACAUCCACUGAAAUCACAUAAGGUGAGUUCAUAACCCUAUCUUUUCAUGUUUUUCUUAAGUUUUAAGGAGGGGGGGAUACAAGUUAAAAUACCAAGAACACAACUAAACUUUUCCAACAACUAUCAUCAGGAAAGUUUAACUCCAUUCAUGGACUGUUUUGGUCAACUUAAGCAUUUUAGUUUUCAAAACGGUAUUAGAUGCGAAUAGUUCAGUUUAUACCUUUAAAAUGACUACUUGCACAUCUUCAUGCGAUUUUUCUACAAAUUAUGGUGAUUUUUACAAAACUGCCUAUCAUUUCAAGAAAACAUCCAGGCCAGUCUGUGAUUAUGAACUGUUUCACCCAAGAUGGAGGUUACUAAAAAUCAUGAGGAAAUUUAUGAACAAACUAGACUCAUUUUACAAACUCUCAGAAUUUACGGAUUCUGAUUUGAACCUUUAAUGAUUUUUCUAUUAAUUUUAUAAAAACAUAAUAGAAAUGGUAACACUAGAAAAAUGUUUUCAAUUUCAUUUACACCUUGUAACUUGUUGAGCAAGGUGUAUAGUUUCAUGUGAUGAUAUGUUAUUACCAUAUAUGUCAUUUUGUCUUGUUAUAUAGACAUACAUCAUUUAACAAAUGGGUUUUGCUAUAUUAAGCAUGGUAAAUGAUAAAUUGUUAUAAACAAAUUCACAUCCAUUACAUACAAACAUUUGGUAAGCUAGGACAAAUAUAGUUUAUGAAUACUACAACUACCCUUAUUUUGAUAAACUAUAAUAGGUAUAGUUUAUGAUUCAUUUACAUAAUAAACACAUUACUAAAGGUAUUACAUAUACAAAAGGGGUUAUUACCACUACGAAUUACUAUGAUAAACUAUAAUAAGUAUAGUUAAGGCUAUUACACCCCCCACAAGUAAGUACGCUAAUUAUAAUCGGUAUAAUUAGGUUUCAUCUACAUUACAAACAAUAGGAUAAACUAUAAUAGGUAUAGUUUAUGUUUCAUCUACACUACAAACUUAUUACAAGAAGGGAUUUCACCAUCACCACCACUUUUGAUAAGCGAUAAUAUGCAUAGUUCAUGCUCACUACCACUAUCGCUAUUUGAUGAACUGUAAUAUGUAUAGUUUAUGUUCACCAUCACCAUCACAUUUGAUAAACUAUAAUAUACAUAGUUCAUGUUCACUACCACUAUCACUAUUCGAUGAACUAUGAUAUGUAUGGUUUAUGUUCACAGCCACUACUACUAUUUCAUACACUACACUAGGAUUUGGUUUCGGUCUUUGGUUUUAAGACUACAUUCUUUCUAGAAUUAAGUUUUCAGCUAUAAAUUCUAAUUGUAUAUACUAGAGUUAUAUAGAAUUUAGUCGUGAUCGACUUAGAAUUGGUGGGUCCACUUUAUUUCUUGUUCCUUGUUUGGUUGUGGGCCUAGGGCAGACCCAUUACAUUCGACGGUUUAUUUAACUUUAAUUUUAUAUAACUUAUAUACACUUGGAGAUUAUGGUAGGAAAUUAUUGGAAAUUCUAGGAUGCACAAUUUCAUAACACAGAAACUUACAACUCAUUUUUCAAGGAAAAUACUAGAUUUCUGGAGUCCCUUUACCGCUUUUACAAGGAAAACAGUUUAUUUGUAACACCGUAAAUUUCAGAACAAUUUUUCAUUUAAAAAUAAUCGUUUAAUUCAUAAAACACUUUUAUUAAAAUCUCAUUCAUAAUCGAAUUACAAAACAUAACUCCAUUUUCACUUGCAUAAUAAACCAGGAUCUUCAAAACAUCACACUUUCUCUGGUGUGUACAAUCGAGCCGGUGCCGUCCUGUGAUCCUGAGAGAAACCUAAAACACAUAAAACAAAACACUGUAAGCACNACACCACAAAAAUUGGAAUAACUUGAGAGAAUACUUCUAGCACUCAAAAUCGGUUAUGACCUCACUAGGUAACACUAGGUCAUGAUUUUGCUAGCCAAAGGGUUCCUUUUAUAGUGGUGUCACAAUUAGGGUUUCAUUAUGAAGACCCAUAAUUGUCAUGACUCUUCAUUUUUCAUGACCCAUGGGUUUGUAACUCCCAUGGACUAUCCAUGGAGCUCCAAAUGGUUACAUCCAUAACCCAUAAACCAUGGAUCAUUAAUCCACCAUAAAAGAAUUGAUGAUUGUCAUAAUCAACCCUAUCUAUUUAAUUAGUCUCACUUUGAUCACCAAAUUAAUACUAGAUUAAUACUUGAUCAAUACUAAUUAAAUAAUACUAUUAUUAAUAUAUUAGAACUUAUAAUAUAUUAAUAAUCAUAAGUGCCAUAUUCUCUCAUUUAGUCUAUCCAAGUAUUGCAAUGCCAUGCAACCCAAAUGGACCAUGCCGGGUCGGAUCAAGUACAUACCAAAUAAAGUUAUGGACUUAGACACUAUAUCCAACAGUCUCCCACUUGGAUAAGUCUAAUAACUAUAUUUGCAAAUAUGACUUCAAAAUCCGACUAGCAAUCGUAGCUCUUUCAAAGUCUCUCGGAACUGAGAUGAUGAUGAUACGCCAUUUAAGAUAAGUGAUCAUAUAAUCCUCUGCUCUCAUGAUAUCAGCCGGACAAACACAUGGAACAUGGUCUUACUUAUUGUCCAGCAUUUGUUUCUCGAUCUCCGAUUUGUUUCGACAUAGAACUAAAUUGAACACAUCAAUUAGGUUCUGACCGGGCCCGGUACAUAGGUCAAAACCAAAUCAUCGAGGGGCCCAGAUAUCGCUUCUAUUUCUAGAAGGAACAGAUAAACUUCGACUGAUAUGCUUGUACUAACUACUUGUUGAAUUACUCACAAAGGCACGUUUUAUAACAUCGAGUUACCAAUGCGUUUUCGUACAAUCAAUGAAUAACCAACUCAUAGUCAACAACUCAUAUCUCUAGGUUUGAAGAUUUAUAUGAUAUUACCGUCUCACGAUCACUCGAGAUAAAUUCCAUGAAGUGAUGCAAGUGAGCGUGGGUUGAAUCCAAUACUCAGCCCUUAUGAGUACUCAUGAAUGUUGUAGCAACCAUUGCAUUGUCUAAAGCACUUUAGACAAAUCAUACAAGCCAAAUUCAUGACAGUCUUGAAUCAAUACUUACUUCCAAAGUUUGACCGACUGUGGAUGGUUUGAAUAAUAACAUGAUUAUUCUGGAAGUAAAAACAUGCAAAAUUGAAACAUAGUAAACAAUCAACACAAGAUAGUAACACCUUACUCAUAAAUAAAUAACAACUUUUAUUUAUCAUCAAAUGUCAAUUACAUUUUACAAGUUUCAGGAAUCUAAUUAUUGAAACUAAUAUCAUCCUUCAGCCCAAUGCGCCUUGCAUGCUGUAAAUGCUUAACCCUGCUCAGUCCCUUCGUGAGGGGAUCUGCCGGGUUCUCAUCUGAUGAUACCCUCUUUGCCACGAGGAGUCCUUCUUCUAUUCUAUGUCUGAUGAAAUGGUAUUUUCUGUCAAUGUGCCUAGAUCUCCCGUGAUCUCUUGGUUCUUUAGCCAAAGCAACCGCACUUUCACUGUCACAGAAAAUUUCCAUUGGCUCCUUUAUAGCUGGUACAACUCCAAGGUCUCCGAUGAAGUUCUUUAGCCAUAUCGCCUCUUUUGCUGCCUCGCUUGCUGCUAUGUACUCUGAUUCACAAGUUGAAUCAGCUACUGUCUCCUGCUUGGAACUUUUCCAAGUAAUUGCUCCUCCAUUUAGGAUAAAGACCCAGCCUGACUGAGAGCGGAAAUUAUCCCUAUCAGUUUGAAAGCUAGCAUCACUAUAUCCUUCCACUCUCAAGUCAUCACUGCCUCCGAGGGUAAGGACCCAGUCCUUAGUCCUCCGCAAAUACUUGAGAAUGUUCUUUACCGCUGUCCAGUGUGCCUUGCCAGGGUUCCCUUGAUAUCUACUGACCAUGCUCAAAGCAAAGGCCACAUCAGGGCGAGUACAAGUCAUAGCAUACAUGAUCGAGCCCACAGCGGAAGCAUAUGGUAUCUGACUCAUUUCAGCUAUCUCAGCCUCUGUACUCGGACUCUGAGUCUUACUUAGCUUGGCAUUACUCUGGAUUGGUAAUUCUCCUUUCUUGGAAUCUUGCAUACUGAACCUCUUCAGUACCUUAUCCACAUAAGUACUUUGACUAAGUCCAAUUAGUCUCUUACUCCUAUCUCUCAAUAUCCUUAUCCCUAGGAUAUAGGCAGCUUCCCCAAGGUCCUUCAUAGCAAAACACUUCCCAAGCCAGGCCUUAACCUCCUGCAAAGUUGGGAUGUCGUUUCCUAUGAGAAGUAUGUCAUCCACAUACAACACCAAGAAGCUAACUAUGCUCCCACUAGCCCUGACAUACACACAAGACUCAUCCUCACUCCUAGAAAAGCCAAACUCUUUGACUUUCUCAUCAAAGCAAAGAUUCCACCUGCGAGAUGCUUGUUUCAAUCCAUAAAUGGAUUUUUCAAGCUUACACACUCUAUUAGGGUAUUUUGGAUCGACAAAACCCUCUGGCUGAGCCAUGUAAACAUCCUCAGCCAACUUCCCAUUAAGGAAAGCGGUUUUGACAUCCAUUUGCCAUAUUUCAUAGUCAUGAAAUGCAGCUAUGGCUAACAACACUCUAAUAGACUUAAUCUUAGCUACUGGUGAGAAGGUCUCAUCAUAGUCAACUCCCGGAGUUUGAGUAAAGCCCUUCGCAACCAGUCGCGCUUUAUAAGUGUGUACUUUCCCAUCCAUGUCGGUCUUCUUCUUGAAGAUCCAUUUGCACCCAACUGUCUUACGACCUGGUACAUUGUCAACCAAGUUCCAAACUUGAUUGUCAUACAUGGACUGAAUCUCGCUGUCCAUAGCCUCCUUCCAUUUCGCAGACUCAGGGCCUGCCAUGGCUUCCUUAUAAUUAUUAGGUUCAUCCAAAUCUAUCAGUGUACUAUCACUGAUAAAUGUAUCACCUUCAGUGGUGAUGUGAUAACCAUAAUAAAAUUCAGGUGUGUUCCUCACCCUAGUGGAACGUCUUGGAGGUACAGACUCAUCUAUCGGCUCAACAGGAGUUUCCUCCUCAGGUUGGCUGACAGCAUUUGAGGUUCCUUCACCACUUGACUCUUGAAGCUCUUCAAGGUCAAUUUGCCUCCCACUGUCCCCUUGGCUUAUGAAUUCUCUCUCACGAAAGACUCCUCUUCUUGCUACAAAGACCACAUUAUCACUGGGUCUGUAGAAGAGGUAACCAAAGGAUCUCUGUGGGUAGCCGAUGAAAAUACACCUCUCGCUUCGGGGCUCAAGCUUGUCAUGAGUCUCACGCCUCACAAAAGCUUCACAACCCCAAAUCUUGAUGUGGUCCAAAUUGGGCACUUUCCCAGUCCACAUCUCGUGAGGUGUUUUGGCAACCUUUUUAGUAGGGACUAGAUUAAGGAUAUGGGCGGCAGUCUCUAAGGCAUACCCCCAGAAAGAGAUUGGUAACGAAGCUCGACUCAUCAUGGAACGAACCAUAUCCAACAGGGUUCGAUUGCGCCUCUCAGCUACACCAUUCAACUGUGGUGUCCUGGGAGGUGUCAAUUGUGAGACAAUCCCACAUUCCUUAAGAUAGUCAAGGAACUCAAUGCUAAGAUACUCUCCUCCCCGAUCGGAUCGGAGCAUCUUGAUGUUCCUGCCCAAUUGAUUCUCAACUUCCUGCUUAAACUCUUUGAACUUUUCAAAGGUUUCUGACUUAUGCUUGAUUAAGUAAAUAUAUCCAUAUCUACUGUAAUCAUCAGUAAAAGUCACAUAAUAACGAUUAGCAUCCCUUGUAGCAACUCUGAAGGGCCCACACACAUCCGUGUGUACAAGGUCCAACAAACCUUCACCCCUAUCACAAGUACCUGUGAAGGGUGACUUUGUCAUUUUUCCAAGUAAACAAGACUCGCAACUAUCAUCUGACUUGAGGUCAAAUGAUUCCAAGACUCCAGCCUUUUGGAGUUGGCCUAUGCGCUUCUUGUUAACAUGUCCAAGACGACAAUGCCACAAGGAUGCUUUAUCCAAGCUAUCAGAAGAAUCAAUAUACAACACAUUAUUUCCUAAAUUGUCUACAACAUUCACAGCUUCAUAUACACCAUCACAAGGUAUUGCUUUAAAGUAAAAUACAUCAUUGUAAUAAACAUUAAUAGCACCAUUUUUAUUAUCAAAUGAAAAUGUAAAACCUUGUUUGUACAAGCCAUGAAAAGAAAUAAUAUUUCUCGCCAUUUCGGGCGAGUAACAACACUUAUUCAAAUCUAACAUUAACCCAUUAUUAAGCAAUAAAGAAUAAACUCCUAUCUUGGUAACAGGUGAUGCUUUCCUGUUGCCCAUGACUAAGUUUAUCUUCCCGUGCUCCACUUGCUCACUUCUUCUUAGUGCCUGCAAAUCAGUACAAAUGUGAAUACCACACCCUGUAUCAAGCACCCAAGAAUUAGCAUUAGAUGAGUUGUUAGACAAUAUUGUGUAAAUACCUGCAUGGGUGGGUUUAACCUUCCCAUCCUUUACAUCUUGCAGAUAUUUGGCGCAGCUUCGCUUGAAGUGUCCCUUAUCUUGGCAAUAGAAGCACUGUGCUUCCAUUGGGUUCGAAGAAGGAGUAAUGGGACCUUUCUUUGUCCCAAUUGAAGAGGAACCAUCAAGAGUCUUACCCUUGGUACCCUUUGAAGGGCUUUUCCUCUUCUUACCCUUCCCUUGCCUAAUUGCAAGAACAAGGGUUGUUAAAGGAGUAGAAGUAGCAACCGCUUUGCCCUUAAGGCCAUUNNNNNNNNNNNNNNNNNNNNNNNNNNNNNNNNNNNNNNNNNNNNNNNNNNNNNNNNNNNNNNNNNNNNNNNNNNNNNNNNNNNNNNNNNNNNNNNNNNNNNNNNNNNNNNNNNNNNNNNNNNNNNNNNNNNNNNNNNNNNNNNNNNNNNNNNNNNNNNNNNNNNNNNNNNNNNNNNNNNNNNNNNNNNNNNNNNNNNNNNNNNNNNNNNNNNNNNNNNNNNNNNNNNNNNNNNNNNNNNNNNNNNNNNNNNNNNNNNNNNNNNNNNNNNNNNNNNNNNNNNNNNNNNNNNNNNNNNNNNNNNNNNNNNNNNNNNNNNNNNNNNNNNNNNNNNNNNNNNNNNNNNNNNNNNNNNNNNNNNNNNNNNNNNNNNNNNNNNNNNNNNNNNNNNNNNNNNNNNNNNNNNNNNNNNNNNNNNNNNNNNNNNNNNNNNNNNNNNNNNNNNNNNNNNNNNNNNNNNNNNNNNNNNNNNNNNNNNNNNNNNNNNNNNNNNNNNNNNNNNNNNNNNNNNNNNNNNNNNNNNNNNNNNNNNNNNNNNNNNNNNNNNNNNNNNNNNNNNNNNNNNNNNNNNNNNNNNNNNNNNNNNNNNNNNNNNNNNNNNNNNNNNNNNNNNNNNNNNNNNNNNNNNNNNNNNNNNNNNNNNNNNNNNNNNNNNNNNNNNNNNNNNNNNNNNNNNNNNNNNNNNNNNNNNNNNNNNNNNNNNNNNNNNNNNNNNNNNNNNNNNNNNNNNNNNNNNNNNNNNNNNNNNNNNNNNNNNNNNNNNNNNNNNNNNNNNNNNNNNNNNNNNNNNNNNNNNNNNNNNNNNNNNNNNNNNNNNNNNNNNNNNNNNNNNNNNNNNNNNNNNNNNNNNNNNNNNNNNNNNNNNNNNNNNNNNNNNNNNNNNNNNNNNNNNNNNNNNNNNNNNNNNNNNNNNNNNNNNNNNNNNNNNNNNNNNNNNNNNNNNNNNNNNNNNNNNNNNNNNNNNNNNNNNNNNNNNNNNNNNNNNNNNNNNNNNNNNNNNNNUUUUAUAAAUUGUGAAAAAUUAUAUUUAAAAUUUACGGUGUUACACCAGGUGUCCGAGAAAUUGUACCUCGCGCAACCAAAACUCACACUUGGAGAACUUGGCAUACAAGCUCUCUCUCCUCAGGGUCUCCAGCACCUCUCUCAGAUGCUCCUCAUGCUCCUCCUGGGUCUUAGAAUAAACCAAGAUGUCAUCGAUAAAGACUAUCACAGACCGAUCCAGCAUCGGUCUGCAUACGCGGUUCAUGAGGUCCAUGAACACGACAGGAGCAUUGGUGAGCCCAAACGGCAUCACCACGAACUCAUAGUGGCCAUAGCGCGUCCGAAACGCGGUCUUCGGCGCAUCCUCCUCCCUGACCCUAAUCUCAUGGUAUCCCGAACGCAAAUCGAUCUUGGAAAACCAAGACGUUCCUUGAAGCUGGUCAAAGAGAUCAUCAAUCCUUGGGAGUGGGUAACGGUUCUUCACCGUUACCUUAUUCAGCUCCCGAUAGUCUAUGCACAUCCGGUGCGACCCAUCCUUCUUCUUCACAAACAGGAUCGGGGCUCCCCAGGGUGAACUACUCGGAUGAAUAAAUCCCUUGUCUAGUAGCUCCUGCAGCUGCGUAGACAACUCCUACAUCUCGGGAAGAGCCAACCGAUACGGUGCCUUGGCUAUCGGAGCCGCACCAGGAACGAGGUUAAUCCUGAACUCCACCUGUCGCUCCGGAGGUAUCCCAGGAAGCUCCUCCGGGAAAACAUCUGCUAAAUCUCGAACCACCGAAACCUCGCUCACUGUCGUCUUACCCACCUCCCGGGUAUCUAUCACAUACGCGACAUAUCCUGUGCAUCCCUGCUGAAGAUAGCGCCUAGCCCUAGCUGCUGAACAUACAGUGGGUCCGCCAUGUGGCCUCUUGCCAUGAAUCACUAACUCUCCCCCACCUGGGGUCCUGACUCGCACUAGCUGUUGCGCGCAAUCUAUCACUGCCCCAUUAGGGCUCAACCAAUCCAUGCCUAUAAUCACCUUGUUCCCACGCAGCGGAAUGGGAACCAAGUCUACCAAGUAACGCUCCUCAAACAAAUGCAGUAUGCAAUCUCGAAAUACCGUCAAUGCCCGCACCGAUCGAUCAUCAGCAAUCUCUACCUCUAAAGGGCAAUCUAACUCGCCCGAAGACUCCUGAAACUUCUUGCUAAGCGCAAGGGAAACAAAUGAUCGGGACGCACCCGAGUCGAACAACACCUGAACUGGGAUGCCGUUCACAUGGAACGAUCCUAGUGCAUACAUAUACAUACGGAGCACAUAUCAAUAUCAUAACAUCAUAAAAAUAAAAGAGAGGGAAAGAAUCAUACCCGUCACCACAUCGGGUGCGGCGCGUGCCUCCUCGGUAGUCAGCUGAAAUGCUCGGCUCCUCACCACUGGAGUCUCUGCCUUGCCCUGCCGGCCAUCAGUAAUCCGUAGGGUCGCUGGUGCUGGCGCCUUCACUGGUGUUGUGGCUGUCAACUGGGGACAAUUGGCCUUCUUGUGGCCCCUCUGGUUGCAGUGGAAACACAACAACUCAGANGGAGCAGUGCAAUCCCUGCUAAAGUGUCUAGACUUGCCGCACUUGUAGCAGCCUGAUGAUCCCAACCUGCACNNNNNNNNNNNNNNNNNNNNNNNNNNNNNNNNNNNNNNNNNNNNNNNNNNNNNNNNNNNNNNNNNNNNNNNNNNNNNNNNNNNNNNNNNNNNNNNNNNNNACUGGCUUCUAUUGGAUAGAUGAUGUUCGUACAAUUGGAAAUUUCGGGUUGUCACACCUGAAGUCCUUAAAGGACAGUGUGCGAGGACCCGACUGGCCAGAUGCCNGAGGCGAUCCUCCAUCAACUCGAUGAUCCCUUCCUUGAUCGACCCGAAGAUAAUGGGAGUCGACUCAAGGAUACCCCUGGUAAUCUCUGACGCGAUGAACUCGCGUAGUCCCUCAUCUACCGGCUCGGAACCUGAUCCCGAACCUGACCCCUCUCCUGAACCGCCAUCUACCGGCCUCGAUCGAAGUACCACCAUUCUGCAAUACAUCACAACAAUCAUUAGUGAUACUGAUACUUCCUGAGGGAUCACAACUACUUACAAGUUCCCUGGUCUUAUCUUGGCCUUCCUUGGUUCGGGUACGGAUCCUUUGCUUUCAGUAGUACGGGACCAUACUACCUUCCACAUCUAUCCGUACCUUCUUCAAGGACUGCCUUGACUCCACCAGAUCCCUUCCACUACGGCUGAUCACUACUAUACUCAUCCUAGGAUUGCCCUAGGAAAAUCUCAGACUCCACCCUACCAGGUCCUCAGCUGCUGAAGGCCUCUUAGUAGUGCCAAUUAACCAUUACCUGAACACCAUCACAUGUGGUGAGGCUCGGAUAAUCCUUCGAGUAACAGGCUCACCCCUACCACGGUUAGACUCAAACGAGAGUUACGCAUUAGGGCCAAAUCCAGCACUCUAAGAUUAUUCAACCCUGGUCACAUGUGACGUGACGUAUUCACCUAAUGGCUGACUCCCACCACUCAGAGUCCGACAAAGCACAAAGCAAGCAGUAUUCGAACCAAGGGAACAAUCUCAUUCAACUCUAUCGGCUUACAGGAACUGUCCUAGCAUGCGAUGCUAAGCUCAUACCAUUAGGCAUAACCUAAUCAGACUAUCCUACUUGCUGUCUACUCAAUACUAGCAUGCAAUUCUCAUACAGCUGAGACACAUAAAGCAGGCACAUAAGGCAUCACUCCUAGAUCCUUAGUCCUAUUCUAGCAUGCUGUUCUACAAAAGCUGAUAAACAUAACAUAAACUUGUAUGGGUACUUUGGGGAAUACUUACUUGAGCUCGGCCGGUCGCGCACAUCACACACUUCGUUCUUUCUCAAAACUCUUUUCUCAAUUUUUAGAAAAUAUUUUCAUUUAGAAAAUCUUUUAAUCCCUCAAUUUGAGUUCAGACACCCCCGAAGGUGUGUCCGAAUCCCUCAAACCAGGGCUCUGAUACCAACUUGUAACGACCCGAAUUUCACGUCCAAAAAUUUCGUUACAACACAUUACAUAAAAAGCAUCAAUAGUUAAAACAUUGUUUGAUUAAACCAUUUCACAUCGAAAAGCAAAUUGAAAACCAAACAACCAACAUGUCAGAGUGUCACUCCUAGAAUAAGCUAAUAACUGUGGAAACAAGAGUGUGUGUGACAUGCUGCUACCGUGCCGGCUCCUUCCCAUUGGCUAGAGAGGUACCUGAAAGAACAACUGAAAAACGUAAGCAUAAAGCUUAGUGAAUUCCCCCACCGUACCACAUACCACAAUAACCAAAAUUGAAAACCAAACAACCAACAUGUCAGAGUGUCACUCCUAGAAUAAGCUAAUAACUGUGGAAACAAGAGUGUGUGUGACAUGCUGCUACCGUGCCGGCUCCUUCCCAUUGGCUAGAGAGGUACCUGAAAGAACAACUGAAAAACGUAAGCAUAAAGCUUAGUGAAUUCCCCCACCGUACCACAUACCACAAUAACCAAAUAACACACAUAUAUUGUCAGGCAUAUCUGGGUGCCUGACCUACCCCUUUGGUCCUCUUGACCGGGUAUUGCCAAGCAUAUCUGGGUGCUGGCCUCCCCUUCGGUCCUCUCGACCGGAUACUGCCUAACAUAUCUGGGUGCUGGCCUCCCCUUCGGUCCUCUCGACCGGAUACUGGAGACUAUCUCUCCCCCUCUACUACUACCACAUAGCACAUAUCACAAUAUCAGAAUCCAACUAGCAUGACUGGGUAUAACUACCCCUUCGGCCCUAUCGACCGGAUAUCUUGGGGACUAUCUCCCCUGCCACUACUAACACAUAGCAUCAUAUCAUAUUAGCACAUAAACAUAGCACAGGUAGUAGUAACCCCUAGAUGAAUAUCACAGAGACAAACAUCUACAUACAACUCCUACUGGUGGGCCGGCAUUGUGGCCGUAGACCCACCGCUACUGGAAGACAACUCACCUUGAAAAGGCUGCUAGUCUGUGUGGGAAUUGACUGUCUACUGCUGCUGCUGCUGCUUCGGACGNAAACGAUCAGUCAAACACCGCUAGAUGUUCUUAGGGUAAAAUGACCCUUUUUACCCCUUACCAAGUCAAGUCCAGGUCAAAGUCAACUUCCAGUUGACUGGACUCGCCGAGUCCGCGAGCAACUCGCCGAGUCCAUCCCUCACUGAUCCGGUCCCACUCACCAGGUCCCUCUCCCCACUCACUGAGUCACCCUUGACUCGCUACCCGGGACUAUGGGGCCGACUCGAGUCCCAACUCGCCGAGUUCCUCGAGCAGAUCCCCUGCUCGCUUUCAAUCCACACCAGAACACCCCAUACGAGGGUUUGGGGUUUCGGGACUACGUUACACAGUUAAUUCCGCGCACAGGUACGAAGGGUUGAGCCUUCGAUGCUUAAACCCCUCGUGAUCUGUGGAUGUUCAUAUGACUCGCCGAGUUUGAGGAACUACUCGGCGAGCUCCAGGCAAUCUUCAUAGGACUCGCCGAGUUGUUCUUCAAACUCGCCGAGUCGACGACCAUCUUCAUAGAACUCGCCGAGUUCCACUUUGGGACUCGCCGAGUCCUUCGACCCAUUCCCUGAGUAGGCCAGAUCUGGGACAUGCAACACUUCAAAACCACAGAUCCAAGGUCCUAGGGCUCAUUUACCACGUAAAGUUGCAAACUUUACGUGCAUGCAUGGCCCUAUGAGCUCAAACAUGCAAUUCCAAGCUCUUUAAGAGGUCCUAUGCUCAAUGGGGACCUCAAUCACCUCAACCACAGAGACUUUAUGCUACUAGGAUGACCAAAAGGUCCAAAUCCGAAGUCCUUGCAGAACAUUAACCAUAGACACAUAGAGAUUUAGGUUCUUAGGGCUUAAAACCUCUUUUUAGGGACAAAAAGGGGACUCAAUGAACUAAAGAUCAAGGUAGGAACUUUUCUACCUGAAUAGAAGCCCUUCACAGAGUAGAUUCCGGAUCUUCUUCCCUUCUUGCACUCUUCAACCUUUUCCUUCUUCUCCCAAGCUCCAAACCACCUUCAAAAUGCUAAAAAUCACCCUCAAGGACACAAAAGGGGCUAGGGUUUCGUUCUACAGAUCUCUGGGAGUGCUAGGGGAAAUGGAGGAUGAGUUAGAUCGUUUAAAUAGGGUGCAAACACCCGGGUUAGGGUUUAAGUCCAGACAGGGUCUACUCGCCGAGUCCCUCGGACCUACUCGCCGAGUAGACUGAGUAGAUCCCGCGUCUAGUCCCGCUUCUACUCGGCGAGUUAGUCCUUCAACUCGCCGAGUCCAAGGUUAAUCAUGCAAUAUAAGGAGAUUUAAUAACCAAGAAUACAUAUCAGGAACCAGGUGCUACAAAACCAAUACCAAAAGGAAGAAAAGAAAAUCAGAGAUGUGAUUUUGAUUUUGUAGAUAGUAAUUGUAAGAAGUGUGAAUUGAAUUCUUAAAUAGAAAAAGAAAAAACCACACUAAUUCAUAAAGAUUGAAACACGGGAUUCAUAUCCUUUACCUGAAUCGAUGAUGCAAGAGAGGGGUCUGGUAACAAAAAAGAAGAAAUCAAACAUGAAACCUAACAAAAUCAGAUGAGAGAGAGAGAGACUGCGUCACGUUCCACAUGUUUUUCUGGAAAUAUUAAAGUUCUUCAAGUUAUACACAUGAUAAGAUCAUACAACAACUCCUUAAAAGAAAAAAAAAAGAUGAAGACGGAUAUAUCGGCUAUGAGAAGUUGAGCAAGAACUUAAUUAAAAAAAUACUUAAAAUCAAGAAACCAAAACCUGUUAGGCCACAAAUCAACCUUCGAAAACCUGAAAUAAAACGGCUUUGGGAGUCAGUCAGGUAACCCAUCAAAAGCUGAAAUCAGUUAUCAUGAACGAAAUUAAAGCAAAGGUGUGGUGAGGCUUAUGAAUCCAUAAAUCAAAAGAAGAAGAGGAAGAAGGCGUAUCAUCUGGGAUUUCAUUAGGAUUAGGUUUAGGAAGAACAAAAGAGACAAACAAACCUGGAUUGGAGUGAUUUGGAGUCGAGGUACAUAUGCGUUGGUGUUGUAGAUUAUAGUUAUAACGGUGGUAAAAGGUUGUGUGAUGGCAGUGGUGGAAGUCGCCUGCUAGGGAAGAGAGAAGGAGAAGAGUGGUGAUUGUGAUGGCUACAUUAGCUGACGAAGGAGAUGGGAAGGGUGAGGAUCGAUGCAUUGGAUUUGCUUGUGUUUAGGUGUUCAAAGAUGACGUUUGUUUUUAUAUAUAAGGUUAGUUCCCAUAGAUAUGAAGCUGUGAAGUACCAAAUCCCUUUAUUCUCCGGUAUUUAUGGUUAUUUUCAUUUGAAUUAGUCGUAACUUUCAGCUAUAAUGUGAGGAAAUACCACUUCAAUUUUGACUGAUUCUUGUUUUAGAAGAGUAGAGAUGAACAGCUUAUAGCCAUUAACGUUUUGACCUGUUGACCGAAUAGGAUUUUAAUGCAUAAAGUUGUUGUAUAUAAUGUUUUAAGGGUUAUACCUCUUCAAAGUAUGAUUUUUUUAAAAUUUAAAUCAUCUAUAUUAGGUAAGAUAAGGAUAUAGGUUUGAAUGUUUCAAUAUUAAUUUUACAUUUGUACUUAAUGCAUUGUAUUUUGUAAUUUGUUGAUAAAUGUUUGUAUAAUCAGCUUAAAUGUUUGUACGUCUUAAAUCUAUUUUUAGAAAUAGUAAGGUUUGUAUAAUAAGAUAGUAUAUAUAUAUAUAUAUAUNAUAUAUAUAUAUAUAUAUAUGGUUAGGUUCAUGUGAGACGGCCUAAUUUUGUGAGACCGUGAGACGCAAUCUUAGUCACUCAUUUAGCAAAUAAAACAAAAGCAUUUUUAAAAUGCAAAAUAAUUGAAAUUUUCUGAAAAAAAAAUUUCCAAUAUUAUUUUCGGAAUAUAUGUUUUCCAAAAAAAAUAAAAAAAAUACCAAAAAAAUAAAAAAUAAAUACAAAAAAAUACACUUUUUACAUAUUUUAGUAGAAUAUUUAGAAUAUUCUACAUAUCUGACAAAUCUAGUAGAAUAUUCUAAACAUUCUAAAAAUCAUAUUACAAAUGUCAAGUGUAAUAUUCUAUUAGAAUAUUUCACGUAUUUAAAAAAAAAACGGUAAUUUAUUUUAUUUUAUUUUAUUUUUUGUAGGUAAAUAAAGUUCCGAACAUAUUAAUUAAAUUUUUUUUUGUAUUUUUCCUUUUAUUUUGCAUUUAUUUUGUAUUUUUCCUUUUAUAUAUAACCAUCAAAAACUUAUUUUUAGAUAUCUGCCUGUUAUGUACCUAAUAUUAGGUAUAAAACCAUCAAAAACUUAAUAGUUUUAACUAAAUGCAAUCAAAUUUCUCUACCAUAUUUCUUGUAUCCUUUAUUAUAAUAGAUGUUUGGAUUUAUACAUAUUUUUAUGGAGUUUUAAAUACUCCCCCCGUCCCAAAUUAAUUGUCCACUUUUGGCUUUUGAAAUCUUUUUUCUUCAAUUUUGACCUUAAAUAUUUUUAUUUGUGUUAUAUAUUACUUGAUGAAACUUAUAACAAUGAAAAUAUAUUUAAAAUAAAAUCCAUUCAUAGAUUUUGCAUUAAGUAUUAUAUAUCAAAAAUAAAAAUAAUUAAGGUCAAAGUUGAAGAAUAAAGACUUCAAAAGUCAAAAGUGGAAAAUUAAUUUGGGACGGAUGUAGUAUUUAAUUUUACACCAUAAACCAUGUAUAAGAAUACAUUAUCAACUACCUAUAUGCCUUGAUAUUCAAAUUUAAUAUAGAAAACUAUAGUGAAAGACUAAAAUUGUUCAUUAAAACCCGAAUAAACUUCUUCUAAUAACACAUCAAAAAGAACCAUGCAAGUGUUCAUUAAAAACCCAAUAAACUUCUUCCCAUAACACAUUCAAAAUACAAAGAUGUUGGGGAUAUAUUAUUAAAUCAAAGAUAAUCUUACCUUAAAAGCAAUAGGAAGAAGCUAACAUUGAAAAAAAAUUGUACUUUUUAAUCAAAAUGAAGUCAAAUAAUGAUGGUUGUGUACCUAAUAUUACAUACAUGACAUUCAUAUAUUCACUUUACCCUAUAUAUANNNNNNNNNNNNNNNNNNNNNNNNNNNNNNNNNNNNNNNNNNNNNNNNNNNNNNNNNNNNNNNNNNNNNNNNNNNNNNNNNNNNNNNNNNNNNNNNNNNNNNNNNNNNNNNNNNNNNNNNNNNNNNNNNNNNNNNNNNNNNNNNNNNNNNNNNNNNNNNNNNNNNNNNNNNNNNNNNNNNNNNNNNNNNNNNNNNNNNNNNNNNNNNNNNNNNNNNNNNNNNNNNNNNAAGCAAGUUCAAAUAAAAACAAUAAAUAGUGUGAGAACGUAAAAUCACUAUGUUUAUGUUAUUAUUCUGUUAUGAAUGUUGUAUAUAUGUAUUGUUGAAGUAAUUCUAAUAUGAAUAUUAACGUUUGAUUAUUCAUAUAUUCAUUAGAAUGUAAUUAUUCCAUUAUAAAUUUAUGUAUGCGCUUUUUUGUAGUAAAUUCAAAUUUUAGUUUUAACCUGUGACUAUUCAUUUAUUCAUUGCUAAUGAUAUAAAGCUGUGGAUACAAAAUUCAUUUAAGAAUAAUAACAUAAAAAUAGUGUUUUUACGUUCUCACACUGUUUACUGUUUUUAUUUGAACUAUCCCAUAUAUAUAUAUAUAUAUAUAUAUAUAUAUAUANNNNNNNNNNNNNNNNNNNNNNNNNNNNNNNNNNNNNNNNNNNNNNNNNNNNNNNNNNNNNNNNNNNNNNNNNNNNNNNNNNNNNNNNNNNNNNNNNNNNNNNNNNNNNNNNNNNNNNNNNNNNNNNNNNNNNNNNNNNNNNNNNNNNNNNNNNNNNNNNNNNNNNNNNNNNNNNNNNNNNNNNNNNNNNNNNNNNNNNNNNNNNNNNNNNNNNNNNNNNNNNNNNNNNNNNNNNNNNNNNNNNNNNNNNNNNNNNNNNNNNNNNNNNNNNNNNNNNNNNNNNNNNNNNNNNNNNNNNNNNNNNNNNNNNNNNNNNNNNNNNNNNNNNNNNNNNNNNNNNNNNNNNNNNNNNNNNNNNNNNNNNNNNNNNNNNNNNNNNNNNNNNNNNNNNNNNNNNNNNNNNNNNNNNNNNNNNNNNNNNNNNNNNNNNNNNNNNNNNNNNNNNNNNNNNNNNNNNNNNNNNNNNNNNNNNNNNNNNNNNNNNNNNNNNNNNNNNNNNNNNNNNNNNNNNNNNNNNNNNNNNNNNNNNNNNNNNNNNNNNNNNNNNNNNNNNNNNNNNNNNNNNNNNNNNNNNNNNNNNNNNNNNNNNNNNNNNNNNNNNNNNNNNNNNNNNNNNNNNNNNNNNNNNNNNNNNNNNNNNNNNNNNNNNNNNNNNNNNNNNNNNNNNNNNNNNNNNNNNNNNNNNNNNNNNNNNNNNNNNNNNNNNNNNNNNNNNNNNNNNNNNNNNNNNNNNNNNNNNNNNNNNNNNNNNNNNNNNNNNNNNNNNNNNNNNNNNNNNNNNNNNNNNNNNNNNNNNNNNNNNNNNNNNNNNNNNNNNNNNNNNNNNNNNNNNNNNNNNNNNNNNNNNNNNNNNNNNNNNNNNNNNNNNNNNNNNNNNNNNNNNNNNNNNNNNNNNNNNNNNNNNNNNNNNNNNNNNNNNNNNNNNNNNNNNNNNNNNNNNNNNNNNNNNNNNNNNNNNNNNNNNNNNNNNNNNNNNNNNNNNNNNNNNNNNNNNNNNNNNNNNNNNNNNNNNNNNNNNNNNNNNNNNNNNNNNNNNNNNNNNNNNNNNNNNNNNNNNNNNNNNNNNNNNNNNNNNNNNNNNNNNNNNNNNNNNNNNNNNNNNNNNNNNNNNNNNNNNNNNNNGGCGUAUUGGGUCGACGGAGGAUGAAUAAUAUUCAUAUAUGAAUAUAAAUAUAUGUUUAAUAAUAUAUGAAUACACCACCUGCCUUCGCCACCAAUCACCACCACCGCCGCCACCACCACCACCAACCACAACUACUUCCGCCACCACCCACCGCCGCCAUAUUCAUAUAUGAAUAACCAGUUCCACUAUACUUAUUCAUAUAUGAAUAUACAUAUUCAUAUAUGAAUACACUUAUUUAUAAAUAAAUAUACCUAUUUAUAUACAUAUUCAUAUCUGAAUACACUUAUUUAUAAAUGAAUAUACCUAUUUAUAUACGUAUUCAUAUAUAAAUAUGACCUGUUCCAUCGGCCGGUAUGUUGGAGCGCUUAAGCGGCAAAUUCGAAAAUGGUGACCCGGAUUCAUUCCCUCAUGAACGAGAUGUAAAUAUAAUCUGGAUCACUACAAGGAACGAGACCUAUAGGGACGACAAUUGUUGUUUCUAUAGGUACUAAAGUCGUCCCUAUAGAUGGCGACAACGACAAGUCAUCCCUAUAACGUUGUCGUCGCUAUAUGUAUCGUCGUAAUAGCUUUACCUAUAGAGACGACAUAUUGUCUCUAAAGGUUUCGUCGCUAUACUUUUCCGAUCACCAUAGAUAAAUCUAUAUGUGUACCUAUAGAGAUUAUUUUUCGUCCCUAUACAUUUACCUAUAGAGACAACAUGUCGUCUUUAUAAGUAUGCCACAUGUUUAUACUCUGCUCUUUUUUUGUGUAUUUUUCGAGUUUUGACAAUCCCAAAAUACCUAAAGCAGUAUAUUUACAAAAUAGUCGUAAGUUUAUUGCAACAAAUAGUGUUAAAUGAUUUUAUUAAAUGUUUUAAAACAAUACAAAUUGAAGGGAGAUUCCUAAACAUUAUAUGUUUUAAAACUAUACUAGUUCAGAUAUAGCAAACUUAGCAUCAAAUUCUUCACUUAUUAAUACUCCCAAUUUCAGAACACCUUCCUGCAAGUGAACAUUUGGAAAAUGUUGCAACAGUUACAGAGAGAUUGCUUUGCUAACUAUUUGUAAUAAUUGAUAAGAUAGAAACAUCACCUUUAAUGUACUUCCCUCAUUGUGGGGCAGCCUUGGCAACUGUUGCAACAUUAUCAUUUAAAAUCACGUACAUGUGAAUAUAAUUGGCAUCUUCUUUACAUAUAAUAGCAACGUACUUUUUUUCAUGUAAUGACAACAUAUAUACUUACAUUCACUUACCUAUACUAGCAAAGUAUGUACAGAAAAGUACAAUGCCUAUAUCGAUGGUAAAAUGUAAGUACAUUUUUCUUAUAGGUAAAAACAAAGUACAUUACUAUUAAAGUUGACUUUUCAUACAUGCAUCCAACCUUUCUCAGAGAAUGGUGACUUAUUAUGAUGAAUCUUGAAAGAUAUAAUUAUUGAUAUUAUAAUAAGAAGGAAGUAUAGAAACAAGAAAAGAUCCCAAUUGUAACUCUACAACAACAAGGAAACUAGAAAUUAGUGUUGAAGAGAUUAUUAUAUCAUAAAAAAGCAUAAGAGCUAACUAUUCCUAAAUGUAUACAGGUUUAUAGUUGAAAUCUAGCUUACUCAAGUGAAUGCACACCCUUAUUUUGGGUUAUCCCGAAAAAAAGCAAUAUUUCCUUUUUGGGUAAGCAUUAAGAACUAAUUUAUUCUUUUACCCUUUAGUAGUCAUUAAGUGAACUUAGCCAAUAUAAAUGUGGUCCACAAAUCUUCUUUAUUUUCUUCUUGUUAAGGGGCUUUUAGACAUUUGAUGAAUAGUCAUAGAUUUUUUUUAAAACUAUGUGUCAAGUCAAAUGUUACUUUUUGAUAAGGAGAUAAAGAGGAGCUAAAACCUUCGUUGAAUUGCCAAAGAAGUUUGUAUGAUCAACAUAAGCAGAAGUAGAACUUUGAACUGUAGAAACAGAAUAGGAAGACAAUUAAUUCUCAAGUCAAAUCAUUAACUUUGUGAUAUAAAUUUAAAAAGUUGAAACUUCAAAAGUUUAGAUUAAAGUCACAUACACAGCUCUCAAUGUCAAAUGAUUCUCAAGAAAGGACUCAUCCGUUGUAAAUAGCAUGAUAAAGACAAUUGUAUAAGUUUGCUGCCAUAAUAAAUUUAUAUUUAUAUAGAAAAAAACAAAUGGAUAUGCACUUUGUUCAUAUUCCAAAAUUUCUAACAAAUAUCUACUAAUGUCGAAUACAUUAAUUGUCCUACCAAGCCAUAAUUAGAGAACCAAUCAGCGAUACUGCAUUACAGUUUAUAAGCAUGAAAAAAAUUCUUUCCAUUUCAAUUGUAAUAUGAAAAAAGAGUCAUAGAAUAGAGUCAAGGAUCAUGGCUAUAUAUUUUCUUAAAACGUGUAUAAUUGUAGUACUUAGGAUAAAGAAACGUAGUUAUUUUUCACACACAAACAAGAAAUUAGGUGAAUAUAAAACAUGAAAGGCGUGAGCGUUUACCACUUGGUAAAUCCUCCGAUUUCUUUCAGUCUUGAUUCAGAAUGAAAAAGGGAAUAAGGUGAGACCUUAAGCUUACUUGAGGAGGGCAUUUUCGUCCUAUGAUCCAGUCACUAGUUCAUGUAAAUGAAAAAGGCAAUAAGGCUUAGAGUAUAUCUAUAGUUUAUAUCUUAUACAAAAAGGCUUAUUAUAAUUAAAAUAAUGAUAUUAUCAAAACAAAUUUCAACCUCCAAAUCAGAAAUAGAAACAGAGCCUCUUGUGGUGCCAAAGCAUCAAAUUUGAUGCGUGUAUCAGAAAUAAAGAUUUAUUCAGAUACAAGUUUUUCACAACUUGAAUUUCAAUCCUACAUAUCAUUAUCAAUGUUAUAUACAAGGAUCAAACUAGGUUCAUUGUCACAUAUACAAGUUUGUCCUAUAAUGCUGGUUGAAUACAAAAUCAUUUACAUUCAAGAUGUCCAACACAAGAAGAAAACAAACGCAUAUUUGAUCCAAAUCGAACAAUUACUAUUAAUAAUAGGUUAAGUCAUCAAAACUUACACAAUCAUAUGUACAAAAAAACCUACAUGAUCUACUGGUGAUAUCAUGUAAUUAUAACAUCCUUUUACCAGUUUUACCUUGUACGUUACUUUACAAAUCCGAUAUCAAAUAAAUUUAUUGGUAUAUAAGUUUGAUGAUAAGAAAUCACAUUUAGAUAUUCAUCAAUGUAACAAAGUAUUUCAAAACUGUGGUGUACCUUUAUUGAAAUCGUCAUGCUAGUAAUGUACAGACAUAGAGUAGACAUAGAGUGGUUGUGCAAUGGAGUCCAAGUGGUAAAGUGACUAUUGAUUUCGUAUCCAGAAAAUUGCAAAUCGUCGAUCAAAGUAGAGAGAAUAGUUGUUGCUGCUGAGGAGGCCGAAGUUGAAGGCGAUCAUCCCCUCAUGGGGUGUUCGACAUCUACCAAUCGCCGAUCGAGAGAGAGGAAAAUAUGAACAGUAGCUGCGAUUAAACGAGAGAACUGGAUGACAUAUUCUCGAUUUCGAGAGUAGAAACCUAUGGGACGACCUACCGUCUCCACACCCUUAGACAAAACGACGCUCCUCCAAUAUUAUGAUUAAACAACAAAUUAAAAAAAAUAUAAAAUACAUCUAAUUUAUUUGUUUUUGGGAAGACCUGUCGUCCUUGUAUGUUUCUAGUAUCCUGCGAAAAUUCCCGCCUAAAUUGUCGGGACGACAUGUCGUAGCUACAUCUUUUCAGAAACCCGCCAAUUAUCUGCAUAACCUGUUCCAACAACACGUCAUCUCUAUAGAUUAACGAGUCAAAAAAUGUUGGUCAACCCUAUAGAGACAACAUGUCAUCUCUAUAGAUGAUCUAUAGAAACGACUUUUGUCGUCCUUAUAAGUAUCGUCCCUAUAGAUGCUUAUUCUUGUAGAGGAUUCAGAUGAUAUUAUCUAGAGAUGGUACAAGUGCAUUUGAGAAAAAAGGUUAUCAAAGACGUAAAAGUUACAAAUGACUUAUGUACCUACACUAUUUAUAGUGUACUCAAAUGAUACAAAAAGAUAUCAGUACUUCGACUGUAAAAGUGAUACAACGUAAAUGCCUGAUAAAAUACAUAGAAAAUCAAAGUCAUGAAGACUUUCGAUAUUGACAAUCUAAACAAUACUUCGACUAUUACUUGACUUUACAUUCUCUCAUUUUGUGACAAUAUCAAAUCUUCAUAGUGUCGGUAACAUCAUUAUCAGAUUAAAAAAAUCUUUCUUAUUUCCAUAUACCAAAUGACAAUCUUCCUUAUCUCCACUCUAUCUUCAUUUGAAUUUGUAACAACCCAAAUUUUCAAAUAUAUUUUUCAUUUUUAAUUAACUAAAACAUUCCCAUAAAAUAUGAAGUGACAAUGACAAUCGUUUUCAAAAUCCAUAACAUCAACGUUUUAUUUCAAAUAUCAGAGUGUCCUAUCAAAUCAAAUGUUGGAGAGUGCAUGUCGUGCCAUCAAGCCUUGCUCUUUCCCUUAGGCUCAGAUGUACCUGAAACAAAUCAACAAACUGUAAGUUCAUGCUUAGUGAGUUCCCUAGAGUAUACCCCACACAAUCCACAUAAUCACAUAAUCCAUAUUAGCUAUAAAAGCUACAUAAACCAUAUAAGUCAUGCAUACAACAUAUAAGGAUGCCGUGGAAACCCUCCAAGGUCUUAAACCUAAUGACACUGGAACCCCCACAUGGUGUUAACUACUUGCCAUGGGAACCCCCACAUGGUCUUCCUACCAUGGGAACCCCCACAUGGUCUUCACUACCAAGAAACUAUCAUACAAGCUAAACAUGAAAAUAUACUAGGAUGCCAUGGAAACCCUCCAAGGUCUUACACCAAUGCCAUGGGAACCCACCGGGGUCUUCCAUGCAAGUGUCAUACCAACAUAAUGCAUAACCAACCAACAAUCCGCAUAUCAUAAAAUAGGUCGGCCUCCGUGCCUUAGACCCAUUGGUAUGGUGAGAAGAAUCACCUCUCAGAAAUGUUGAUCUGAUAAGAUAAGUCCCAACUUGUAGCUCCAACUCAACUGUCUACAACCAUCAUGUGAUUAACUUAUCAAAAUCCUGAAAUACCAUAAAUACCCUCAAAGUCAAACUUGGUCAACCCUGAUCAAAUUCAAGCUCAACAGUCCAUGUUGACCCCAACUCGUCGAGUACAUCUAUCAACUCGUCGAAUUCCUUCAGAGUCCAUAAAAUUGAAAUGUCGACUCAACUCGCCGAGUUACCUGAGUAACUCGUCGAUUUCUUUAGUAUCCAAAAGGCCGAAAAUUCUAAACCGAAAACUCCAGGCCAAAAACUCUAACCAGCUCACCGAGAUCACUCAGAAUCCCGAAAACGUGUAAACCCUGCCCAACUCAUCAAGUUGGCUAAGCAACUCAUUGAGUUCCUUCAGCCCCUUUCAUGUUCAGUCCUUCCCAAUUGAAUCCAAGGCUCCAAACUAUAGAUCGAGCCCCUAAGGUGUAAUUACCACGUAAAGUUUCCAACUUUACGUGCAUGCAAGGCCUUAAGAGGCUAAAACACUGAAAGUUGCCCAGCUGGAACUCAAGGCGCGAUCGACACUGGUCAGCAUAGCUUUUUUGACGGCUCUGUGCGACUUGUAGUCGGUCGCGCACCUAUUGAAUCAAUUCGGUAGUCUUGAGCACUACCUCGGUGCUCCCCAUGACUCGGUAUCCAAACUCACCCUAACAAACAGGGGUCCUACACCUCCGACCAUACAACAUCUCAAAUGGAGGUCGGUCGAUAGUAGCAUGAUAACUAUUGUUAUAUGAAAACUAUGCUAGUGGGAGGUAUGUAUCCCAACUUCCUCUAAAAUCUAACACGCAUGCUCGAAGAAUAUCGUCGAAUGUCUGGAUCGUCCUCUCGCUCUGGCCAUCUGUCUGGGGGUAAUACGUUGUGCUGAAAUGUAACUAAGUGCCCAGUUCCUCGUGGAACAUCUUCCAGAAUCAAGAUGUAAAUCGGACAUCCCGAUUAGAGAAUACUAACACCGACACCCCGUGCCUAGCCACCACUACUCACACAUAAAUAUCCGCUAAUUUCUCAGCGGAGAUGAUCUCGGAGAUCGGAAUAAAGUAGGCACUAUUUGUCAAUCUAUCUACAAUAACCCAUAUGACAUUCACACCCCUCGCUGUCAUUGGUAACUUCGUGAUGAAGUCCAUGGUGAUCUCCUCCCACUUCCACAUAGGAAUAGGUAGCGGUUGAACCUUUCCAUGAGGCAUCUGAUUUUCGGCCUUGACCCUCCUGCAUGUCAAGCACCGCUUCACAAACUAGGGAAUCGCUCGCUUCAUGCAGGGCCAUGAGUAGCUCAGCCUUAGAUCAAUAUACAUUUUUGUAGCUCCCGGAUAUAUAGAGAACUUGGACUUAUGCGCCUCCUCCAAUAUCCUCUGUCUCACUCCCCCCAUCACCGGUACCCACACCCGACCACACUAUGUUAGAAGACCUCGACUAUCCCAAAAAAACAAGGGAUACUGACCCCAAAUCCGCUCUAUUUUCCAAUUCUCUUUCUUCAUGUCACACCCCCGAACCAGAUGGCGGAAAUGUCCGGGGGCUUGGUGUGACUUCAUCUUUGUAGUAUAUGUUGGAUUAGGUGUCUAAGUUCAUAACUAUUUUUGGGAUGUACUUGACCGGGUUGGCAUGAUCCAUUUGGGUUGCAUGGCAUUGCAACACUUGGAUAGACUAAAUGAGCGAAAGGACACUUAAGGAUUAUUAAUAUAUUAUAACUUCUAAUAUAUUAAUAAUAUUAUUUAAUUAGUAUUGAUCAAAGAAUUGAUUUGAAAUUAAUUAAGUGAUCAAAAAGAGACUAAUUAAAUAUAUGAGGUUGAUUGUGUAAAUAAUCUAUUCUUAUAUAGUGGGCUAAUGAUCCAUGGUUUGUAUGGAUUGGGCUAAAACCCAUAAGGUGAUCCAUGGAUAAUCCAUGGAGGUUACAAACCCAUGGAUCAUGGAAUAUGAAAAGCCAUGACAAUUAGGGUUUACAUGGUGUAACCCUAAUUGUGCCACAACUAUAUAAAAAACCCCAUGCAAGCAAAAUCGGCACUACUACUUGUACAAGAUAGAGGGCUAGCCAAUUUUGAGGUUAAGUGAACUUCUCUUAAGUCUAUUCCAAGAGUUGUAGUGUUAUGUGAGACAUUUGAGGCAUCACACUUGAGGUGCUAAGAUCACAAGGUUCUCAAGGAAUCCAAACUACAAAAGGUAUGUUCUUCUUCUAGUAUUUAUGUUUAAAAGUUCCCCAUGGUAUGCUAGGUAGAUUAAGAACCUUGGAAAAUCAAUAUUGCAUUUAUCAUAGUAAAACAUAGAUCCAAGGUUAUUUAGGGUUGCAUGUACACUUUAGGAGUGUUAGAAUGCUCAAAACCUAACAGUGGUAUCAGAUAUUAGGUUUGUUUUCUUGAUAUUUGAUGCAAACUUGCUGAAAACUCGAAAAAAUGGCUGUCUGGAUAGUGGACUCGCCGAGUCCAUGGGGGGACUCGACGAGUCCAUGCCUAUAUUCAACCAACUCGACGAGUCAGUUCAUGCACUCGGCGAGUUGGCUUCUCAGAGUGUAGUUUUUCGACUUUUGUUGCUGGAUAUGGACUAGAAACAUUACCCUAAACUGUUUUGGUCUUAUAAAACUUGUUUUAGAUGAUGUAAUGGUUAUGCUGAUCCAUUUUCAAUAACUAUUAUCAAAAUUUCAAGUUUUAUAUGGGUAAUUUUAUGAUUCUUGAAAUUGUUGAUAUGCAUGUUCAUGAACUUAUGGGUUUAGAAGAUCAUAGGAAUUAUUUGGAACUUGCUUGUUAGUUCAAUUCUUGAUCAUUAUGUGUUUUAAUGGAAUCCAUAAUUUUCCUCAAGUUAUGGAUUACCAAUAUUUAUCCUUUUAAAGUCCAUUAAAGAAACACAUAGGUUACAUAAAAUGAAAAGUCUCUCAUUUUAAUAAACCAUUUAACUCAUAAGUUAUGAAAGAUGAAAAGUUUUGAAAGUUACAAAACUUGCCCUCAAGUUUUGGAACAUGUAAAGUCACUUUAAAAACUUUAGUUCCAACCCCUAGAAUUUUAAAAGUUAAAAUUCAACCCUUAUACUUUAUAAUAUUAUAAGUUUAAUAAUAAUUAUAUAUGUAUCAGAAUAAGUGAUUUUACCGUUAGUAGGCCUCAUUCACGAAGUCGGUCUAUAAGGGGGGUAUAAGGUUGUUGCCUAUAAAAUGACAGCUUAAUGGGUGUCCCUUCUCACCCACCGCUUCCUUGAUCGGUGGAGGGUCAUUAGCCGAAUGGGUAAGAUAAGGACUUAAAAUCGUUAUUAAAAGUAUUAAUUAUAAAUAUAAAGUAAGUAAACCUUUUAUAAAUUCCCAAUCUUAGUUACGUUAGGAAACUGUGAAUUUGGUGCUAACCCAUGAAAUUACACUUUGCACUUUGCUUAAGUCGGUUAGUGGAGCGCGUGUGGUUAACCAGCACACUAGCUUGAUUUAAUAAGGUAGGAAAAGGGUAACUUAAUGUUUAUCAUAGUAUCGGUGGAGCGUGUGUGGUUAACUGGCACAUCAAUUGAGGGGUAAAUUUAAGGGUACCAAGUAUAUUUGCGUGGUUAUUCACACCUUGUUUUGUGAUCCUCGGCAUCCCAGUCACAAAACCUGAGAGGGCACAAUUGAGAUUGAAGCAUGCCAUUGAAAAGUUCAAUGAAUCUCAAAAUAUCUAGGAGUUUCAAAUCCAAUUAAAACCUAAUAAAUUAUUUCGUUUUUCAUGGUGGAAAUUGGCGAAUCGUCAUUCGCCUACCUUCAAAUAUUCUAUAACUUGGAUUACGGCAUCCCUCUUCCAAGUUAUAAAAUAUUGUGUUGGGUCCUAGCCUUAAUAUUUCAUAUUGGGUGUUAUAUUAAGGACUUUAAAUCAACUAUCUUGAAUAUCUCCCAAAAGAUGUCUGGUUCAGACAAUUAUGAUCUUCCAAAACUCUUGGAACAAGCUUUCCUAAUAAAGAUAAUGUCCCGUGACUGGAUCAUGGAAAUCAUACCUCAAUUCCUCCACCUCCUCCAAUUAUUCUCCUUAUCCCACAAGUUCAAGAUCACUCAAGCCCUAUUGGCAAGCAAGGUCUAUGUGUGAUCACAUCUUGGAGAUGAAGUCACAUGUUGACAAUCCGGGAGAGUUGGGUGUGAAAGCCUUGAGGACGUUGGAUGUUGACUAAUCACGUCCUAAGUCACAUAGUGAGUUCUUUAUGGACUACUAUGUAAAAGACUAUGACAUGACCCUUAAUGAUCUUAUCUAUUUGCUUGGUGCUGCUGAAUCAACAAUGACUUGGAGCACUGGUAGAGAAAAUUUGAUUAAGAAGAUCAACUCCCCAGUCUUCAAUGGAUAUUGACAAUUGGUAAUAUUAGAUAUCCAUAAAAGCUUUCUCUUCCCAAUGGAGAGGGAUCGACCAUAGUCAACUCGGUUGACCAAAUGGUAAAGAGAAAGGCUAAGUCUGAGAUAGUCAUGUGUACCAUUCCCAAAGGGUCCAUAUGGUUCUAUUACCAAAAGGAAGGGGCAUUGGUUCCAAAGCUGCCCUACUACCUGAAAGAUCUGAGAGAAGGUCUAGUCAGAAAGUUUGUGUUUGUUUCAGGUAAGUCCACUAUCUAACACAAUUAAGUUCCCAUUUGGAGAUUCUUAAUACAUUUUGAUGUAUGGCAGGAUCAAGCAAAGGGAAGGGAACUUAAAGAAAGAGUAUGUUGAAUCUGAUCGCGAAGAUGGAUUUCAAUCGCAUGGUUCGAAGAUCGGAUUCCUGAGCUACUACUUAGAGAGUUAUGAUAGAUUGCUAAGAAAUAUGUAAUAACAUAGUUUUCAUUUAAAGCUGCAUUGUAAGGAAAACGUUUUUUCCGCAUUUUAUAAAUGAAUAAAAUUUUGAUUUUAUUUUAGUUUAUAUCUCCUUGCAAUGGCUUUUAUGGAGAAUUGAUGUUUAUAUGUUUCUAGCAAUAACGGAAAUAUGAAUUUGAUUCUUUCAUUUGUGGUAGUGUCUAAAUUUACCAAAUAAAGAAGAUUCUCACCAACCAAGUUUCAAUUGGACCGAAUUUGGAAUCAUGCAAGUUGUAUAGUAUAAUGAAUGAGAACUUUCAGCUUUGGAAAAUUAAGACUAUUUCCUUGUUCACAUUUAUAUGUGAGUCAAGUGAAGGACUAAGGGAUCGAGUACACAUUCUUGUGCACUGUUCAAUUCCACCACAAAAGAUCGAUAAGACUACUCGUCAUGAUUUACUAAAGUUAAGUAAAUAUGAUUAUACUUACCUGUUUAAGUAUAAUUUUGAAACAUUGGAAAAGUUUCGAUGUAUUGCAGGACGAAUGAGAAGAAUCAAAUUAGGCAGAAAGAUAAAAGUUUCUCAAAUAUGAAAAGAUGGGAGAGUACUUUAGUAUCAUGUUUUCUGAUCAUCUUUUAUUAUUAAGAAACCAUAUCACAAUUGGUCCUCUAAGGACAUCUUAGUGCAUUCUUAUGGCUAAGAAGAGGAAUCAUUAAUUGUUGAAGUGGUUAAAUGAAGAAGAUGAGUCAUACUUCGUUCCAAAACAAAUCUUAGAGUCAUAAUCCAAGAUUGUAACUUGAGUGACAUAUCUUAAAGAAAGGUUUAUAGCACUUGUCAAAUGUAAGAGUAAAAUGUGUCCUACUCUUGUACAUUUGAAAUUGGUAAGGCGUGAUGUUUUGGAUAAACCAAAGACCAACUAAGGCCAAUUGUGUGAAGUGUUUGUCUUGAUAAAGAAUCCACACUAUCUCUUGAAUAUUUGGCAAGUGAGUCUUAUAUGUCAAGAGGACAGUGUGAGUCUUAAAGAUCUUGGAAAAGCUUCCAGAUCUAAUACAGAAGAAAAACCUAUAGUUUAUCACUAGCACACGACUUGAGGUUUAUAACCUAUCAUGUUGACAUAUUCCUAUUUCUGUGCCCAUUCCAGUUAAAGUUGGCUUUGCAUAUGAGUUCUGAGAGUUCUUAAUUGGUUGCAUAACAACUUGGAAGCAAUGGCAGGCCCUUGUGAUGCCAGGUGGCAAGAAGUUAAGACUACACAAGUUCAAUCCAUAAGCGUUUGGAUUUGUCACUAACCUUGUCUUAUGAUUAUGGUUUUGACAAAUUCACAUGGAUAGGAACACAUACACCAUAAAAUCUAAGUGUCAUAAGGUUUCUCUCCGAUUCAUUAAAAUGAUGGUGAGAAAACGCUUUCACUAAGUAGAUAGCAAUUGUGAUAUUUGCAUUCUCAAAGUCGUUAGUGGAGCGUGUGUGGUUAACCGACACACUAACAUGGACUUGUGAGAAAUGGAAAAGGUCUAAACAAUUGAGACUAUGAUUACGACAUCCGUUUUCAUAGUUCUAGAAUUGUUUAGACACACAUGUGUGCUAUCUAAGGAAAGGUUUAUGACUUUGAUAUAGUUUUAUCAAACAUAUCGUAUCAGAAAUAUGAACUUUGGUACGAAGGUCAAUAAAGUAUUGAUUCCUAGAAGUCCAGCUGAUUUCUAGGUACAUGUCAAAGCUAGUGGGAGCAUAAGUGUUAUGCUAAUAAUCAUCAUGCAAGUGGGAGCAUGAUAAUUAUAAUAAGUGUUGCAAGUUAGCAAUGUUAAUUAUAGAAGACAAAAGGUUUCAAUUGGGAAAAAUUGGUUUUGCUAUAAUUAAGGGAGAGGAAAUUAUACUUCAUUUAAAUUCUAAAAGCUUAGAUUGAGGUUUUAAUCAUCUUUAGUCAAGGAGUAAUAUAUGAAUUUGAUGUUGGAAUGGCUCAACAUAAGGAAAUUCUAUAUACGGGUCCAUUAUUUUUUGUUCUAAAAUUCAAUUAUGAUUACGACAUCCCUUUUCAUAAUCUGAAUUACGAGAACUUGGCAAAUAGAAAUAAAAAUAUUAUAGCAAAAGACUGGUCUAGUAUGAUGUCUUUAUGAAUCGUGUCCCAUAUGCUUCAGAUAUAGGAUCGAUUGCAUGUGAUAUAGUAUUCAUCUGUUCUUAAUUUUUCCAAAUGCCCAGAGCAUUAAGAGGGAAAAAGUACUAGAACUAGAUAUUAGAAAUUUGAUUAAGCAAUUGUCGAGGACAAUCUAAGGUUUACCAAAGAUUGGUUGCCCAGGGACAGUUGGAAGUAUAGUGUUAAUUUUUGGAAAGACCAUAUUGACAUAUUUUGAAAAGAGGCAACUCUUGUUCAGGAGUAAUAGUCAAAAGGGGAAUAUGGAAAUGUUCCCAUAGGUGGAAGUUGUUCAUUAAAUCUGUGUAAGAUUAGGAAACUUAAUGCAAGAAGAAUGUUCAAAGGCAAUGAACUUUGAAUAUGAGAUUUCAUUUCCAUGGAGUUGAUCUCCAUUGGAAUAAUCUGUAAUGUCUGUUGACAAGUCUUUGUGACUUUGUGCAUAAUCAUUACAAGAGGACCAAUGCAUAUAAGUUUAGAAUCUAACAGAUUUAAGUAAAUGGCAGGAAUUUGGAAUUCUUGCAUUUGGGGUAAGGAUUUGGGAUUGUGAAAUGAGUAUCAUUGGAAUUAUGUUCAAUCGAUCUAUUUCACAGAGUAAAGAUCAUAGAAAAACUUAUUGUGCAUACUUGGUGUAUGACAUAACUAAUGUUUGGAAAAACAUAGUGUGCAUACUUGGUGUAUGGCAUGACUAGUGUUUAGCAAAAAACCGUAGUGUACAUGCUUAGAGCAUGGGACAACUAUUGUUUUAAUUCAAGUAUAAAUUUGAUAGUUUGAAACAUUAUGCAAUGAAAAAUGUGUAAUCAAUAUGGUGAUAAAUAAAAUAUUUUCUAUUUAUAUUCAUAAGUUCUGAGACAAUAUUUGAUUCGAUUAUUCUUGUGUUUCACUUUGCUUGUUUUGACUUCCAGAAUAACUAGGUCAUUCUUACCGAUUGACUAAGUUAUUCAAACCAUCCACAAUCGGUCAUAUGUUGGAAGUAGAUAUGAAUAAAGACUUUCAUGAAGCUGGAUUGCAGAUGUCCAAGGUAUGUGACAUAGCACGACUUGCUGCCACAUUCGUGAGUGCUCAUAAGUUCUGAGUAUUGGAUUCAACCCACGCUUACUGGUAUCACUUCAUGGAAUUUAUCUUGAGUGAUCGUGAGACGAUAAUAUCAUAUAAGUCUUCAACCCUAGAGAUAUGACUUGUUGCAUAUGAUUUGGUUAUAUAUUGAUUAUACGAAAACGCAUUGGUAACUUGAUGUUGUAAAACACGCCUUUGUGUAUGAUUCAAAAAGUAGUAGAACAAGCAUAUGAGUCGAAGUUUAUGUAACAUCCCAAAAAUGCAACCCGAAAUUUUUUUUUUUUAAUAUUACUAAAACCCACAAUAUCAAAAGCCAUAGUAUAAAACCAUGAGUCGUAUGUCUCAAAACGCCAUAGUAAAAGUAUCAAAUAAAACUAAUGUCACUGUCAUAUCAAACAUCUGAACAAACUCCUAGGAAAAAAUUGUGGUGUGUGACAUGCCAUCAUCCCGAGCUCUUCCCCUUGCUAGCGGAAGUACCUGAAACCAAAACUGAAACUGUAAGCAGGAAGCUUAGUGAGCUCUCCCCCCCAACCUACCACACACCAUACAAUAACAUAUAAUGCAACUACUGGGCCUUGCCCACUACAUCGGACUGAAGUCCGGAAACUGCAUCGGACCGAAGUCCGGAACUAUCCAGGGCCUUUCCCUCUUCAUCGAACCGAAGUCCGAAAACUACAUCGGACCGAAGUCUGAAACUAACCAGGGCCUUGCCCUCUGCAUCGGACCGAAGUCCGGAAACUGCAUCGGACCGAAGUCCGGAACUAUCCAGGGCCUUUCCCUCUUCAUCGAACCGAAGUCCGAAAACUACAUCGGACCGAAGUCUGAAACUAACCAGGGCCUUGCCCUCUGCAUCGGACCAAAGUCCGGAAACUACUGAACAUAUGAACACGACAAGUCUGUGACUCGCCGAGUUGUAUGAACAACUCGUCGAGUCUCUUUCAUCAUAUGAAAACGACCAGUCUGUGACUCGCCGAGUUGUAUAAACAACUCGUCGAGUCUAUUCUUGAGGCAAGAAGAUUGCCUUGGACUCGCCGAGUCACGGCUUGGACUCGCCGAGUCUCCUGCAUGCCAUUACUAUACAGUCGAUUCUAGUCGAUUUCAGUGCAUCCAUUUCAUAGAUAUGGGCUUCUAGGGCUAGUCUUGCACGUAAAGUUUCCAACUUUACGUGCAUGCACAUGGGAAUGGGGCUAGAAUGCCAAAAUCACCCAACACUAAGCACUUAGGGUUUGGAACAAGGCUAUAUUUGCAUAAAGGUAGAUAUAUUUAGUUCCUAGAACUCCAUAACAUCCAGAUCUAUGGUCUUCAUCCUAAGGAGAACUCAAAUCUCGAGUUUGAAUCAUAUAAAGCUCCAAAAGAGACAUAAACAAGUAUAAAAGAGGGUUUAAUGAAAGAAUAAGCAAGGUAAUAACUUUAUUACCAGUAUAUGAAGCAGAUGGAAGCUAGAUUCUAGAUCUCCUUUCUCCUCUAUUGAUCUUCUCUUUCUUCCUUCUAUUCCAAAACUCCCAAGCUAUCACAAAACACUCAAGUGCAACAAUGGGGACUAGGGUUUUACGAAGAAAUUCUCUAAAGGUGCUGGAAGCUGGGGUGGGAGGCCAUAAUGACGUUUAAAUAGGGUACAAACCCUGGGAUUUAGGGUUUCAUCCAGACCAGCGGAAUCGCCGAGUCUGGAAUAUGGACACGUCGAGUUGCCAACUAAAAACGUGUGCAAUUCCCAUCCCUACUCGACGAGUUGGGCUACUGACUCGUCAAGUACCUCCUAAGAAAGGAAAAUACUUUAUUUAAAUUACUUACCAGAAAUGGGGCGUUACAAUUCUCCCCCACUUAUCUUAGAAUUCAUCCUCGAAGUCUGCUGCUACCGGUCCUGAAAAUAACUCUGGAUAGUGCUCCCUCAUUUCCUCCUCAGUCUCCGACAUCCACUCUGAGCCCUUCCAGUGUUGCCACUGCACCUUCACUAACUUGACCACCUUGCUCCUCAAGGUCUUCGUAUUCCGAUCCAAGAUUGUCACUGGUCUCUCAAUAUAAUUCAAGCUGCUAUCAACUUGAAUAUCCUCCAAUGGUACUACUGCAGACUCAUCCAUUAAACACUUCCGCAACUGAGAAACGUGGAAGGUGUUGUGGAUCUGGCUAAGCUCUGCUAGAAGAUCCAAAUGCUAAGCAACCCGACCCACCCGAGCCAAAACCCUAAAGGGACCAAUGAACCAGGGGCCUAACUUGCCCCUCUUACGGAACCUAAUGACACCCUUCCAAGGUGACACCUUUAGGAGGACCAUAUCGCCCACCUGAAAAUCCAAAUCCGAACGCCUCCUGUCGGCGUAACUCUUUUGCCGACUCUGCACAGUCUGCAGUCUGCUAUGGACCUGUUGGAUCAACUUCGUGGUAUUGAGCACCACCUCAGUGCUCCCGAUGACCCUCUGACUGACCUCGCCCCAACAAAUCAGGGUCCUACACUUCCUCUCGUAAAGCAUCUCAAAAUGAGGCGGUAAAUACUGGCGUGGUAACUGUUGUUAUAAAAAAUUCCGCUAAUGGAAGAUACGUAUCCCAACUGCCACCAAAAUCUAGAACACAUGCCCGAAGCAUGUCCUCGAGAGUCUGAAUCGUUCUCUCGCUUUGCCCGUCCAUUUGAGGGUGGAAAGCGGUGCUGAAGAGAAGACGAGUCCCCAUGUCGUCAUGAAACCGCUUCCAAAACUUGGAAGUGAACCGGACGUCUCAAUCUGAUACUACUGAUACAGGCACUCCAUGUCGUGCCACUACCUCAUGCACAUAAAUAUCAGCUAGCUUCUCGGCCGAUAUGUUCUCCUGAAUCAGUAUGAAAUGCAUGCUCUUGGUUAUUCGAUCCACUAUAACCCAAAUCGAAUCAACUCCGCAUGCGGUCCUGGGAAGCUUAGUGAUGAAAUCCUUAGUGAUAUCCUCCCAUUUCCACACGGGAAUGUCUAACAACAGCGUCUUGCCGUGGGGUCUCUGAUGCUCCACCUUGACUUUCCUGCAGGUCAGGCAUCUCUCCACAUACCAGGCCACGUCCCGCUUCAUGCAGGGCCACCAAUAAUCGGGUCGAAGAUCUCUAUCCAUCUUCGUCACCCCUGGGUGGAUGGAGAACCGAGACUUAUGGGCCUCAUCCAUCAGCAACUAUCGUACUCCUCCCUAGUACAAUACCCAAACUCUCCCAUGAAGGGUCAACAAUCCUCAACCAUCAUAGUCAAAGGAGGCUACUCGACCCACAAUCCUCUCACACUUCUGCCUCUCCUCCUUCAGGCCCUCAACCUGUGCCUCUCUAAUCUGCUCCAACAAGGGAGUAAUCACUGUCAUCGUCAGACAAAUAUCCCUGAUCGGGGCCGCUACCGCCUUGCGUCUCAGGGCGUCGGCCACUACGUUGGCCUUACCCGGAUGAUAAAGGAUCUCACAAUCAUAAUCCUUAACCACAUCUAACCACCGACGUUGCCUCAUGUUUACAUUCGGCUGAUCCAUAAGGUACCUCAGACUCUUGUGAUCCGUGUAAAUGGUACAAUGGACCCUAUAGAGGUAAUUCCUUUAAAUCUUGAGGGCGAACACCACUGCCCCUAGCUCUAAAUCUUGUGUCAGAUAGUUAGCCUCGUGAGGCUUCAACAGUCUGGAGGCAUAAGCUAUCACAUGCCCUCGCUGCUAGGACUGUUCAUUAUUUGGAUAAAACCUAAUUGUGCAAUUGGACAAAUUGGAUUGGACUAUUUGGUUUGGAUAUUCGAAUUUUUGGAUUGGUUUUCAACAACAUCGAAUUACUAUUUUGGAUUCCGGAUUGGUUUUGGUUUAUAAAAUAUGAACCGAAUAAUCCAAAAAAACCGAAUAACAAUUUAUUAUUUAUUUAUUUUUAAUAUAACUAUAAGUAUUUAUUAAUUUUAUAAUUUAUUUUUUCAAAUAAGUUCAAAAAGCUUCAUCUAAUAAAAAACAUUAAUAUGCAUUUUCUCUUAAAAGUUCUUUAUCUAUUAAAUAUUAAACUAUAAAAUACAUUCUUAGUAAUUUAUAAAUUUUAAAUCACAACUAAAUAUUUUUUUUGCUUCUACUAUAAAAAUUGGAUAAUAUUAUAAUUAUAUGUCAUUUUAAAAUAUUUUAAUUUUUGAAAACCGAAUUGUAAAAACCGAUCCAACCAAAUUGUAAUUGGAUCAGAUCGGAUCGGAUUUGAAUUUAGUUUGGAUUAUUCGAAUCCAUAGUUUGAAAACCGAAAUCAAUUUGGAUUUACUUAAUUGGAUCGGAUAGAACCGAUCCAUCCAAACGAACACCCCUACUCACUACAUCAACACUGCCCCCAUACCUAUGAUCGAAUCAUCACAGUAAACUACGAAGUCAUCCACUCCCUCUGGAAACGUAAGAAUCGACGCCUCACACAAUCUAUGUCUGAGGGUCUCAAAAGAAACCUGCUUCUUAGGCCCCCAGGGAAACACCACCGAUUUCUUGAUCGGUCGGGUGAGCGUAACUGCUAUCUUGGAGAAAUCCUAGAUGAAUAUCCUGUAGUACCCUGCCAGUCCUAGGAAGCUCAGAAUCUUAGAUGGAGAUCUCGGGACCUCCCACUGCAGAAAGUAUUUGAACAAAGAGUGACACAGAAAUUAGCCGACUGUCAAUAUCCUUGAUAUUUAUGACGUAAUAAGUUUGGGGAAAUUGACCUUGUAGAAGGUCGUACAUCAUAUCCGGAGUAGAAAGGUUUUGGUAGCAUAAAGGCCUAACUAAAAGUACCUACAGUACACGAUAGUUUCAUAGAAAAAUGUCAUAUAGGACAUAGACAAGAAAACGAUUCCUUCAAACAAGGAAGGAAAAUAAAGCUUCUCCUACUGGUGAUGGUCAUCCCUCUGGUAAACCCUUAGUUCAUCCAGUUGACGCUCCAUAUCAAGCAUGUGUCUUUCGUACACCCUCUGGUGUACUCGGAGCUCUAUGAAUUCGGCUCGUGUUUUAGCUAGUGCUUGUAGUAGGGUCUCAUGGUCUCUCUCAGAUCUCUCACGAGUGUGUUCAAGGCGAUUGGUGCGGAGGGUAUGCAUUCCUGCAUUGGNCAUCAACCUUUGUGAUACGAUGGAGAGCCGUCCUGCCCUGAAUAUCAUUUCGGGCAACUCUUCAGACUAGGAUUGGAAAAACUCUGUCUGUUGAGCCCUGUUCGCUUAAGUUGUAGAAGCUUCGGUCUCCAUUUAAUAGCAUAGGUUGAUCUUUCUCUUCGCUCCAUGUUUCCAAGCAUUCUACCCAAGGAGGCGUCGAGCCAUGAAAAGCCAGACGAGGGUUAGGAUUUGGAAUGGGAGCUACCGGGGGUAGGUUCUCAACCUCGGGCUCAGAGUUAGCACCAUCUUAAAAGCCUUCAACAUGGUGAUCAUCCAAAGGGAUUGGAUGAUCAUCUUCUGGCUCUUCUUCAAACCAUCAAUCAUUGUCUUCGUUUGGGAAGUAUGGGUCGCCGUGGGGAUGGGGUCCAGCCAUGUUAUCUACGCGAGAAAUGGAGAUAAAUAAAUAAUUUCUAGACGAACUAACUAGAUAAUUAUUAGAUAAUCUUCAUUAGUUACAUCACUGUUUGUAAAGUGCAUACCGGUUAUAUGUAAUCAAAACAGAAUAGCCCUUCGAAUAAGUGACCUUAACUCCAAAUUCACAAGGAACAGGGGUAAAGCAAAAUUUCACAGAUUCGAAGUCUAUGACAUCCUAGUUACAUAUAACCUUAGUGUAUCUACUCAGCAACUAUUGACCUAGAAAUGAAGAUCUUUUUAGUUCUCAAGUAAGUAAUUAUAGUAACACAAAAUACUCCUAUAGUAUUUUAGACUUAUGUUCUGUUCUAGUGUUCUUAUUGUAAUAGUGUUGGUAAGUUUUUAGACUUGUUGCCAUAUCACAACCAUUCUUGAGCACAUGCUAAUUAUUCCUCGGACCAGCAUAGUUGAUCAGGCUAUGCCACUCCCAGGACUGACCAUACAUCCCCGAGCUUACUUGUGAUAUUCAACAAUCGUAAUACUUUUGUUCUUGUCAUUGUGACACUGAUUUUAGUAUGCAUGCAGGUAUGUAUACUUAGUUAAAUAUUUUAUUAUUUAAAAGUAUAAACUCUUUGUCAGAGUAUUUUUAAUCCCAUUGUAUUUAUAGUUUGUAUAUCUUUUAUGGGUUGAUAUACUCAAUUCACUAUAAACAAUGCUUUGAUACCAAUCUAUCACACCCCAAAACCAAGAACGGCGGAAACGUUCUGGGGCGGAGGACGUCAUGUAAAGAAUCAUAACAAUGCAAAGUAGUAAACAAGCAACAACAUCAUCCAUUGCAUUAAUAGUAUAAUUUUCAAUACAAGUGUGUUCUUUCAUAUAAUAAUACACCAUAAUGAAUAAUCAAAAUUAAAGACGAGUCUUGACUGCUCCAUCUUCUCCAAAACCUAGUCAUCGUACCUGUCUACUGGUGACCUGAGAAUACAAGUUAUUUUGAAAGUGUAGAUCAGCAUAAAGCUGGUGAAUUCAUAAGUAUUUUAGUGUCAUUGAUUAGUAAAACUUGUGAAGAAAAGACUUGUGAAUGUUUGAAGGAUAAGUUUGUAUAAGUAUGAAAAUCCUAGAAAAUCCCAUAUUUCCUACUAGUAUAAAAUGUAGUCUUUGACCAAGACUCGACUAUUUUGAAGGUUUGAAUCUCUACAUAAGUGAAGGUUUUUCCCUUGUACAACUAUUAUUAUUCAAAUCUAGUCUACCUCAUCGAUUAUGUGAAUAUGACACAAAAUAAAGGUAAUAAGGAAUAUAAUAUAAUUAUUGAAAUCGUAUCCUUUUGUACUAGGAUAUUCACAGCGUGGUAACUCGCCGAACAGUACAACCGUAGACAUCCGUCGAUGUGCAGUUUCCCACUGUAGCUAACAGCCGGGUGUAGAAUGGUCAGUCCCGUAUAGUAACUAUAAGUAUCUAUUCAUAUAGUAUGUAAUAGUACCUCUUCCUAUGGUAUGUAUUAGUAUCUCCUCAUAGUAUGUAUUAGUAUCUCUUCAUAGUAUGUAUUAGUAUCUCUUCAUAGUACGUAUUAAUAUCUCUUCAUAGUAUGUAUUAGUAUCUAUUCGUAGUAUGUAUUAGUAUCUCUUCAUAGUAUGUAUUAGUAUCUCUUCAUAGUAUGUAUUAGUAUCUCUUCAUAGUAUGUAUUAGUAUAGACUCAUGAAUGAACUGACUUUUGUGUGAUUCCUUGUACUUGGAAUAGUAAGAAGUAUCUCCUAACUAUACCUAUUAUAGUUACUAGUAAUGUACGUGUAUAACCAAAAGUAUACCUUUGCUACCCAAAGGUACUAAAUGGAUUGAUAGAACUUUUAUGUCUAUAUAUAUACAUAAUAUAUAACUAAUAUUUAGAUGACACUCGGACAAAUAGCCGAUACCCUAAGGUCUCAUCCAAACAAGGAAAAGGAAUUAAAGCAAGCUAGAAGUCCUAAGUCCUUUAAACAUUGCUUAUAGCUAUACAUAUAUUGGCAUGCAAUUGACAAUAUAAAAGUAUAAAAGAAGUUUUGUAAAACAUUUGAAAAGUUUAAUAAAUAAGAAUUGAUGACUUGAUGUCAGUUUAUAAAAUUAUUUGAAAACAGUUUGUUUGAUAAGAACAGUUUAAUGUAUAAAAAGUCCUUUGUUUGAAAUACAAUUGUAACCGAGUUUGAAAGGAAAGAUACAGUAUGUAAGACUUGAACACGCACAAUUAUCCUAGUUAACAUAUAAUGAGACAUAUACAUAUCCAAUUAGUCAUUUAACAACUAAUUAACUAAGUUAAGACAUCCUAGGACAUGGAAACACUUUGAUUCAAGUGCUAUAGGUACCGAAGGGUAGCAUCUAAAGGUUGCAUGGCAUGGAAUUGGAGUUUAUGGCCCAAGGACCACUCCUUAUGGAGUUUACGGCCUAAGGUCAUUUCCCCCAUGAGUUUACAGCCAUAAACUCAUGGUACUAAGUGCCAUUGGGUGUUUUAAGGUCUUAUAAGUCAAGAUUUAGCAUCCAAUGAUCAAGUCCAAGCCUUAGGAAGCAUUAGGGGCACAAUAUCACCCCUUUAUAGAGUUUACGGCCUAAGGACCAUUUCCUUACGUGCUUAUGGCCGUAAACUAUUAUGGAGACAUGGUUUCUUUGUUGUUUAAGGUCCUAAGCACUACAAGGAAGGAUCAAGACUAGCAUCCAAGGCUUAGGAAGGGACUAGGGUUCAUUUAACCCCACUUAUAAGGGUUUACGGCCCAAAAACAUCCCUUGGUUGUAAACACCUUUGAUCUUAUGAUAUCUUGGUGUUUUCUAAAGGUAAAAAAUAUCAUUCAAGCACACGACAAUCUAGGGCAAGUGUACUUACAAGAUAGAAGCUUGAUUGGGUGUUUAAGGUCCAAGAACACUAGUGUGUGUUCUUGGUGUUCUUGGUGAAACUAAGAACACUUGAAGAUCUACACAAAUGGAAUGAUUUCAUGGAUGAAAUCAUGUAUGAUCACUAGAUUAAGUAAGAUAUCAACUAAUUAGGGCAAGAAGCACUCACAAAGUUGAAGAUCAAGAAGGAAAAUCGGAUGAUACUUGAGAGGAUUUGAUGUUCUAGCUUUGAAAUUAUGAAGAAAAUGAGUAAAAUGACUAAGUGUCAUAUUUAUACUAUUUGGAGUUUACGGCCGUAAACUCCAUGUUUAGGACAUAAACUCCAAAUUCGUGGAUUUUCGCGACUUUAUUUUUGUACAAUAAACCCUAGGGCAUCCUCUCUCCAGUUAUCUGCUACAGUACUAGGCUUUGGAACACUCAAACUGACUCUACACAGCUCAAAAGUUACCAGAAAUUGUUCUGACUUCUAUUGAAGUGAAUGGUUGUACAGAAUAGAAAUUUCGGGUUGUCACAUAAAGUCAAGAUGUUCCCCAUUGUACAGCCCAUAAAGCAUGGUCAUAAACAACUUGCUCACCCCAUCUGAUCCAGCGCUUCGCUCUAAGAGACCUUUGAACAGGAGAGUGAAGUGGCCAUUCCAUUGUGGAGGAAGGCAUGAUUUCAUGAACUUCGUCAUGGUGGUGAGGGUUUUAGUAUACCCCAUGUUGUAGAACAUUGAGAAUAGUUGACCAGUUGAGAUGGAAUCAGGGUUUACCAUGGUAGGUUCGUGAGCAAGACCUAGCAGCGCGCAUAAUCGAUUCUUAAAAAUCGAGGUCUUCUCGUUGUGAAUAUCGAAGUGGAUUCUCUCAGAGACCUUGUCAUAGUGAGCGGUUGAGUAGAUAUAAGAGAGGCAAGACAUGGGAACAACCUCUACCUGUGAGAGAGCGAUGACAAGCGGAGAGUAUUUGAGGCAUUCCACCACUUGCAGCAUGUAGGGUUCAUAGGUGAGCGGUGUAAGGUUGAUUAUGAGGUUUUGGUGAGGCUUGAUUGUGACAACCCGAAAUUUUCCAUCCAGUUCAGUCUAACAUUUCAUUUAAAGUCAAACUCAUUGCCGUUAUCUUUUGGCACAAUUAGAAGUUUAUUUGAGCAUUCUGAGCCUUGUACACUUAAGGAAUAAGUGUCGGGGUUAAUCGGCUGAAGUUUUAGCUCAAAGAAAUGACCCUAAGCACUCAUGCAAGGAGUUCACGGCCAACACAUGGGAGUUUACGGCCAUAAACUCCAUGUGGGCCGUAAACUCUUGCCUAUAUGAUGUAAAGGUGGCCAUUUGUUCAUUCCUUCCUUCCAUUUGGCCCAAAUCCUCUCAUGUAUCAUCCCGAUCUUCGUCCCCAAUCUUCAAAACUCGUAAGCCUAUUGUCUUAACUAGUUGAUAUCUUGCAUGAACUAGUAAUCUUACAUGAUUUCAUAUGUGAAAUCAUUCCAUUUUGUAGAUUUUCAAGUUUCACCAAGAACACCAAGAACACACUAGUGUUCUUGGCCAAAACCGACCAUUCGAGCUUGUAGAUCGUAAGUACUCUUGAUCCAACUUGUUGUAAACUAAGUUUAUCAUAUUUAGAGCUUAGAAAACAUAAGAAAUCAAGGGAUUCAAGGAGUUUACGGCCAAGGCAUGGUCUUAGGCCGUAAACCCCUUUUAAGGGUGCAAAUGACACCCUAACACCUUAGUAAGCUUUGGUUAGUGACAUAGAACCUUGCACCAUUGACCUAAGGACCAUAAUUCACGAAAUGGUACUCCUUACCAUGAGUUUACGGCUGUAAACUCAUGGGGAAGUGGUCCCAGGGCCGUGAACACCAAACAAGGUCAUGUUAGGACCUUAAAACCACGCAAACACUUGUUUAAAGCUUUGGAGCACUUAACCACUUAAGACCUUAGAUUUUUAAACCCCUUUUGGUGACCAAUUGAGAGUUUACGGAUAGGAGUAAACUCCCCUAGGCCGUAAACUCCAAUAAAGAUGGUCAUUGGACCAUAAACUCCCGUAUGAGGCUUCACACUCCUUUGUUGCAACCCGAUAGCCUCCUAGCACUUGACCAAAGUGUUUCCCUCGCAAUAAGAUGUUUAUACAUGUUUAAUUAGUGUUAUAAUCACUAAUUGUUUAUAUACAUAUGUCUUCAUAUGUAAUUAGGACCAUUGCGUGUGUCUAAGUCCUCACUUGACACCAAGCACUUGUCCGACACUUCCUUUCGAUCCGCUAACUGCAGGUGAGUUCAUACCCCUAAAUCAAUCUUUUAAAUGCUUUUAAAUGCUUUAAUGGGGGGGGAUACAGGUUGAAUCAUGCUAGUUAUUAUAUCAAUUAUGUGAUUAAUAACCAACAUACUAUAGGAUUUACUACACUUUAAGCUGUUUUACCAAACAGAUUUCUGUAAAUGGCUUUCCAAAACGUUUUACAAACUGACAUCAAGUCAUCUUUCUUAGUUGUUAAACUUUACAAAGGGUUUUACCAAACUUCUUUUAUACUUUAAAUUGUUAAAUGCAUGCCUAGAUAUGUAUAGUUAUAUAAGUAAUGUUUGAAGGACUUAGGAAGGCUAACCCGCUUUAUUUCCUUUUCCCCGUUGGGAUGUGGUCUGGUAGGGUAUCGGGUAUCUGUCCGAAGGUCGUUUAACUAUCAGUUAUAUAUCAUGUAUACAUAUAGAGACAUAAAAGUUCCAUCAGUCAGUACAAUACCUUUAGCUAGCAAAGGUAUACUUGGAUUAUACAUGUUCAUUACUAGUAACUAUAAUAGGUAUAGUUAGGAAAUACCACUUGCCAUUCCUAGUAUGAGGAAUCACACAAGAGUCAGUUCAUUCAUGAGUCCAUACAAAUACAUGUUGUUUGUAGAGAUACACUUACUUGGAUACACUUGCCAGGAUACUUUUACAUAGAUACCUUAUUAAAAGCAUGCCUGUAUAUGUAUAGUUAUAUAAAUAAUGUUUAAAGGACUUCGGAAGGGUAACCCACUUUAAUUCCUUUUCCCCAUUGGGAUGUGGUCUGGUAGGGUAUCAGGUAUCCGUCUGAAGGUCGUUUAAAUAUCAGUUAUAUAUCAUGUGUACAUAUAUAGACAUAAUAGUUCUAAUCAGUCAGUUCAGUACCUUUGGGUAGCAAAGGUAUACGUUCAUAUACUCUUACAUGAAUACUUAUAUUAGGAGUACCUUUACGGGACUAACCAUUCCUACACCCUGCUGUUGGAUACAGAGGAUAAUGAACAUCUACGGAUGCCUACGGUUAAUACUUAUAUUAGGAGUACCGUUACGGGACUAACCAUUCCUACACCCUGCUGUUGGAUACAGAGGAUAAUGAACAUCUACGGAGGUUCAAGGUUAAUACUUUUUGGCAGUCGCGAUGUCAGGUUUAUCCUAAUACAAAAGGAUAAUACUUAUAUGGCUAUAUUUUUCCUAUUACAUUUAUUUUGUGAUACAUUCACAUAAAAGAUGAGGUAGAAUAUAUAUAUUGUUAAUAGUCUUCAUACGAGGGAAAAUCCAUCUUUGUUACAUUCAAAACAUUCAGGUCUUGGUAGAAGGCUACUUUCAAAACAGUUAGGUCUUGGUAGAAGAUUUCAUCUAUACUAAUAGGAAUCAUAGGGAUUUCUAGGGUUUUUCAAACGCUUUCCAUUACUCACAAACAUUUCCACACUUAUACGAACUUUCUUAACAAUGUCAACACUUUCAUUGCAAGUUUUACAAAUCAAAGACACAUUAAUACUUAUGAAUUCACCAGCUUUUUGGCUGAUACUCGCUUUCAAAACAAAUUGUAUUCUCAGGUCACAAAUAGACAGGUACGACGACCAGGUUUUGUUAAGACGGAGCAGUCCAAACUUGUCUUAUAUUCUGAUUAUUCAUUUUAUUGUUGUAUGUUAUGAAAGAACACGCUUGUAAUUAAAAUUAUACUAUUAAUGCAAUGGAUGAUGUUGUUGCUUGUUUACUACUUUACAUUGUUGUGAUACAUUACAUGACGUCCUCCGCCCCAGAACGUUUCCGCCGUUCUCGGUUUUGGGGUGUGACAUUGAUGGUCAGAAGGGUGGAGCGAACAGAGGUGUCUUGAACAGAAGAAGAUUCUGCCAUUGAUGUAGCUUGAGAAGAAGAUGAUGAACAGUGAAAGAAAUCGUCUUUUUGCUUUAGGAGAUUAGAAAGCGGUAAAAGAGUAAAGGUGAUUUGGAGAAACCUUUUAUACUUGGGAGUAGGAGAGAGUUAAAUCCGCCCAAAAUCUUGUCUUUUGUGAAACGGUUCCUGAUACAGUGGGCAUUAGACAGUUGGCAACCCUGAUGAUUACGCAGGAGAGAGAAAACGUUUCAGUUUGACGUGCCUUUCCAUACAUAUCGCCUUUUUCAAAUAGUCAAACGUUUGGAUAACUGCUGACUCACCCCUUUUGUUUUAUUUGAAACGUCACCAACAUAAUUGACAUGAAUCUUUGUCAACUUGAUCAUUUCAUUUGAGAAUCACCAUGUCACUUUUAGAACCCAAUCUAUAUAAUGAAAAAUAGCUUAUACAAAAUAGGACCGGAUUUUUGGAAAAUCAAAGAUUUUCAUGCAUAGAGUGUGAAAGAUAAAGAAAUAAAUCAAACAUUUUGUGGGAUAGUGUAAUGUCGAUUAAGACAUAAAGCAGUGGAUCCCGGGCAUGAAUCUCUUCCUUCAAAGUCAAGAAAGGCUUCAAAGUGUAUGUGUGGUUUCCCGUUGAAAUACGAUCAUGUACUUAUUAAGAAGCAAUGAAAGGCAUCUUUUAUAUAUAAGGCUUGUAAGGGUGGCUUUCGCUUCAAUUCAAGUUUUGGUUCUUGAUAGAAGACCAAAAGAGAAUGAAGUACCUAUGAGACUAAUGUGGCCUGUUGAACAAGUAGGUUAUACACAUAUUCAGUGACUUAAUGAAAACUCAAAAAAAAACUGGAUCUUUGGGGAAGAAAAGUCUUGGUGAUAGACAAUUUCAAAAGGAUUUCUCAAAAUAAAAAGAGAUUUCAUGGUAACUCCACAUAGAGUGGUUUCAUUAAUUUAUUGGUGAAAACUAGAACAUAUUAAUUGUUCACCAUAAAUUAAUUAUGGGUAUAGAAUUUUGGGUUUCACUUAGUACGUAAUAACACGAGACUAAGAUCAUAAACACAGAUGUUGUGUAACCAUAAACCUCAGUGACAAUUGCUGAGAGUCUCAAGGGUUACAUUAAUGAUAUGAAGUGAGAUGGAGAAAAAUGGUGUAGGUGGUUAAGGAGCCGAAUAUGUACCUCUUCUAUAAAAGUAGGACCAAGCAGAAAACUCUAAGCUCAAUAUGAGAAGAGUAAGGUAGCUCAUGAUUAGAGUGAAUUUAACAGCCUAACUGGGAAAACAUGAUUUGUAUAUAUCACAUCAUUAAGGCUUCACUCAAAAUCUAUAGAGGCUUCGGUCGACAUGCAGCAGCAUGCUUCCAGGGACACUUAACUAAUACAUAGAGAAAUUUAUACCUGCUCCAGCUCCAUCAUCGAGAAUAGCUUUUAAACAUGAAAUCAUGAGAAAGAUAAAAUAAAAUAAAAAAUAUAUUUUUAUAUUUUGUAAAAAAAUUCUAAAGAAAAGGAAAUAAAAACAAAAAGAAAAUUAUUUUUGGAUUUUAUGAAAAUAAAAAAAUGAAAAGAAAAACAUAAAAAUGAGUAUGUAAAAGAGUGCACAAAAGUAUACAACCAAAAUUCCUUUUAAAGAAAAUAAAGCGAACCGAGUUCAGUAGGACCGAACCCGAAAUAGACCGAGCGUUCGCUCUAUUUCGCUUCCAACCUUUAAUGAAGCGAAGCCGAUUUCGGUACAGAUUCAGCUUCCAUCAUUCCUAGGCCUUGUAGGAUCUUAUUGAAACUUGCUUCAGGUAAGGCCUUACUAAAGAUAUCUGCUAAUUGAUCAGUGGUUCUCAAGAAAUGAAUCUCUACGUUACCAUCUUCCACAUGAUCUUUGAUAAAGUGAUACUGCAGUGCGAUGUGCUUUGUCUUUUAGUGUUGCACUGGGUUAUGACAAAUCCUAAUUGCACUUUCUGAGUCGUAAUAUAGUGGGAUUUUCUUCAUGUUCAGCCCAUAGUCUUUAAGGUGACUUUGUAUCCAAACGACUUGAGAUGUGCAUGAUGCUACGACUAUAUAUUCAGCUUCAGUUGUGGAGAGAGAAACACAGGUUUGUUUCUUUGAUUGCCAGCUUACUAAUUUGCCAUCAAGAAAUUGGCAUCCUCCAGUAGUGCUUUUACGAUCCAAUCCACAUCCCCCUAAGUCAGCAUCUGAGAAUGCUUGGACAAAGAAUCCUGAUUUGGCUGGAUACCAUAGACCGAGAGAGGUGGUUCGCUUCAGAUAGUAGAAAUAUUUUUCACUGCCAGCAUGUGAGGUUCACGUGCGUUAGCUUGGAAUCGGGCACAAUAGUAGACUGAGAACAUAAUAUAUGGCCUACUGGCUGUAAGAUACAUCAGUGACCCAAUCAUCUGACGAUAAAGCGUCAUGUCAGCAGCCGGUUUCUCCAAUGAUGGUGUAAGCUUAGUGCCAAACGCCAUAGGAACCUUCACCUUUGAGUCUCCCAACAUCCCAAACUUGGAAAGUAAUGUCUUUGUGUACGCCUCCUGAUUGAUAAAAAUGCCUUCGGGUCCCUGUCUAAUAUUCAAGCCAAGGAAAAAGUUAAUCGGACCCAUUGAGCUCAUCUCAAAUUUAGUUUCCAUCAACUUCCUGAAUUCAACUGUUAGGCUAGGAUUCGUGGAGCCGACAAUGAUAUCAUCAACAUAAAUUUGGACUAUCAUAAGGUGGUUACCCUCUUUCACACGAAAGAAGGUUGGGUCAACCGAAUCUUGUUUAAAUUUGGACAUUUUUAAGAAUCGAGUACGGAUUUCAUACCAUGCUUGGGGAGCCUGCUUCAGGCCAUAUAUAGAAUUGUCCAGAAUGUAGCAGUAAUCUGGAUACUUCUCGUUCACGAAGCCUGGCGGUUACUCUACAUACACCGUUUCUUCAAGUUCUUCAUUAAGAAAGGCACACUUCACAUCCAUUUGAUAGACUUUGAAAUUUUUGUGUGCAGCAUAAGCAAGAAAGAUUUGAACCGAUUCUAAUCUUGCAACUGGAGCGAAGGUCUCUUCAUAAUCUAUGCAUUCUUCUUGACAGUAGCCUUUCACAACCAACCGAGCCUUGUUGUAAAUCACGUUUCCUUCCUUGUCCAUCUUAUUCUUGAAAACCCACUUUAGUCCGACAACCGAAGCAUCCUUUGGAGUUGGAAUUAGUCGCCAUACUUUGUUUCGUUCAAACUUGUUCAGCUCAUCUUGCAUAGUUUGAACCCAAUCGAAAUGAUCAAGAGCUGUAUUCACCAUCUUCGGUUCAACUUUGGAGACGAAUGAGUUGAACACACAUAAUUCUACUUGAGAGAAUAAUGCAGCCUGUUUCGCUUUCAGCUGUGAUCGAUUUAAGACCUUUUCAGAUGAUUCUCCAAUAAUUUGACUUUGAGGAUGAUCUUUGGUCCACUUGAUGAGAGGAGGGUAAUUUGGAUCACAAGAAGGAUCCAGUUCUGCGUUUAUUUCUUCUUCGAGUUCAAAUUGAGUGUCAUCAUCAUUCUCCCCCUCGAAUGAUGAUACGAGUCCGAUGUCUGGUUCAUAACACUCCCCUUCGAUUGGACUUUAGAUUGGACUUGAUGAGGACUUAUUCUCCCCCUGGUGUAACAGCCCGGAUUCCCAGGUAUUAUUUAUUCUUCUUAAUUUUGGUGUUUUGUGAGGAGACUCGGCGAGUUGGAGCUCAGACUCGCCGAGUAGGAUCGCGGUUCUGGACGCGGGUUCGCGCCUGGACUCGGCGAGUCCAAGGAAUGGACUCGGCGAGUCCGCGCUGUUUAAUGAAACCCUAAUUUCCCGGUCCUAAGCCCUAUUUAAAGGACCUUAUGGCCCUUCAUUGCGGCUACCUUGACCUUGAGAGCACCAAAACAGCUGAGAGUUCUUGUGAGUGAGAUAAGAGGCCAUUAUUCACCAAUUUUGUGUGUGUUUGCAAGAAAGGAAGGGGAAAGUCAAGCUAGGAGAGUUGGGGAGCUUGGAUCUACUUCCAUUUCGACAGAGGAAGCUAUUUGAGGUAUCAUUCAGAGCUUAUUCUCGUGUUUUUGUUGAUAUGGUCAAAUCUAGGGUUUCUUCAUGCCUUGUUUGCCUUGUAUUUGGAGUGUGAGAGGUCCCAUGGGGAUAUGGUACCUAGAUCUGGACCUUAGUAGGUCCAGAGAGUCCCAAAUGCCAUGCUUUAUGCCUUUCCUUUUGAGUUGGAGACUUAGGUUACCAUUUUAGAGGUCAUUUCAUCAAAAGAAGCCUUGUAGGCGUUGCAUGGUAGCCAAGAUUGUGACUUUACGUGAUGAAUGUGCUUGGGAGGGCCAGAUCUAUGAGUUGUUGGAGCGGAUCUGACCUCAGAAGCGAGAUUGAGUUGAUGCAUGGCAUGGACUCGCCGAGUCCGAAGAACAGACUCGGCGAGUAGCAUGAAGAUUGUCCUUAACCACUCAGCGAGUGGUCUUGCCGAGUUAAGGGUUGACUCAGUGAGUCAGGGAGAGUUAGAGAGGGUUGACAGGUGGACUGAGUCGAGUUGGAACUCGCCGAGUUGUUCUUGAGACUCGGCGAGUUGAGUCGUGGUGGCCCCGCGAUUCAUGCCAGGUGGAACUCGUCGAGUCAGGGAAGUACUCGACGUGUCAAGAGAGGAUCCUAGGGAGUCAGUGAACACGUAUAGACUCGCCGAGUCGCUCUAGUGCACUCGCCGAGUCCGGUCAAAGUUGACCGUUGACCGUUGACCAGAGUUGACCAGUGUUGACUUGAUAGGGGUAGUCAACCUUAGUUGUGAAAGUGUUAAUUAGAGAUAUAUUGUGUUAUAGGAGGAUUAUAGCUCGGAGGAUCGAGCGCGAGUGAUUUCCGGGAUUUGCGAGUUAUCGAGAUACGCGAGGUGAGUCUUCUCACUAUACUUUACCUUGAGUAGGUAAUCAGAGUUAUGUGACAGAGUAUUUGUAUGCUAUGUGUUGUACUGCAUUAUCUCUAUGUGAUUUAUGUUGUGCAUGUUUACAGAGUUAGAAACGGAAGGUUUCUAGAGUUAGAACCGGAAGGUUCACAGAGUUAGAACCAGAGGGUUCAUAGAGUAGGGUCCACGGAGGCACAGAGUUAUAGCCUCGAGUGGCUAAAUGUGUAUGUGUGGUAUUUUGGGGAACUCACUAAGCUUCGUGCUUACAGUGUUUUGUGUUAUGUGUUUCAGGUUUCUCUCAGGAUCACGAGACGGCACCGGCUCGAUUGUACACACCAGCGAAAGAGUCAUGUUUUGAGGACCCUGGUUUAUUAUGCAAGUGAAAAUGGAGUUAUGUUUUGUAAUUCGAUUAUGAAUGAGAUUUUAAGCAAAUUACUUUAAGGAUUAAACGAUUAUUUUUAAAUGAAAAAUUGUUUUGAAAUUUUCGGCGUUACACCUGGACUAGUGACUGAGAAUUAUCUGAUGAAGAAUCGCUUGUUGCUGGCUUUUCAGUUGCUUUUGGUUGUUCAUUUGCCAUCUUCUUUAUUGCAUCGUCAAUGAUUUGCUUUAGAUUGUUGACCUGAUUAUCUUUCACCUUGGAUUCGGAAUUAAAAGCUCUCUCUGGUUCAUCGAAAAGCAGCAUGUAUUGCUCGAAAAGAUUUGAAAUCGGCACCGUUACUUGACCGGACUUUGGAAAGAUUUCUUGCAUAACACCUUCAGUUGCCUUCAACUUCUUGACAUAGUUAUCGUCGAAAGUGACAUAGUAGGUUUCUUCAAUUUUCUUUGAAUGUUUAUUCAGAACCUUAUAUGCCUUUGAGUUCAAGGAGUAGCCCAAAAAGAUUUCUUCAUGGGCCUUUGCAUCAAACUUGUUUCGGUUCUCCUUUGAGUUGAAGAUGAAGCAUCUUGAACCGAACACGUGAAAAAAAUUCACAUUUGGCUUUUGGUUGUUCAAGAUCUCAUAAGGAGUGAUUGAGAAGCGCAUGUUCAGAUACGAUCUAUUUUGCGUGUAGCAAGCAGCAGCAAUAGCAUUAGCCCAGAAAUACAAAGGUAAGGAAGCGAAGUUCAACAUAGUUCGGGCUGCUUCACAUAGUGAACGAUUUCGCCUUUCAACGAUUCCAUUUUGUUGUGGAGUAUAUGGAGCAGAAAAGUUGUGAGCCGUUCCCUUCUCUGCUAGAAAGGUCUUCAAAAUCCUUGUUCUUGAAUGCCAAUCCAUUGUCGCUUCUCACGUUACGAACCACUUUUCGUAGUUGAACCUCUACUUGUUUUAUAAAGAGUUUGAGCUUGGGAGUGGCCUCUGAUUUUUCUUCAAGAAAAAUACCCAUGUGAAGCGAGAGAAAUCGUCUACUAUAACAAGUAUAUACUUGUUUCCACCAAUGCUUUCGAUUGAAGAAGGACGACACAGAUCGAUGUGUAGUAGCUCUAGUGGUUCUAUCACCUUUGUGUUGAUUAUAGUAGGAUGACUUUGUCGAAAUUGCUUUCCCGUUUCACAAGCUUUACACAGACGUUCUUUGUCAAAUUUUAGAACUAGAAGACCUCGAACGUGAUCUCCAAGCACCAACUUGUUGAUGUCUUUGAAAUUGAGAUGUGAGAGCCUUCGAUGCCAAAACCAGCUUUCGUCUGAGUGUGUCUUCGUUAGCAGGCAAACAGCUGGUCUCCCUCGAAUUGGAUUGAGAUUUAGAGGGUACAUUUCUCCCUUUCGCUUCGAUUUCAGCAGAAUAUUAUUGGACUUCUUUUCAACAAUUUCUGAGCCGUCGUCAUCAAAAGAGACCUUCAAUCUGGUACCAACCACCAGUUGUGAGACACUUAUGAGGUUGUGUUGCAAUCCUUCAAUGUAUGCUACCUUUCUUAUCGAGAAGUCACCAUUUGUAAUCAUACCAUAGCCUUUGAUUGUUCCAAACGAAUUAUUUCCAUAUUUCACCGUUCCACCAUCCUUGAGGGACCAAAAUUCCCUCAGUUCUUCCCUUCUACCUAUCACGUGACGCGAGCAGCCACUAUCAAUGUACCAUUCUUCGUCGAACUGCUCGUCACGAAUAACCUGCAAAAUAUCAAGCAGAUUUAGGAACCCAAAGCUUCUUGGGUCCUUGUGAGCCUUUUACAGGAUAGGGAAUUGUAAGAGAGACAUCAAUCAGAUAAGUUCUUUUUAUUAAUGUAUUUUCAUCUUUCCUCUUGAUAGUAAAAACUUUGAUAUUAUUCGUUUUGGACUCAUUUGAUUUAGACAUAGGAUUUGUGGUUUUGACGUCUGCAUGCUUUCGGGUUUCUAUCGGAUGUCUUUCGUCUUCUGGAAAGAGUUUUCCUUUCCCUUUUGAAUCUUUUGUUGAGUGAGAACGAGAAUAAGAAGAAAAAGAUUUAGAAGCAAAGUUAGACCUUUGGUUAUUGCUCUUCCUUGGUUGAGAAUGGAAACUGCUUUCCCUUCGGUUCUUCUCACAUGAGGACUUGGGACCGAACCCAUCCGUUCGGUUGCCUACAUGUUGAGGACCGAAAACUCCCUUCCGGUUGUCAUUGGUCCGAGGACCAAAAUUCCUCUUUCGGUCUGUUUUACUUUGGGGACCGAACCCAUUUGUUCGGUUGUUUAUCACCUGAUGACCGAAACUUUCCUUUCGGUUGUUUGCAUGGUAGUAGCCGAAAUCCUUGUUUCGGUUGUUCUUGCCAUGUAAGGGAGACUGAUUUUGUGAAGUGGAAUUGGCUCUUGUUUCUCCUUGAGACUUAUUUGUAUUUUCAUACCUAACGUAAUGAGGAUUUUGGGAUCGCCAAAAUUGUUUCCUCUCUAUGAGAUUCUUCUUGUAUCUCAAGUUAUGUUUGUGCUUUCGUUAUGACACUGUUUCGGGGUCUUGUGGAUGUUAGCUUUCUGCUUCGGUCUAUGAGCAUGUGUUUUGCUCUUUAGAGAUGAGGUUUCUCUUUCCUCUUUGACUGGUUCGACUCGAACCUCUUUUGUACCACUAGUGCUUGGCGUAUCAAAAUUGUCAGGCUUGUUGAGUGGUUCUGCCACAUACCUCCCCUUAACUUUCCAAGAUGUUUUCUCCGAUAGGCAAACAGUUUCAUCAGCGUUGUCAAUUGGAGUAGACCAAAAGAAUUCAUCACAGUCAUCAGCAUUAUCUUCGUUAACUAACGCUGUGAGUUCGGCUGUUUGAUGUUCAGUUACUCCAGUAACCUUAUAGACCUGAUUAGGAGUAGUUUUGACUUUUUGGAAUACAACUGCUUUUUCUUUAAGCACUUUGGUCUUUUCUAUGGAUAUACGAGCAAACUCAACUGAAUUUUUAGAGAUGAGAUUCUUGUGGUUUUCAGGUUCGCUCUUGACAAAUUCUGAGCAGUCAACCUCAUCCUCUACAAAGAUUUCACUCAUGUCAUCAUCCUGAUUAAGUUCAGAUGCAUUUUCAACAUCAAUUUUAUUUUCUGAAAUUAACUUGGCAUUCAACGAGUCAAAUUUAUGUAUAGUUUCGGUUCUCAGUUUUAGUUUGUCGUUUUCAUCCAACAGAUUUUUGAGCAUGUCCUUAUGGUCUUUUGACUUUAUGUAGGACUCUAUUUUGUCAAGACCAAUUUUUUAGGAAGGAGAUAUUUCAUCAGAAGAUACAACAUUUUCACAGUUGUAAGCUUCGGCAUCGACUUCAUCCUCCAUUAGCUCAAGGAAGGGUAAAAUCAUGCUAUGUAUCUUCUUUCCUAUUUCACAAUCGAGAUGUAACUGAGUGAUAUUAAAAUAUAAGCUUUUAGCAAUCAAACAAAAAACAUUUUGUUGUUUUAAAAGCUUAACAUUGUCUCGUUGCAAAUAAAUAGAUUCAUCCCUAGACCUAAUUAAUUCAUUAUCCUUUUGCUUAAUCCAUAUUCGCCUUUCCUCUCUUCGACGAUACCCUGCUAAUUUGAUCAGUCAGGUUAGAGUUUGUGUGACAACCCGAAAUUUUCAUUCGUAUAAACUCCGCAAUCAAGCACAUCAAAAAUUUUGCCCAAUUCAUCUCAAAACAUUUUUGGCCGGAUUUAAGCCCUUUCGAGUAUUUUAUUUUAUAUUCGUCAAGCAAACAAAAAUAAGGAAGUAUACUUUAGAGUUUGUCGUAUAUCACAUAAGUUGCGAAACUCCAAAAGUUUGGAGUUUACAGACGUAAACAUGGAGUUUACGGCCGUAAACCCCAAAGAGUAUAAAUAUGACACUUAGUCAUUUUUAGCUCAUUUUCACUUCCAACUUGAAGAACACCAAGAAUUCUCUCUCAACUAUCAUAAAAUCAUUUCGUCAAAUCCGCCAAAAUGUAAGCGUUUUCUUCCUAGAUUCGUUCAUAUAACACUUAAUCUAGUGUUUUUACACAAUUUCAUCCAUGAAAUAUUGUCUUUUCUUAGAUCUUCAAGUGUUCAUCAAGAACACCAAGAACACAUACUAGUGUUCUUGGCCAAAAUCGAUCAUUCAAGCUCCUAGAUCGUAAGUACACUUGCCCUAGCUUCUUGUGUGCUUAAUAUGAACUUGUUUACACUCGAAAAUCAUCAAAAUCCCCAUGUUAAUAUGUGUUUACGAUUUGGGGAGACCUCCCAAAACCGUAAACACCUUCAAAGGGUGUUUAAGUGCCCUUAACACCUUCUAAUGCUUGUAUAAGUGACUAGAACCUUGCAUGCAUAAGAUAGAACCACCAAAACACGAAAUAAAUGGGAAAACAUGAGUUUACGGCCGUAAACCCAUGUGUUUACGACCGUAAACUCCCAAGUAGUGGUCCAAGGACCGUAAACUCCAAAGGGAGGUCAUUUCGAGCCUUAAUCACUUCCUAAGCCCUUGAUUCGAGUCUAGCAUAAUUCCUUGAGUGGUAUAAGACUUUUGAACACCCAAUGGCACCACAUCCAUGAGUUUACGGCCGUAAACUCAUGGGGGAUGUGGUCUAGAAACCGUAAACACCCCUAAGGUCCACCAUUUGAGGAGUAAACUCGAAUGUGAGGCCAUACUCUCUUUAUAUGCAACCCUUGGUACUCUUAGCACUUGUAGCAAAGUGUUUUCAUGCUUUAGGGUGUCCUCGCUUGCAUAAUUAGUUGUUAAAUGACUAAUUAGAUACUUAAAUGUAUCAUUACAUGUUAAAUAGGCUUCGCGUGUGUGUUCAAGUCCUCACUUGACACUUAGCAUCCUAUACCAUCCGUUCAUCCGAAUCACCCACGNCCAACAUAAGGUGAGUUCAUAGCCCUAUAAUUAAUCACUUAAAAUGUUUUAAAUGCUUUUAGGGGGGGGGGGAAUACAAGUUGAACGAGUAAGUUAUUAGAUCAAUCACAUGUGAUUAAUAACUGGCUAGCAAAUCGAUUUCUGCAUGUUAAACUGUUUUUAUCCAGCUAAAGGUUUUCAAAUCUUGUUUUUUGAUAAACUGACAUCAAGUCAUAAAUCCUUAUUUACAGAUUUUCCAAAGGUUUUACCAAAACUUCUUUUUAUACUCUUAUAUUGUCAAUUUCAUGCCUGUACAUGUAUAGUUAUAUAACUAAUGUUUAAAGGACUUAGGAAGGCUAGCUCGCUUUAAUUCCUUUUCCUUGUUUGGAUGUGGCUUUAGGGUAAUGGUUAUCCGUCCGAAAGUCGUUUAAAUAUUAUUUAUAUAUCAUGUAUACAUAUAUAGUCAUAAAAGUUCUAUCAGCCAAUUCAUCACCUUUGGGUAGCAAAGGCAUCUAGAUAACCUCUCAAGUAAACUAUAAUAGGUAUAGUUUAGAAACCAACCAUAACAUUCAUGAAGGAGAACUUAGUUAUAUCUAUAUUCUAAAACAUAUACUUUUUACUAAAAGGAAAGGUUUAUAGAAAUCAAAACACGAGAUACAUCCUCAUGACGCGGAUUCCACCAUUGUCAAGUUGGUAACUAGAGUCUCCUGGAGGGAGAGAGCGGGCAUUGUGUGUAUAGAUCUAUACGGGACAUACACUACCACAUCCUGACUGCUAGCUACAGUCCCGACCGACCAAGCCAAGGGGUGACAAAUGUCACAUUCAUUCCGACGCCAGCAUGUCGUCAAGUAUUCGAUCGUCAAUCAGUAUGGUUACGAGUAUCUUUACAUUUACCUUAUAAUUCAUGGCUUUAAGGUAAGAAGUAUUAUCAUGGUAUUUUCUAUAUAUAUGAAACCAUCAUGAUAUAUUUUCCUAGUUAUAUACUAGGCCACAUUUUAAACUGUUAAACUAAUCUACAUAAGAUUAAAAGCCUAUUUUAGACUCUCCGAGGCGUAUUGUUCACUUAAUACUUCCUGGAGUCUGUAUUUCAUUCUUUUAGACUCUCCGAGGAGUAUUGUUCACUUAAUACUUCAUGGAGUCUGUAUUUCAUUCUUUUAGCCUCUCCGAGGCAUAUUGUUUACUUAAUACUUCCUGGAGUCUAUGUUUUAUUUACUUUUAGCCAGCAGUGUUACUGCUGAGGUAAAAUAUUAUUUUCCCUAUUACUUUUGCUUGUGAUCUUCUCACAUAUUCUUUAAAGUAUAAACUAUAUUAUGAUAAUGAUAAUACUUUUGGGGAAAAUUACUCCUUAAACAUAAAACAAUUGGGUCUUGGUAGAAGACUGCUUUUAGUAGAGAUACUCCUUGGUUUAAACAUAAAACAAUUGGGUGUUGGUAGAAGACUGUUUUUAAUAGAGAUACUCCUUGGUUUAAACAUAAAACAAUUAGGUCUUGGUAGAAGACUACUUUUAUUAGAAAAAAAUAGGACUUUAUGGAAAGGAUUUUAAUAUUCUGUAAACUCAAAUCACCAUCAUUGUGUGAGAUUUUUUUUGAAGUAAAACAUGUAUUUAUACCAAUGUCAUUAAAUACUUAUGAACUCACCAGCAUUUAAAAAUGCUGAUACUCACUUUCAAAAUAACUUGUAUUCUCAGGUCAUCGGUAGACAGGUACACUUCGGGAGCUUUCGCGAAGACAUCCUUGUACCGAUCUGCAUUAUAUGUUAUUCUAUGUAUUUUACUCUUGAUGUUAUUGCUAAAUGUAACCUAUGUAAAAUUAUUACUAUUAAUGUAAUGGUUGUUGUAAUCUGAUUACUAUACUACAUAUGUUGUUGUGAUACUUGACAUGUCGUCAUCCACCCCAUAACGUUUCCGCCGUUCUCGGUUUUGGGGUGUGACAGAUUGUAUCAGAGCAUUGUUUAUAGUGAGCUCAGUAUAUCUAAUCAUAAAAGAUAUGCAACCUAUAAAUACAUUGGGAUAAAACACUCUGACCAAGAAUUAUACUUUAAAAUAUAACCAUAUUUUACAAAAGUAUAAGAACAUCCAGAAUCUAAACACCCAAACAAAGUAUCACAAGAAGAAUAAGAAUAAAAGUCUUUUGAUGUUGACCACUACCGUCAAACCUGGACAGUUAUGUAAUCGUAAGCUGGAAUAAAUAUAACCUGAUCAACUAUAUUUAUUCGAGAUGCGACUAACGUGUGCUUGGGAGUGAUGGUGAUGUUGCAACAAAUCUGAAACUUACCAAAUAGGAAUGCUAGAGCUAAACAUAAAGUUUAAAAUACUAUAGGAGUAUUUUAUGAUACCAAGAGAUUCACAUAAACCAAGAAGCAUUUUCAGAAAAUAAGAAUCAAGCAAGUAAUUAAAAUACUAUAGGAGUAUUUUAGGAACGAUAAAUAACCUUGUGUGAAAAACUAAAGAGAUCCUUAUUGAUAAACCUAUGAUUACAAAGUGUAUACUUCCAAGAUUAUAUAUAGUAAGGAUCUCAUAGGCUAAGAAUGUGUGGUUUCGCNCAAAGUAUCACAAGAAGAAUAAGAAUAAAAGUCUUUUGAUGUUGACCACUACCGUCAAACCUGGACAGUUAUGUAAUCGUAAGCUGGAAUAAAUAUAACCUGAUCAACUAUAUUUAUUCGAGAUGCGACUAACGUGUGCUUGGGAGUGAUGGUGAUGUUGCAACAAAUCUGAAACUUACCAAAUAGGAAUGCUAGAGCUAAACAUAAAGUUUAAAAUACUAUAGGAGUAUUUUAUGAUACCAAGAGAUUCACAUAAACCAAGAAGCAUUUUCAGAAAAUAAGAAUCAAGCAAGUAAUUAAAAUACUAUAGGAGUAUUUUAGGAACGAUAAAUAACCUUGUGUGAAAAACUAAAGAGAUCCUUAUUGAUAAACCUAUGAUUACAAAGUGUAUACUUCCAAGAUUAUAUAUAGUAAGGAUCUCAUAGGCUAAGAAUGUGUGGUUUCGCUCUACUUCCUUUUCCUUGUUUGGAUGUGGAUAUACAGUAGUAUCACAUAUUCGAAGGCCUAUCAGAUCUAAGUUAUAUAUGAUUUGUAUACACUAUUAAAUUGUAGCAGGACUCGAUAUGGAUCACCCAGUGAAACGUUUUAACAAUCUCUUAGGAUUCUUUAGAUAUUUCCAUUCUCGCACGAACCCUUUAGAAAGCCUUAUCCACUCCAGUGAUCGGCAGAAGAGUCGAUUCAGACCCAGAAGAGGUUCAUUGAGAAGACUUCCAAUUAGGAAAUAAAUGAACAAGGACGAGACUAUUGGAAUAACCAAGUGCCUAUACCUUUUAGGGACAUCAGUGGGAAAUUCUCCUGAACUUCCGAGAUUUUGGUCAUCCAUCAUAAAGUGAUGACACUCAGAGUCAGAAUCAGAAGUAAGGCGGAGCAGAAAUUCAAUAUGUCUACAAGAGCAGAGAACUCUAUAUAGGUACCCAAAGAAAACCAAGGCUUGUUCUAGUCAGGAAUAAGUGGUGGACAGAGGGAGCCAAUGCAUGGAACCCGAGGAGUGUCUCUACUUCUUUAACGUCAUGUGAAUAAAUCCAUAAAAUAAUACAAUUUAGUGAGUUAGUGAUUACGCUAAUCACUCUACGUGUUAGGCAAAUCUUCUUUCCCAUCGCGAUUAAUAUGAAUAGAUCGGAUCUCAAAACCUCGAUUGAGAGUGUUUACCCAUAAUUUUUCAUGAGCCUUUUCUUUCGUGAUCUUCGUUCCGAACUUCUCUCAGGUCUUUUGAAAACCGGAGAGUGAAACUCUCCAGUAUAAAGAUAACUUAGUUAGAACGAUCCCCGAUUUAUGGCUUUCCGAUACGCUUACUCCUACCCUGUUACCCAGACUGCAUCAUAGGGAUGUAGGUCGACGCUCAGAUAAUCGUAGAUCAAGGUGCGGGAAAAUUUAUGCAUAUCAUAAUAAAGAAAGAUACCUCCAGGGUUAACCAUCGUCUCUCAUCAGCUUGUGUUCCUUUUCGUGUAGGAAAAACCAUGCCUUCGAAGAAACGUACCCAAACCGUUAGUAAGACAUCGAUCAUUCAAUUCGAUGACACUACGUUCCGAGCUGCAGUUUCAGCAGCCGUAGCAGCUGUCAUGGCUCACCUGAAUGCUAACAACGCCAAUGUUAGCAGGAGCCCUAUUGGGAAUCCCGAUCAAACCAAUGGACAACAGCAACCAGCACCGGUGUGUAAAGUGAUGGGUUUUAGUCAUAAGAACAUCCUAUGUGCUCAUGCAAACCCUAAUGCUCGGAUCUAGGUUUCUCUAUUGUACAUGCAAUUCAUCCAAGACUAUAAACCCUAAAUCUAGCAUGCAAUUAAUCAUAUUAACGUAAGAAGUAGGUUUAGAUCUAACCUUGAUUGGUAUGUAGAAAUAACAAUAUCAAAUCCUCCUUGUAAUGACUUUAGAAAGCUUAGAGUCACAAAUGUCACUCCUCUAAUGGCUCACAAACACCAAGAGCAAGAGGAUGAAGAAUAAGGAGAGAGAAGGCUGCCCAAAACGUGUGGAAACCCUAGAGAACAAGUUCAACCCGUUUUUGGGGCUUAAGGGUCCUUUAAAUAGUGAGGCUAUUAGGGUUAUCUAAUAAGGAAACCCUAAUUUGGAUGCUUAGGCCCUAAGCAACCCAUGGAAUCCUUCCUUAGAGGCCUUGGACGAUUUCUAAUGUGUUUCCCCAUAGAAUUCGUCCACUCCAUCCUCUAUGGAGUCCAUUAGCCUAAUAUUCAACUAUUACACAAUUGGCAGUUCUAGUCCCUUAAGUUUAAUUAAUGUCUUUUAGUCAAAAACUUAAUUCUUAUUAAUUCUUGACUAAUAUUAAUUAAACAAUAUGAUUUCUCCUUUAAUAUAUUAUUCUCAUAAUAUAUUAAUAAAUCAUAAUCAAUCCUUUCUCUCCAUAAUUCAUCCUAUCAAGUUGCUUUGGUGAAGGCAACCCAAAAGGACCAUGCACCAUCGGGUCAAGUACAUACCAAAAUAGUUAUGGACUUAGACACUAAUCCAACAGUCUCCCACUUGGAUAAGUCUAAUAACUAUUCUACGUAUGACUUCAGAUCCUGCUCUGCAAUCGUAGCUUUCCAAAGCCGCUGUCAACUCUGAUCUUACCAGAUACGCGUGUCCUUUAGAUAAGGGAUCAUAUAUUCCUCCAUUCUAGAAAUCGGAUAGACGUGAGACAUGAACUUAAUCAUUCCCUCUAUACUAUUUCCCUACUUCCGAUUUAUGAUGACUGACAACAGACUACAAUUGAUCCAUCAAUUUAAUCCUGGCUUGGCCAAGCGCUUAGGUGUCAUCACUAAAUCAUCGAGGGGCCCAAAGAUAUCGCUUUUAUCCAAAUGUGGAUAAAAGGAACGGAUAAACUUUGAUNNNNNNNNNNNNNNNNNNNNNNNNNNNNNNNNNNNNNNNNNNNNNNNNNNNNNNNNNNNNNNNNNNNNNNNNNNNNNNNNNNNNNNNNNNNNNNNNNNNNNNNNNNNNNNNNNNNNNNNNNNNNNNNNNNNNNNNNNNNNNNNNNNNNNNNNNNNNNNNNNNNNNNNNNNNNNNNNNNNNNNNNNNNNNNNNNNNNNNNNNNNNNNNNNNNNNNNNNNNNNNNNNNNNNNNNNNNNNNNNNNNNNNNNNNNNNNNNNNNNNNNNNNNNNNNNNNNNNNNNNNNNNNNNNNNNNNNNNNNNNNNNNNNNNNNNNNNNNNNNNNNNNNNNNNNNNNNNNNNNNNNNNNNNNNNNNNNNNNNNNNNNNNNNNNNNNNNNNNNNNNNNNNNNNNNNNNNNNNNNNNNNNNNNNNNNNNNNNNNNNNNNNNNNNNNUCCCAUAUGACCCCAAACUCUGGGUAUAAAAAAACAUUUUAUUUAAUCACCAUAUUGAUUACUCAUUAUUUGUUUUUUCGGGUAAUCAACUUCUUACUUGAAUUAUUACUACACUUGUCCCAUGCUCUCAGCAUGCACAGAAUGUUUACCUACGGUUCUUACAUUGUGAAAUAGAUCAAAUGAACACAUUUCCUAUCAUAUUCAUUUCACAACUCCUAAUCCUUUUUCACAAGUGAAAGAAUAUCAAAUUCUUGCCACUUAUAGUAUAUGUUAGAUUCUAACAUUUUAUGCAAUGAUCCUUUUGUAAUGUCACUGCACUAAGGUCACAAUGACUAUUGCCAAUGAAUUACAAAGCUCUCUAUCGGAAAUUGUUACAAGACAAUUCCAUAGAUGUGAUGUCUCUCACUCAAAGUACAUUCCUUUGAACAUCCUUUUGCAUAAAAGUUUCUAAUCUAGACAUAGAUUCUUAAUAUCCAACUCCCAAUAUGGAAACCUUUCCAUACUUACCAUAUCACAACUCAUUCUUAAUAGAAUCUUAUCUAUUCAUAAUAAUGUCGAUAUGCUCCAUCCAAUAUCAUACUUCCAACUACUCACAAGCGACCAAUCCUUAGCGAGCUUUGGAUCGUCCUUUGAUAGUUGUUUAAUUAUCUUAGUCAAAACCGAUUCUUGUCCUUUUUCCCUCUAAAUGCGCUAGACAUUUGGAAAAUUUUAGAAUGGUCAAAUAUUAUAGCAUUUGCAAUCGAUCCUAUACCCGAAGCGUAUGGGACACGAUGCAUAAUGUCUUACAUAAAGAUAUGAUACUUUAUCAAUCUUCUGCCAUAAUAUUUUAUGUGUCACGUUCUCACAAUUUGAACUAUGAAGAGGGAUGCCAUAAUCAUAAUCGAAAUUUAAGAACACACUAUGUAUCCUUGGCCUAAAUUUAUUAAAAUUUCUCAAUCUAAGCUUUAGAUUUUGAAACGAAGUACAAUAUUCUCUCCCUUAAUUAUAGCAAAACAACUAUUCAACCCUUACGACUUUGCAAAGUAUAACUCUUGUUUUCUAUAAUUAAUAUUGCUAACUUGCAAUACUUGCCUUAAUAAUCAUACAAGCAUAACAUUUAUGCUCCCACUAUCAUGAUGAUUAUUAUAAACAUAACACUUAUGCUCCCACUAGCUUUGACAUGUAUUCAGAAACCAGCUUAACUUCCAGAAAAACAAUACUUAUUGAAUUUCUUAAGUUCAUGUUUCUAAUACCUAAUGCUUUGAUAAUCCUUUAUCUAAGCUUAUACACCUUUCCCUUAGAUAGCUCAUAUGUGUGUCUAAACAAUUCAGACUAAUUGCCAAAUCUCACAAUUCGAAUCAUGGAAAGGGAUACCGUAACCAUAAUCGAAUUCGAGAAUACAAUUUUACAAUCACUAUCUUCUUAAAAUCUCUCUUAGUGAAAGCAUUUCCUCACAAUCAUUUUCAUGAAGGAGGGAAUCUUAUGACACUUAGAUUUUAAUGGUGUAUGUGUUCCUAUCCAUGUGAAUUUGUCAAAACCAAAGUUUACGACAAAUUCAAACUCAUAUGGACCGAACUUUCUUAAUCUUGAUUUCUUGCCUUAUGGUAACACAGCUGCCCACCAUGUCUUCCAAGUAGUUAAGCAGCUCACCCUUUCCUAUCAAUGUACUUUUCAUUGAUCAAGGUGCUUGCCUUUUAUGCGUUCAAAUGAGAACUCAUAGAACUCACAUGCAUAAUUAACUCAAUUGGAAUGGCACAGAAACAAAAUAAUGUCAACACGAUAGGUUGUAAACCUCAACUCGUGUGCUAGUGAUGAUCGAUAAGGUUUAUUUUAAUUUGUUCUUGAAACCUUUCAAGACCAUUAAGACUCCCACUGACUCCUUGACAUAUAAGAUUCUCUUGUCAAUAAACAUUUCUUGACAAACAAAUAUUCAAGAGUUAGUGUAGUUUUUAUCAAAACACUUCAUAAAUUGGUCCUAGUUGGUCUUUGUCUUAUCCAAGACAUCACAACUUUCCACAUUUGAUGAAUGUUAUAAACCUUCUUAAUACUUAUCACUCAAUUUCACAAUCUUAACUCUAAGACUUGUUUUGGAACGAAGUAUGAUUGACUUCUUGAUUUAACCAUUUCUUCAAUUCUUGAUUCCUCUUCUUAGACAUACAAUUGUACUAAGACUCACUUAGAGGAUCAAUUGAGAUAUGGUUCUUAAUCAUUAAGACCUAUCAUAAAACAUAAUAAAAGGUACUCUCCCUUCUUCUUAGAAUAGAGAAACUUUUAUCUUUCUGCCUACUUGAUUCUUCUUAUUCGUUCUGCUAUUGAUUUAAACUCUUUCAAUCAAUUCAGAAUUACACUUAAUCUUAUAAGUAUAAUCAUAUUUACUAAACCUUUAGUAAAUCAUGACGAAUAUCUUUGAUACUUUUGUGGUGGACUUGAUCAACACACAACCUUGUGUACUUGAUCUCCCAGUCCUUCACUUGAAUUAGUCUAAUUUCCAAAUAUGAAAUUUAUCAUUCAUCAUGCAACCAAGUUGUCUCUAUCCAAUAGAAACUUGGGCGAUGAGAAACUUUUCCUAUUUGGUAAAUUCUUCCAAAAAUAACCUAAUUAAGAAUCAAAUCCAUUAUUGCUAAUAAUAGAAACUUACAAACAUCAUUUUUUUCAUACACGCCGUUGCAAGGAUAAAUAAAUAAUAUAAAAUCAAAAUUUUAUUUUAUUGCGGAAAAUUUUGUCCUUACACUGCAAUUCAAUUGAAAAACUAUGUUAAUACAUAUUUCUUAGCAAUCUUAUUCUAACUCCAAGUAGUAGCUCAAGAUUCUAACCUUCAAGUAAUGCGAUCGAAAUCCAUUUCUUCACGAUUAGAUUCCGCUCACUUCUUCCCAUAAGCUUCCUUUCUUUUCUUUGAUCCUACGAAACAUCGAAAUGCAAUCUUAUCACAUCAUGUAUUAAGAAUCUAGAAUAUGAAUUUAAAAGAGUUAGUUAAUGGAUUUUACCUAAAGUAGAGUCAUACGUUUUGACUCUCCCAUCUCUUAGAUCUCUUAGGUAAAUAGGGUAGCUUCGUUUCCAAUGCCCCUUCUCUUGGCAAUAAAAGCAAAUUGACUCUUUUGGAACAGCACAUGGAACUACUUCUGACUUUGCCUUUCUCUUAUGAUCAAACUUUUCGAUCAUGGCAUGCCUUUCAUUGCCAUUGCCUAUAUCCAUAGAGGUCUGGAAGGCAGAUCCACCAAUCAACUUUGCUUUUCCAGUGCACCAAAUCAUUGCUGAUUCAGCAGCAAUAAGCAUAUAGGUGAGAUCAAUGAGGGUUAUGUCGUGGUUCAUCAUAUAGUACUCUCUUACGAACUAACUAUAUGAGUCAAGAAGUGACUGAAGAACCCAGUUAACAGCCAACACCUCACAGACAACAGAUCCCAACAUUCUUAAUCUAUCAAUGUGUGACUUCNAUAAGCAUAUAUGUGAGAUCUAUAAGGGUCACGUUGUGGUUCAUCAUAUAGUACUCUCUUACGAACUAACUAUAUGAGUCAAGAAGUGACUGAAGAACCCAGUUAACAGCCAACACCUCACAGACAACAGAUCCCAACAUUCUUAAUCUAUCAAUGUGUGACUUCAUUUCUAGGAUGUGUGCACACACUGACUUUCCUUCUUUAUGUUUACUUGCCAAAAGGGGUUGAGUGAGUUUGAACUUUUCAAGCCUUCGAACUUGUGGGUUAGGGAGAAUAAUUGGAGGAGGUGGAGGAAGAGAAGCAUGAUCUCGUGUUCCUCGAUCGAAUCGUGGAAUAUCAUCUUCAUGUGAAAAGCUUGUUCCACAGGAUUUGAGAAGACCAUAGUUGUCAUACUUUAACAUCUACAAAACGGGAGAAAAAUUAAAUUCAAGUUAGUUGAUCGAUUGAGUCCUUAGUAAAUCACCCAAAUGAUAUACUAAGGCUAGGACCCAACACAACGUUCUACAACUUAGGAGAGGGAUACCGUAAUCCAAAUUGCAGAACAUUUAAAGGUAAGUGAAUGACGAUUCACUAANNNNNNNNNNNNNNNNNNNNNNNNNNNNNNNNNNNNNNNNNNNNNNNNNNNNNNNNNNNNNNNNNNNNNNNNNNNNNNNNNNNNNNNNNNNNNNNNNNNNUUUUCAAUACAUUUAAGACUUAAUCUAUUUUUCAUUUUUCAUGGUUAAAAAUUAGUGAAUCGUCAUUCACUUACCUUCAAAUGUUCUGCAAUUUGGGUUACGACAUCCCUCUCCCGAGUUGUGGAAUAUUGUGUUGGGUCCUAGCCUUAAUAUCUCAUUUGGGUGAUUUAUUAAGGACUCAAUCAAUCAACUAACUUGAAUUUGUUUUCUCCCGUUUUGUAGAUGUCAAAGUACGACAACUAUGGUCUUCCCAAAUCCCGUGGAACAAGCAUUCCACAUGAAGAUGAUAUUCCACGAUUCAAUCGAGGAACAAGAAAUCAUGCUUCACUUCCUUCACCUCCUCCCGUUAAUAUCCCAAACCCACAAGAUCGAAGAAUUGAAAGGUUCAAUGUCACUAAAUCCCUAUUGGAAAUGAAACAUGAAGAUGGUAAAGUCGUGUGUACCCAUCACUCAUCGAUAGGUUGAUAAUGUUGGGUGCGUCAUUCCCGGAUAAGUUGGCUGUGAACUGGGUUCUGCAGUCACUUCCUGAAUCAUAUGAUGAGUUCAAAAGAAAGUAUUAUAUUAUGGAUCAUGACGAAAACCUCAUUGACCUAACUUACAUGCUCAUUGCUGCUGAAUCAGAAAUGAUUUGGCAAAGCAAUGGAGCAUAUUUGUUGGGAAAGUCAACCAACCAUGCUUCCGAGGACGUUCUAGGAGAAUCGACAUGCGUUUGCUGCCAAGAGAAAGGGCGUUGGAUACGAGUCUGCCCUAAGAGCCUGAAGAAUCCAGAAGAUGGGAGAGUCAAAGAGUAUGGUUGUGCUUCAAGUAAAACCCACUAUCUAACUCCAUUAAGUUCCUAUUUGUUGAUUUUUAAUACAUGAUGUGAUAAGAUUGCAUUUGAAUGUUUUGCAUGAUCAGUGAAAAGAGAGGAAGCUUGAUGAAAGUGCAAUAUGAAUCUAAUCACGAAGAAAUGGAUCUCGAUCGCAUGGAUUUGAAGAUUAGAUUUUGAGCUUAGAAAGUUACGAUAGAAUUGUUAGGAAUAUUUGACUACAUAGUUUUUUAGUUGAUUUUGCAUUGUAAGGACAAAUGUUUUCCGAUGCUUUUAUGAAUAAAAUAAAUUUUGGUUUGACUCAUUUAUUUAUUUAUUUCCUUGCAAUAAAAUCGUUAUGAAAAAUUGAUACUUGCGUAUUUCUACAACAAAUGGAUGUGAUUCUUAAUUAUGUUAUUUGUGGAAAGGUCAAGAAUUUACCAAAUAGGGAAAGUUUCUCAUCGCCCAAGUUUCAGUUGGACAUAAACUUGGAAUCAUGCAACAAGUAUUGUAUGAUGAACAAAAAACUUUCACAUUUUGGAAAAUUAGACUAAUUCAUUGACAAAGUAUCAAGUGAAGGACUAGGAGAUCAAGUACACAAGGUUGUGUGUUGAUCAAGUCCACCACAAGAGUAACAAAGAUAUUCGUCAUGAUUUACUAAGGUUAAGUAAAUAUGAUUACACUUAUGAGAUUAAGUGUAAUUCUUAUUUGAUUGAAAAGAGUUUAAAUCAAUAGCAGAACGAAUAAGAAGAAUCUAGUAGGCAGAAAGAUAAAAGUUUCUCUAUUCUAAGAAGAAGUGAGAGUACCUUUUAUUAUGUUUUAUGAUAGGUCUUAAUGAUUAAGAACCAUAUCUCAAUUGAUCCUCUAAGUGAGUCUUAGUGCAAUCGUAUGUCUAAGAAGAGGAAUCGAGAAUUAAAGAAAUGGUUAAAUCAAGAAGCCAAUCAUUAUUCGUUCCAAAACAAGUCUUAAAGUUAAGAUUGUGACAUUGAGUGACAAGUCUUAAGAAGGUUUAUAACAUUCAUCAAGUGUAGAAUUUGGAAAAAGGAUUUUCNGUCUUAAUGAUUAAGAACCAUAUCUCAAUCGAUCCUCUAAGUGAGUCUUAGUACAAUUGUAUGUCUAAGAAGAGGAAUCAAGAAUUGAAGAAAUGGUUAAAUCAAGAAGUCAAUCAUACUUCGUUCCAAAACAAGUCUUAGAGUUAAGAUUGUGACAAUGAGUGACAAGUAUUAAGAAGGUUUAUAACAUUCAUCAAAUGAGGAAAGUUGUGAUGUCUUGGAUAAGACAAAGACCAACUAGGCAAAAAAAUGAUUUUUAAGGCUUGAACAAAUAACCAAGGCAUCAAUACAAUAGAAACCAAUCUAGGCUCUAAUACCACUGAUGGGUUUUAGCCAUAAGAACAUCCUAAGUGCUCAUGCAAACCCUAAUGCUCGGAUCUAGGUUUCUCUAUUUUACAUGCAAUUCAUCCAAGACUUUAAACCCUAAAUCUAGCAUGCAAUUAAUCAUAUUAACAUAAGAAAUAGGUUUAGAUCUUACCUUGAUUGUUUUGUAGCAAUAACAAUCUCAAAUCCUCCUUCUAAUGACUUUAGAAAGCUUAGAGUCACGAAUGUCACUCCUCUAAUGGCUCACAAACACCAAGAGCAAGAGGAUGAAGAAUAAGGAGAGAGAAGGUUGCCCAAAACAUGUGGAAACCCUAGAGAACAAGUUUACCCCGUUUUUGGGGCUUAAGGGUCCUUUAAAUAGUGAGGCUAUUAGGGUUAUCUAACAAGGAAACCCUAAUUUGGAUGCUUACGCCCUAAGCAACCCAUGGACUCCUUCCUUAGAGGCCUUGGACGAUUUCUAAUGGGUUUCCCCAUAGAAUUCGUCCACUCCAUCCUCUAUGGAGUCCAUUAGCCUAAUAUUCAACUAUUACACAAUUGACAGUUCUAGUCCCUUAAGUUUAAAUAAUGUCUUUUAGUCACAACUUAAUUCUUAUUAAUUCUUGACUAAUAUUAAUUAAACAAUAUGAUUUCUCCUUUAAUAUAUUAUUCUCAUAAUAUAUUAAUAAAUCAUAAUUAAUCCUUUCUCUCCAUAAUUCAUCCUAUCAAGUUGCUUUGGUGAAGGCAACCCAAGAGGACCAUGCACCAUCGGGUCAAGUACAUACCAAAAUAGUUAUGGACUUAGACACUAAUCCAACAUAAAUCUACCCAAGAAACCCGACCAAAUACACUAAAAAAAUUAAGGACGAGGAGGGAAGUACCUCGACUCAAAUACCUUCCGAAGGGAAAUUAGCUGAGGUAGUCAAUACUUCGGUUAACCUUUCCGUCCUGACUCCAAGAAUACCAUACCUAGGAAACCUCCCCCGUUGCAGCAAGUGUAGCUUCCAUCAUCAUGGUAUCUGUCGAGAACUCUUUUGUGUUAGGUGCAACAUGAAGGGGCAUACUGCUCGCUUCUGUAAAACCCCGGUUGAGUUCAUUACAUCAACCACCAAUGUGGAGACCAAUCCAGUAUGCCAUCUAUGUGGAAAAAUUGGGCACUUCAAAAGGGACUGCCCAACUGAAGGAAAUGAAAAAGGCACAGGAGGAGUCUAAUCCUAAUGCCUAGGGGAAAUUUUAAGGAACCCGGUAGAAUUUUGGUACGUCUCUCAAUCCUAAGUAGCUAACCGAGAACUUUAAAAUAAUCCAUUCUAAAUUGUAAUUACUCCCUCGUUAAGGCGAAAGUCGCAGCACGAUUGAAAAACUCAAAAACCCAUCAGGUAAAGCUAAGAUGGCUUCAUAUAUAUACGUUAAGGCCAUUUAUAAUUAAGAUUGAUAGACCUCGAGUGAGUGAUGCUGCCUCAUCUCUUGUUCCUCGUUGGGUUGUAGAUUUAGGGCGGAGUCGCUCAGUCAACAGUCCUUUUUAAUCUUAAUUAUACAUGACUAGUGUAUACUAGGCGAUUAUAGAGAGGCCUCGUGAGAAAUCCAUUCAUGAAAAGUACAUUAUUCGGAAACAUCAGGACCCCUGGAGUUUCGCGUCAAUUCUAUCGGUCCAAGUAUCCGCGAUAGUGAUACCAUGGAUGAAACCCGAGACGCUAAGAACUUGUGUGCCCUGUUCAGCACGUGGUCCUAUCAACCUUCAUGCCAUAUCAUGUCGAUGUUUGUUAAAUUCGACACUACCGUCAAUCAUUGUUCCACUUGGUGCGACCAUGUGAAAAUUCCCUAGUGUUGUGUAAAGAGAACUUUCACCAUAGCCUAUGCGUCAAAUAAAGGUUCUUCCGAACCAAAUAAAAAAACCUAAUGCGAACCGUCAAUCGUCUCCCUUAUCCAACCUUCAGAAGUACACAGGGGAUGGGUACCGCGCGCUGUUAACCAACUCCUCUUUAAACAUUAAAACCAGAAGCGGAAGACACUGCAGAUAUUCCGGAAGACAUUAGUCGUCUGAGGCCUACUCAAUACAUCCCCCAGAAAGGCUAUCCGUACCGCACAAUCAGGUUCGUGAAUCAAAAGAGAUAACUCAUAGGAUUAACUUACUACUACUGAGUAUAUGCAUUAGAGUGGUAUAUAAUUUAGAUCAAUAAGAUUUAAGAUGUGUACUUCCUCCCUACUCCCUGUUCCUCGUUUGGUUGUGGGUCUGGAGUGGGGCCACACAUCUAAACAUCCCAUCAAAUCUCAAUUAUAUACAACUUUCAUACACCGAGUAUUAGUGAUUAAGCCGAGUAUGAGGUUGACCACGAACCUUAUAAUAAGACCCUUCAUCCUAUCCCAUAGAAAAGGAGCUGGAGUCAAGAGAACCACUGCGGUUUGAGCUACUAAAAUGACCACAAAUGGGAAAUUUGUUGUCCUCUCGGUCAGGCCAACAUAGUAGCUAACACCCUCAGUUAGGAAAGUAACUCAAGUCAUAAGAGUCAAGGAUAUUGACUACGACCAUCCAUUCAUGCUUAAUCCCACAAACUAAGCAUCCCAGCAGGAGACCCAGAGACCUGAAAGAUACGACAGGUUAAACUCUGGGGAGAAUGGAUGAAAAAUUAGAGGUUCUGUGUAGCAGGAUCCAUUCCUAUCCAGAUUAAAAUUAGAUAGAGAAAACUCGGUAACACUGGAAGAGUAGUUACAAGGGAUACUCGCACUACUUAGGCACUUCGUCCAUCCCGUUACAGACGAGUAGUGCCUAGGACACACCGCUCCCUCAUGCGAGAAAAGUCACCAUCGCCCUAUAAAUGAUUGACCACAUUCAUCGAAGUGAGUACUAGAAUGCUAAGAACCACAUGACCACCUCCGCAACCAAGAAUACUUAAAUAAAGUAAAAUGGUAUGUUGCGUUAAUCCUUAUAACCCAAAUCAUAAAGAUAUUAUAGAUUCGACACUAGUCUAGGUGUUAGUCGGUGAGUUAUACAAGAACACGUGCUCCUACAUCUAGAGGGAGCAGACGCGAUGGAAAAUGAAGCAAUUCAUAGAGAUUUGUUAGACUACUAGGUGUCCAAGGAAUACUCUCUCAAAAGAGAUAGUAGAACCACCUCCUGAAAUAGUCAAGUGCUUCGGAAAAUCUCUAAGGGAGAAGUUAGCCCUGAUCCGAGACUGCUAUCCAUGAAACAGCGAAGCAAUUAAGAGCAUGAUUCUUUCCGGUUAGGGAUCAUACUCUGAAAGCAUCUAUUAGACGAUGAUGAAAAUUUAAAACUUUCUAAGCAUCGUCUGGUAAAAUCCCCUAUCACACCGACUUUGAGAGUUUCCGUUAGAGACACCUCAAGAGUUAGAAGUGCAGAUCCAUUUUGCACUAGGUCGAGAUAGAUGUCACAUAACCAAUAGAGGCCGGUAUAUAGCCAAUACCUCCCAUGAUCCAGAAAACCUCCGAAAGCCAAUCAUUAGGAAGUACGAAUCCGAAGACGACCUGAGCCUUUUAAGAACCAACUCGGAGAACCACACUCCAGUAAAAGAGAACUUUUUGAGCUUCAGAAUGGCAAUCACACCAAGUGAUGAUCUAACCAUGGAAGUACAUUAUGUUCUAUGUACUGAAAAGCUCUAUCUUCCCAAGAUUUUAGGACCAUCCUAGAUUAUUGAUAAGAAUUGGUCCAACCCCCAUCGGACUUCAACUACUUUUGGAAUUCCAUGAAUUCCACCCAAACCUAUCCAUGUCUUAGACUUGAAAAAGUGCUUGUCCAACGAGACUCUCAAAAUCCCACUCGUCAAGAUCGAAAUCAAUGAGAGCCUAACAUCGUAGAAGAACCUUUAGGGAUCGUGAACCGAGAGGUCAAGUGACCGAAACAAAUCUGCAUCCCGUUAGUAAAGGUUCGCUGGAACGCUAAGCGAAGACCUAAAUUCAUCUAGGAGAGAGAAGACAUGUUGAUUCUAAAGCAUCCUUAUCUUUUGAGUUACUCAAUUGCAUCUGUGUGUGCUUGAACUCUAAUUUCAGGACAAAAUUCCCUCUAACGGGGGGAUGAUGUGACAACCCGAAAUUUUCAUUUGUAUAAACUCCGCAAUCAAGCACAUCAAAAAAUUUGCCAAAUUCAUCUCAAAACAUUUUUGGCCGGAUUUAAGCCUGUUCGAGUAUUUUAUUUUAUAUUUGUCAAGCAAACAAAAAUAAGGAAGUAUACUUUAGAGUUUGCCAUAAAUCACGUAAGUCACAAAACUCCAAAAGUUUGGAGUUUACGGACGUAAACAUGGAGUUUACAGCCGUAAACCCCGAAGAGUAUAAAUAUGACACUUAGUCAUUUUUAGCUCAUUUUUCACUUCCAACUUCAAGAACACAAAGAAUUCUCUCUCAACUAUCAUAAAAUCAUUCUGUCAAAUCUGCCAAAUGUAAGCGUUUUCUUCCUAGAUUUGUUCAUAUAACACUUAAUCUAGUGUUUUUACACGAUUUCAUCCAUGAAAUCUUGUCUUUUCUUAGAUCUUCAAGUGUUCAUCAAGAACAUCAAGAACACCAAUAACACACACUAGUGUUCUUGGCCAAAAUCGACCAUUCAAGCUCCUAGAUCGUAAGUACACUUGCCCUAGCUUCUUGUGUGCUUAAUAUGAACUUGUUUACACUCGAAAAUCAUCAAAAUCCCCAUGUUCAUAUGUGUUUACGGUUGGGGAGACCUCCUAAAACCGUAAACACCUUCAAAGGGUGUUUAAGUGCCCUUAACACCUUCCAAUGCUUGUAUAAGUGACUAGAACCUUGCAUGCAUAAGAUAGAACCACCAAAAUACGAAAUAAAUGGGCAAACAUGAGUUUACGACCGUAAACCCAUGUGUUUACGACCAUAAACUCCCAAGGAGUGGUCCAAGGACCGUAAACUCUAAAGGGAGGUCAUUUCGAGCCCCAAUCACUUCCUAUGCCCUUGAUUCGAGUCUAGCAUAAUUCCUUGAGUGGUAUAAGACUUUUGAACACCCAAUGGCACCAUUUCCAUGAGUUUAUUGCCAUAAACUCAUGGGGGAAGUGGUCUAGAAACCAUAAACACCCCUAAGGGCCACCAUUUGAGGAGUAAACUCCAAUGUGAGGCCAUACUCUCUUUAUAUGCAACCUUUGGUACUCCUAGCACUUGUAGCAAAGUGUUUUCAUGCUUUAGGGUGUCCUUACUUGCAUAAUUAGUUGUUAAAUGACUAAUUAGAUACUUAAAUGUAUCAUUACAUGUUAAAUAGGAUUCGUGUGUGUGUUCAAGUCCUCACUUGACACUUAGCAUCCUAUACCAUCCGUUCAUCCGAAUCACCCACGUCAGGUGAGUUCAUACCCCUUAAUCAACCUUUUAAAUGCUUUUAUGGGGGGAAUACAAGUUGAACUAGUAAGUUAUUAGAUCAAUCAUAUGUGAUUAAUAACUGGCUAGCAAAUAGAUUUCUGCGUGUUAAACUGUUUUUAUCCAGCUAAAGGUUUUCAAAUCUUAUUUUUUAUAAACUGAAAUCAAGUCAUGAAUCCUUAUUUAUAGAUUUUCCAAAGGUUUUACCAAAACUUCUUUUUAUACUCUUAUAUUGUAACGACUCAAGUUUCACGCCCAAAAAUUUUCAUUUAAAAUAAGUGGUUUAUAAAACAUUUGUACUAAAACAUCAUCCGAUCAUAUCAUUUCAUAAAACAUAUCUCGUGUCUAAAAACCCAAAAACAUGAAAAUAAUAAUAAUGUCAGAGUACAAUCCCAGAACAUCUCAUAAUGUGGAAGUCCAAUGUGUGUGUGUAAGAUGUGCCGCUACCGUGCCAGCUCCUUCCCCUUCGCUGAAGAGGUAACUGAAACCAAAACUGAAAACUGUAAGCACGAAGCUUAGUGAGUUCCCCCAUCGUACCACAUGCCAUACAAUAAUAUCACAUACAUACUGCCAUACAUUUCUGGGGUGCCUGACCUACCCAAUACGGCCAUUCUGGGGUGCCGACCUACUCGUACGGCCAUUCUGGGGUGCCGACCUACCCAUGUCAAGCCAUUCUGGGGUCCUGACUACCCAUCGGUCCUAACAUCCGAACCUCGGGGACUAUUUCACCGCACCCGACUACUACUAUCACAUAUAACAUAGCAUAAACAUAAUAUCAUACAUAUCUGGGGUGCCUGAGCUGCCCUUCGGUCAUGACAACCGAACUCUACUACUAUCACAUACAACCUAUCACAAGGACUAUCAUUUAUCAUACGUCUCCUACUGGUGGGCCGGCAUUGUGGCCAUAGACCCACCGUUACUGGAAGGUAACUCACCUCGAAAAGUAGCUGCUGAAAGUCUGCUUGCUAGGCGCCUGACUGCUGAAUCGGUAAUCCUCCGGCUAUAAAUCAUAAACAUAGAUUAGCCAUUCAUACACACCCUUAGGUCAGAUGACUGACCCACCCCUGGUCCAAGGUCAACUCCUUGGUCAAAGUCAACUUCCAGUUGACUGGACUCGCCGAGUCCUUCUCCCACUAACCCGGUCUUACUCUACAAGUACCUCCUCCCACUCACUGAGUUACCCUUAACUCACUACUUGGGACGAUAGAACCGGCUCGCGAUCCGAGUCGCCGAGUCCAAGAACCACUCAUCGAGUCCCCACGAGCAGAUCUCCUGCUCGCUUCCAAAUCCUCACCAGAGCAUCCUUUUUGAGGGUUUGGGUUUCUGGGACUCUUGCUACACGCUAAAUUGCUAAUUCCACGUGCAGAUACGAAGGGUUGGACCCCCAACACUUAAACCCCUCUCACUCAGUAACAGUUCAUCUGACUCGCCGAGUUUGAAGAACAACUCGUCGAGUACCAGGCAAUCUUCAUAGGACUCGCCGAGUUGUUCAUCCAACUCGCCAACUCUAUGGCCAUCUUCAAAGAACUCUUCGAGUUCCACUUUAGGACUCGCCGAGUCGCUUGACCCAUUUCCCAUAAAGACCAAAUCUGAGACAUGCAACGCUUCAAAACCAUAGAUCUAUGUUCCUAGGGCAUGCUUAUCACGUAAAGUUCCACACUUUACGUGCAUGCAUGUCCCUACAAGCUCCAAAAGGCAAUUCCAAUCUCUUUAUGAGGUCACACACUCAAUGGGGACCUCAAUCACUUCAACCACAUAAACUUUAUACUUCUAAUACGUCCAUAAGGUCUAGAUCCGAAGUCCUUUCGGAUCAUUAAGCACAAACACAUGGAGUUUGGUGUUUUAGGGCUUGAAAACCACCAAUUAGGGACAAAAAGGGAAUCUAAUGAACUAGUGAUCAAGGUAGGGACUUUUCUACCUGAAUGGAAGCCUCUUGCAGGGUAGAUGUCGGAUCUACUUCUCCUCCUUGCACUCUUCCACAUCCUUCUUCUUCUCUUAAGCUUCAAACUUCCUUCACAAGGCCAAAAUCACUCACAAGGACACAAAGGGGCUAGGGUUUUGCUCUACAGCUCUUCUGGAAGUGUUAGGGACAAAGGAGGCCAAGUUAGAGUGCUUAAAUAGGGUGCAAACACCCGGCUUAGGGUUUUUGCCGAAACAGGGCCUACUCGCCGAGUCCGGGAACUGACUCGCCGAGUCCGAGGUUCAGACCCCGCGUCUCGUCCCCCUCCUACUCGGCGAGUUGGUCCUUCAACUCGCCGAGUCCAAGGCAAAAUGAAUCAAAUAAAAAUUAUUAAUUACAAGGAGUACGUACCGAGAACCAGGUGCUACAAAUCUCCCCCACUUAUUUUAGACUUCGUCCUCGAAGUCUGUUGCUCGAUCCUGAAACAGCUCGGGGUAGUGCUCCAUCGUCUAUUCCACCGGCUCCCAAGUCCACUCCGAUCCCUUUCGAUGCUGCCAUUGCACCUUCACGAGUUCCACCCAUUUGUUCCUCAGAUCCUUCAACUUCCUAUCGAGGACUGCUAGAGGCCUCUCGAUGUAAUUCAGGCUGCCAUCGACCUGAAUAGCCUCCAAAGGCACCAUUGCCGAGUCGUCCACCAAACACUUCUGCAACUGAGAGACGUGGAAAGUGUUGUGGAUCAGGCUGAGUUCGGUUGGCAGAUCUAACCUAUAUGCCACCUUGCCCACCCAGGCUACAACCCUGAAUGGCCCAAUUUACCUUGGGCCUGACUUUCCUCGCUUUCUGAAUCGGAUGACGCCUUUCCAUGGCGACACCUUCAGAAGAACCAUAUCCCCGACAUGGAAUUCCAAGUCUGAACGACGCUUGUCGGCAUAACUUUUCUACCAACUAUGUGCAGUCUGAAGCCUGCUCCGAACCUGCUGAAUCUUCUCGGUCAUCUCGAGCACCACUUCGGUGCUUCCCAUGACCCUCUGGCCAACUUCACCCCAACAUAUCGGGGUCCUGCAUCUCCGUCCGUACAACAUCUCGAAGGAAGGACGGUCAAUACUCACGUGGUAGUUGUUGUUGUAUGAAAACUCAGCUAAAGGAAGAUAGGUAUCCCAACUACCACCAAAAUCUAGCACGCAUGCCCGCAACAUAUCCUCAAGAGUCUGGAUGGUCUGCUCACUCUGACCAUCCGUCUGCGGGUGAAAGGCAGUGCUAAAAUGCAGAUGAGUGCCCAACUCAUCAUGAAACUAUUUCCAAAACCUGGAAGUAAAACGCACAUCUCUGUCUGAAAUCACUGAUAUUGGCACCCCGUGCCGCGCCACUAUCUCCCUGAUAUAGAUGUCGGGCAACUUCUCGGCCGAGAUGCUUUCCUGAAUCGGGAUAAAAAUGGGCGCUCUUGGUCAAUCGAUCCACGAUGACCCAUAUAGAAUGCACUCCUCGCACGGUCCUGGGAAGCUUCGUGAUAAAAUCCAUUGUAAUAUCUUCCCAUUUCCACAACGGGAUAUCCAACGGCUGCAUCUUGCCGUGCGGUCUCUGAUGCUCGGCCUUGACCUUCCUGCAGGUCAAGCACCGCUCGACGUACCAAGCCACAUCCCGCUUCAUGCAGGGCCACCAAUAGUCCAGACGAAGAUCCCUAUACAUCUUCUUCGCCCCGAGAUGAAUGGAGAAUCGAGAUUUGUGCGCCUCCUCCAUCAAGAUCUGGUGCAUGCCUCCGAGGUAUGGCACCCACACCCUGCGGUGUAACGUCAAUAAUCCCCUACUGUCAUAGUUGAAGGAGGAAACCUGACCCACUAUGCGCUCACUCNAUGUUCCUCCUUCAGGGCCUCCUGCUGGGCCUCCCGAAUGCGCUCCAAGAGUGGAGUCACCACUGUCAUCCGCAUGAAAAUAUCCCUGAUCGGUGCCGCCUUGCGGCUAAGCACAUCGGCCGCCACAUUGGCCUUCCCCGGGUGGUAAAGGAUCUCACAGUCAUAAUCCUUCACCAUAUCAAGCCACCAACGCUGCCUCAUGUUCAAAUUCGGAUGAUCCAUGAGGUACCUCAAACUCUUGUGGUCCGUGUAGAUCGUACAACGAACCCCAUAGAGGUAAUGACGCCAAAUCUUGCGGGCAAACACCACAGCCCCCAGCUCCAAAUCAUGCGUCGGGUAAUUCGCCUCGUGAGACUUCAACUGCCUCGACACGUAGGCGAUGACAUGUCCUCUCUGCAUCAAUACCGCGCCCAAACCUGAGAUGGACGCAUUGCAGUACACCACAAAAAUCCUCUAUGCCCUCUGGCAGGGCUAAGAUUGGCGCCUCACACAAUCUCUGUCUCAGUGUCUCGAACGCUGCCUGCUGCUCAGGCCCCCAUCGAAAGACCACAGCUUUCUUAGUCAGCCGUGUCAGGGGUAUGACUAUCUUGGAGAAGUCCAGAAUGAAUCUCCCGAUAGUAGCCCGCUAAACCCAGGAAACUCCGAAUCUCAGACGGAGACUUCGGAACCUCCCAUCUCAUCACAACCUCUAUCUUGGACGGGUCAACCAGUAUACCGUUCUGGUUGACAAGGUGCCCAAGGAAUUGCACCUCGCGCAACCAAAACUCGCACUUGGAGAACUUGGUGUACAUGCUCUCCCUCCUUAGGGUCUCCAAAACCUCUCUCAGAUGCUCCUCGUGCUCCUCCUGCGUCUUGGAAUAAACCAAGAUGUCAUUAAUGAAAACNGAUACUGUUGGAUUAGUGUCUAAGUCCAUAACUAUUUUGGUAUGUACUUGACCCGAUGGUGCAUGGUCCUUUUGGGUUGCCUUCACCAAAGCAACUUGAUAGGACGAAUUAUGGAGAGAAAGGAUUAAAUAUGAUUUAUUAAUAUAUUAUGAGAAUAAUAUAUUAAAGGAGAAAUCAUAUUGUUUAAUUAAUAUUAGUCAAGAAUUAAUAAGAAUUAAGUUUGUGGCUAAAAGAGAUUAAUUAAACUUAAGGGACUGGAAUUGUAAUUAUAAGAUAAUUGCAAUUGGGCUAUGGAUUACCUUAUAAUAUAAGGUUGGACGAAUUCUAUGGGGAAACCCAUUAGAAAUUGUCCAAGGCUUAUUAAAAAAGGGUUCAUGGGUUGCUUAGGGCCUAAGCAUCCAAAUUAGGGUUUCCUUGUUAGAUAACCCUAAUAGCCUCACUAUUUAAAGAACCCUUAAGCCCCAAAAACGUGGUGAACUUGUUCUCUAGGGUUUCCACACGUUUUGGGCAGCCUCCUUCUCUUCUCCUCUUCAUCCUCUUGCUCUUGGUGUUUGUGAACCAUUAGAGGAGUGACAUUUGUGACUCUAAGCUUUCUAAAGUCAUUACAAGGAGGAUUUGAGAUUGUUAUUGCUACAUAACAAUCAAGGUAAUAUCUAAACCCUAAUUAUAUGUUAUAUUGAUUAUCAUAUGCUAGAUCUAGGGUUUAUAGUCUUGGAUAAAUUGCAUGUACAAUAGAGAAACCUAGAUCCAAGCAUUAGGGUUUGUAUGAGCACAUAGGAUGUUCUUAUGGCCAAAACCCAUCAGUGGUAUCAGAGCCUUGAUUGGUUUCUAUUGUAUUGAUGCCUUGUAUGUUUGUUCAAGUUGCAAAAUCGAUUUUUGAGCUCCCUGCCUGAUGAACUCGGCGAGUACCACAGUGUACUCGGCGAGUAGGCCUCAACUCGGCGAGUACAGUGUGGUACUCGGCGAGUUCGAGCGUCAGAUGGAGCUAUUUUCGGGAUUUCUUGCUGUUUUACUCAUGGAUACUUGCCUUAUCUGUUUUAGGUCAUUAAAAUCCGAUUUUAUACAUAUUUAUGAGUAUAUCCUUGAUUAAACAAAAGAUAAUUACCAAUUGAUUAGAUAAUAACUUCCUUAUAUGAUUAAAGUUGAUUAUUUGUAUUAAUUGGGUAACUUAUUUUGCAAGAAAUUGAAAUUAGGUCAAAUAUAGAUAAUGAUGAAAUUAAUUGUUUAAUUUAUAUUAUUUGUUAUUUGAUCCUUGUGUUAUGAAAAGUUUCAAUUUUCCCCUUUAGGUUUUAUAGUUUAAAUUUGAACUCAAAAGUUUUGUUUUGAAAUUUAAAUAGUUGAAACCCUAAUGUUUUGAAAAGGUUUCAAAACUUGCCCUCAAGUUUUGGAAUUUAAAUUUUGAUUAAAAGUUUAAUUUUGAUGUAUAUUUAAAUUCUAAACCCUAAUGUUUUGAAAUGUUUCAAAACUUGCCCUCAAGUUUUGGAAUUUAAAAGUUGAUUAAAAGUUUAAUUUAGGAAUGUUAAAUUCUAAAACCCUAGUAUUGUUUUGAAAAGUUCAAAUCACACCCUUAUGGUUUUAUUAAUUAAUUAAGGUGUAUAAUUAAAAGAGGUUUAAUAAAUCCAUAAAAGUUUGGGUUUACAAUUUAAUUGAAUUAAAAGUAUAAUUGUUAAAUUUGACCUCCUAGUAUUUUAAAAGUGUAAAAUACACCCUAUACUAUAUAUAACAUUAAAAGUCUAACAUUAUAUAUAUGUAUGAGUAAAAGUCAGUCUUACCGUUAGUAGGCCUCAUUCACGAAGCUGGUCUAUAAGGGGUGUUUAAGGAAAUUGCCUAUAAAAUGGCGAUUGAAUGGGUAUCCACUCUUACCCACCGCACUCUUGACUAGUGGAGGGUCGUUAGCCGAACGGGUAGGAUAGGACAGAAACCUUCCAUUAUAAGUAUAAUGAAGUACAAAAGUAACUAAAUGUUUUACAAAUUCCCAAUCUUAGUUACUUUAGGCAAAAGUGAAUUGAUGCAAUUCCAUGAAAUUACACUUUGUGCCCUUGCGAAGACGUUAGUGGAGCGUGUGUGGUUUACCGGCACACUAAAUGGUUCUAAGCAAAGGUAGCAAAGGGUGACUCAAUGUUUGUCAUAGUUCGGUGGAGCGUGUGUGGUUUACCGGCACAUCGAAUAGGUGACUGUAACAUGUGAGGGCACCAUGUAAGUUUGCAUGGUUAUUCACACCCGCUUUGUGAUCCUCGGCAUCCCAGUCACAAACAAGAGGGGCAUAUCGAGAUUUAAACAUGCCAUUGAAAGUUCAAUGAAUCUCAAAGGAUCUAGGAGUUUUCAUAGAUUUAAAACUUAAAUUUCUUUUUCGUUUUUCAUGGUGGAAAUUAGUGAAUCGUCAUUCACUUACCUUCAAAUAUUCUGCAAUUAGGGUUACGGCAUCCCUCUCCCGAGUUGUAGAAUAUUGUGUUGGGUCCUAGCCUUAGUAUCUCAUUUGGGUGAUUUACUAAGGACUCAAUCAAUCAACUAACUUGAAUUCGUUUUCUCCCGUUUUGUAGAUGUCAAAGUUCGACAACUAUGGUCUUCCCAAAUCCCGUGGAACAAGCAUUCCACAUGAAGAUGAUAUUCCACGAUUCGAUCGAGGAACAAGAAAUCAUGCUUCACUUCCUCCACCUCCUCCAAUUAUUCUCCCUAACCCACAAGUUCGAAGGCUUGAAAAGUUCAAGCUCACUCAAGCCCUUUUGGCAAGUAAACAUAAAGAAGGAAAGUCGGUGUGUGCACACGUCCUAGGGAUGAAGUCACACAUUGAUAGGUUAAGAAUGUUGGGAUCCGUUGUCUGUGAGGAAAUGGCUGUUGAUUGGGUUCUUCAGUCACUUCCUAACUCAUAUAGUGAGUUCGUAAGAGAGUACUAUAUGAUGAACCGCGACGUGACCCUUAUAGAUCUCACCUAUAUGCUUAUUGCUGCUGAAUCAGCAAUGGUUUGGCGCAAUAGAAAAGCAAAGUUGAUUGGUGAAUCUGCCUUCAAGACCUCUAUGGAUAUAGACAAUGGCAACGAAAGACAUGCUAUGAUCGAAAAGUUUGAUCAUAAGAGAAAGGCAAUGUCUGAAGUAGUUCCAUGUCAUGUUCCAAAAGAGUCAAUUUGCUUUUAUUGCCAAGAGAAAGGGCAUUGGAGACGAAGCUGCCCCAUUUACCUAAGAGAUCUAAGAGAUGGGAGAGUCGAAACGUAUGGCUCUAAUAUAGGUAAAAUCCAUUAACUAACUCUUUUAAGCUUCUAUUCUAGAUUCUUAAUACAUAAUGUGAUAAGAUUACAAUUGAUGUUUUGUAGGAUCGAAGAAAAGAAAGGAAGCUUAAGGGAAGAAGUGAGCAGAAUCUAACCGUGAAGGAAUGGAUUUCGAUCGCAUUUCUCGAAGAUUAGAUUCUUGAGCUACUACUUAGAGUUAGAAUUAGAUUGCUAAGAAAGAUGUAUUAGCAUAGUUUUUCAAUGAAUUGCAUUGUAAGGACAAAUUUUUUCCGCAAUAAAAUAAAUUUUGAUUUUAUAUUAUUUAUUUAUCCUUGCAAUGGCGUAUAUGAAAAAUUGAUGUUUGAAUGUUUCUAUUAUUAGCAAUAAUGGAUUUGGUUCUUAUUAUGUUAUUUAUGGAAAGUCGAGAGUUUACCAAAUAGGGAGAGUUUCUCAUCGCCCAAGUUUCAAUUGGACAGAAACUUGGAAUCAUGCAACUUGGUUGCACGAUGAAUGAGAAAUUUCAUAUUUGGAAAUUAGACUAAUUCAUUGACAAAGUGUCAAGUGAAGGACUAGGAGAUCGAGUACACAAAGUUGCGUGUUGAUCAAGUCCACCAUAAGAGUAACAAAGAUAUUCGUCAUGAUUUACUAAAGGUUUAGUAAAUAUGAUUAUACUUAUAAGAUUAAGUGUAAUUCUGAAUUGAUUGAAAAAGUUUAAAUCAAUAGCAGAACGAAUAAGAAGAAUCAAGUAGGCAGAAAGAUAAAAGUUUCUCCAUUCUAAGAAGAAGGGAGAGUACCUUUUAUGCUUUAUGAUAGGUCUUAAUGAUUAAGAACCAUAUCUCAAUUGAUCCUCUAAGUGAGUCUUAGUACAAUUGUAUGUCUAAGAAGAGGAAUCAAGAAUUGAAGAAAUGGUUAAAUCAAGAAGUCAAUCAUACUUCGUUCCAAAACAAGUCUUAGAGUUAAGAUUGUGACAUUGAGUGAUAAGUAUUAAGAAGGUUUAUAACAUUCAUCAAAUGUGGAAAGUUGUGAUGUCUUGGAUAAGACAAAGACCAACUAGGACCAAUUUAUGAAGUGUUUUGAUAAAAGCUACACUAACUCUUGAAUAUUUGUUUGUCAAGAAAUGUUUAUUGACAAGAGAAUCUUAUAUGUCAAGGAGUCAGUGGGAGUCUUAAUGGUCUUGAAAAGUUUCAAGAACUAAUCAAGAAUAAACCUUAUCGAUCAUCACUAGCACACGAGUUGAGGUUUACAACCUAUCGUGUUGACACUAUCUUGUUUCUGUGCCGUUCCAGUUGAGUUAAUUAUGCAUAUGAGUUCUAUGAGUUCUCAAUUGAACGGAUAAAAGGCAAGCACCUUGAUCAAUGAAAAGUACAUUGAUAAGAUAGAGUGAGCUGCUUAACUAUUUGGAAGACAUGGUGGGCAGCUGUGUUACCAUAAGGCAAGAAAUCAAGAUUGAGAAAGUUCGGUCCAUAUGAGUUUGAAUUUGUUGCAAACCUUGGUUUUGACAAAUUCAAAUGGAUAGAAACACAUACACCAUUAAAAUCUAAGUGUCAUAAGAUUCACUCCUUCAUAAAAAUGACUGUGAGGAAAUACUUUC